GCCACUUGGCCAAUCUAUGCAGAGCAACAAAUCAACGCAUUUCAAAUGGUGAAAGAUUUGGGGUUGGCCACAGAAAUUAAAAUAGAUUACAAUAAGGAUAAUGAUUAUGUUGUAAGUGCUCAUGAGAUUGAAAAUGGAUUGAGGAACCUAAUGAAUAUUGAUAGUGAAGUGAGGCAGAAGAGGAAAGAAAUGCAAAAAAUAAGUAGAAGAGUCAUGAUAGAUGGUGGGUCCUCGCACUUUUCUUUAGGCCAUUUUAUUGAAGACAUGGUGGCUAACAUUCCAUGCAAACAACAAAGACGUUAUACCUAAUGUAUGAAUUAGUUUAUACUAAUAUGAAAUAAAAAGGUGCAUUGUAGGCUCUAAUAAAUUAAUUUAUCAUCUCCUUUAUUUCAAUGCUCAAAUAUUUCUUUGAUGAUGUCAAGAAAUUUGACCUUUCAAACUAGGAAAUGUGUUCUUUCUUUAUUAUUUAGUGAACCAAGUUUACAAGGACAUGAAUUUAGUUAUAUGUGCAUCUCAUUGAUCAAUGAAUACACAAUUGAGCAUUUUCCUGUAGGAAGCUGGACUAGUGAUAAAAUCAACUAUAUAACUAAAAAUCCACAAACCCUAUUGAAUUUGGUUUGAUGGGGAUGAAUAGAUAUAAGAAUUUUUAUAAGAAUUUGUUCAAUUGGAUCACUAUUAAUUUGAUGCUUGCCUUCAGAUUAGAGACAACUAUUCGCUUGAGAAAUUUAAUUAAUUUCUGGGCAAUGUUUAUCUUCUUUUCUACAAGCAUGAUGCUCGAAGAGCAAAUUAAUGUUCUCAAACUAUUUGGUGUGUUGGUAUGGAUUUAAGAAACUAACGUCUCAUCAAUGCAUAUCAAGGCAUCUACGCAUGUGAGAGAUCAAUAGAUUCAAAAUGAUUCUAAUUGGAGCAUUUUUGAAUUAAGAGGUAGCUACCUUGAGUCUUGUGAGAAAGAAAAUAAUUAGAUGAAGAAGGUAAUUGGUAUGGAGAUGAGGAUUUAGAAUUAUAAGUUCUUUAGAUUUGAUUAUGGAGAGAGUUGAUAGAAUAUAAUUUUUUUUAAUAAGAAAAUUACUAAGAGAUGUGAAAAAAGUCUUUAAAAAAAUGAUAAUAAUAAUUUAAACACGAAAAUGAUUAUGUAUAUAGUAUUGAAUUAUCAAUUUGUCCUUUCCUUUCUUUUAAUGAAAAAUAAAUACAUAUGAAAAUUGAUAAUUGAAGUUGUUAUUCAAUCAUUUAAAGAUUAGCUUAGAUGGAAUAUAUUGUAAUGAUCUACUCCUAUGCAUCUCAGACAGCACAGACUCGUCCACCUGGGGUUUCACUUGGUACUCCAUUCCAUCUGGUAGAUCAUUAUGAGACCAUUUCGCCACCUACUGUCACAGUGCUGCCUCCCAUGGUUCCUACUAUUGAGGAUACUCGAUUAGUCGAGUAGGAGGCCAGGGUUGAGAGGCUUGAGUCCAAGGUGAGACAGAUCAGAUUGUAGGACGGAGGUUUGACUUGGGAUGACAGAGAUGGCAUACCGGCGGCUAGCUUGCCUGCCAAGUUUCGCAUGCCAGACAUUGAACGUUACAGUGGGAUUGGUUGUCCCAAGAUCCAUUUGGGACUAUAUAGCACAGUCAUGAGAGCACAUGGGAUAGAUGAUGCACAGUUGGUGGCCCUCUUCCCUAUGUCACUUAGUGGAGCAGCUCAGAGGUGGUUUGCUUCGGUUGAGCCUUCGAGACUCCGCACAUGGAUAAUGUGGCUCAUGAGUUCCUGACUCAGUUCGCUUUCAGUGCCGAUAUUGAUGUAUCUAGACGAGAGUUGGAGGCCACCAGACAAAGGCCAGAUGAGUUUAUUUCUUCCUUUGUCACUUGUUGGAGGGCAAAGGUGGCUGGUAUGAUAGAUCGGCCUAAGGAGCAGGAUCAGAUUGAUAUGGUUCUUCGGAACCUACAGUUGAGAUUCGCGAGAGGUCUUGUGGGCAUCCCGUUUUAGGAUCUCAGGAGUCUAGUUUAGGCAACUUUCAAUGUUGAGGAGGUCAUCGCUCGAGGAUUAUGGAGAGAUACUACUCCUUCCCCUGACAGUAAGGGGAAGAAGCUGAUUGGGCCAUUUAGUAGAUCUGGAGAGGUUGGCGCUAUUAGUUAUCAGCAUCGGAGGCCUGCACAUCACUCACUUUACAGGCCUCCUUCAGUCAGAGCUCAUUUCCUUCAUCCGCAAUAUCAGUGUCAGCCGGAUUAUGUUCAGGAGCUUGACAUUGCUCAGACCAGCAUGCAGCCAUGACCUUCGCAUUCGAGAGCCACUACUCACCCACCGCCUAGACCAUAUGCACAGAGGCCCCCGAGACAGUUCACUCCCUUGGGCAUGACCUUGACUAAAGCUUUUGAGAAGCUCAGAGAUGGUGGUUUGAUCAUUCCUUUGGCACCGCGCCCUUUGCCACAUCCUAUUCCUCCACAGUUUCGCUCCCAUGAGCAUUGCUUAUAUCAUCAGAUUCAGGGACAUGAUACUGAGCGUUGUUCGGCACUCCAUCAUGCGAUACAGGACUUGAUCGAUUCGGGGUUGGUCAACUUGGUUGGGCCCAAUGUGACCACCAAUCCUCUGCCUAUGCAUUCUACACAUGCAGUCCCUCCUCCUCCUAGUCUUUAGUAGUUUGAUUUGGAUGUUGAUGGUACUGUUGGCAUAUGGUAUUUCGGGAUCUUCCAGGUUGAGGACUUGGUUCAGUCGACAUGGAUACAUCACUUUACAGCAGUUCACCUUUUCAUCCUGAUUAUGGUCGUCAUCAGAGUCGUUUCCGUUUUGUUGAGUCCUGUUUUUAGUUCAUCAGAGUCAUCUUUGCUUUGUUGAGUCCAGUUUGAUUUUGGUUUAGGGUCGUUUGUAGUUCAUGUUGAGAGUCUGGUCAUUUGUAGUCCUUUAUCAUUUCACACAUGAUGUACUCGUUGGUUCAUUUAGUGAUAUGAUAUUUUAUUUGAGUAUGUGGCAUUUUUCUCGUGAGUGUGUUUUACAUAUCUUGUGUUGAUGUGUGUUAUGCUUUCGAUAUGAGACGUCUUUCGCUUAUAUAUCAUGAUCACUUUGGCCUGACCUAUCAUGGAGGAUAUUGAGCCUAUUUGACUUAGGAUCAAGAGAUCGACCUAGGGAGUUUGAGACUGUGACUCAUGUCACCUUUUGAUUAGAGCGGUACUAUAUCCAUAUUCGUACCUUGACUUUGUUGACUUGAUGGCCUACCCAUUUUGAGCCUGACAUGACACCACUCCUUCGUACCAUUAUGCGACCUUUACCAUUCUUAUUCGCCUUCGUAUAUUACAGUAUCAUUGCCUAUUCUUCCCAUUAUUUCCUUGAUCUAACCAGGUAGUGUCCGAGAUGGUUAGACCCGAGGUGGGCUUCACACGAUGAUAGAUGGAUCAUGAUGAGAGAGUGGCUUGAUUGUUUGAUGAUAUUGUUGAGAUAAAGGGGUUAUCAUGGAGCAUCCAGAUUUGAGCCAUUGCACAUGACUUUAAAGAGUCAGGAUGAUUAGACAUGGUGAUUUUAUGAGAUGAUGGUGAGUGGCUUGUGAUGAUAGAGUGAGUUGAUUUUCAGAGUACAUUGAUGGUUGUCAUAGAGCAUCAAUGGGAGCUUUCGCACGAUUUCAGAGGAGUCGCCAUGCCUAUGUUGGAUGGAUGCCAGACUUUAGUAUUGGCCAUGUGAGAUCUUGAAAGCACGAUUGUAGACCCUCAAUUUUGUCCCUUUAGCACAUGUCUUUAAGUUCGUUUUCAGUGCUCCACAGUAGUUCCUUGGUGGCCCAUUACUACUCGUACAACUUACCUUUUUCUGAGUCACCUCGGAGACUUUGGUUAAGGGAUUAUCUGACCCUUUAUUGUGAUCCUUGGCAGUUUUGAUUUAGAUUUAGGCUUUUCUUGCUUUUUUUAGGAUAGCUUUUAGAUACACUUGGCCCAUUAGGCACCACCUUAGGCCCACUUAGUCUCACCUUAGACCUGUUUAGGUAUACUGGGUUUAUUAAGACUUUUUUUUAGCGUGACUUAUAUGACUUGCGUGUUUGCAUGGCUUAUAUAAGUCUCAUAUGACUUAUAUGACUUGCAAACAAUGAAAAGACUGUCUUUUUGUCAAAAAUGUAAUUUUCGGAUAUCCUAAGAGCCUUGUCUUGCAAACGAGAUGAGACGGAUGGACUACGAAGAGAAAGGGCACUAAUCUCAUUCAUGGGCAGAAGUUUUGUGUCCAAUUUAAACUACUGAAGAAGUAGCGAUUCCAUGCACUCCGAAGAGUAGCCUUCCAUUAAGAGCCUCUCUUUCAGGCUUUUCUAUGGGAAGACUUGAAGCUGUUGGCAUUCCCCUAUGUAGAGACAGUUUUAGCAAUAGCUAGAUUCUCAAGCUCUGAUUCACUUGCACCCCUUCUUCUUGAAAUGGCAUUAGCUGCUCCUUCUAUGGCAUCCUCUUAGACUAUUUCUAUUCCAUCAAAGAUCCAAGCAGGGGAUUCUGUAAGAACAAGACAAGACCGCUUACGCCGACAUAAGAUAUGUCACUUCCACUUCCUUUAGGAGAUGCUUUAAAGAGACAAAAGAGAAGGCGUAUAGAAAAAAUGGAUCCUUUUGAUGCCGCAGAUCGUCUUUCGCAUUCGAUGCUUCCUGUACUGAUACUGAUACUUGCCAUCCAUAUCCAUACGUGCCUGCUACUGGUGCAUGAAUCCGAUUCGGGGAUAUCGUAUCUUCUUUUCUUUCUUAUGCUUAUGUUGGCAUAUUUUAAUAUGAAUUAGCCAUAUCGGAAAUACCCGGCAAGCUCCGCAUCUAGGAUUCUGUCAUAACACCCGGCGAAAGGCGAUCCUUAACAGCCUAAUUUUCGAUUCAAUCUGGUAUUCCAGAAUAGCCUAAGGGGCGUAGCGGUAAGAUCAAUUUCCAACAAUUGGAGCAGAGAAUGCGAUUGCAUUAUAAGUUUGUAAUUGAACAGAUCGAGCAAGUUCGAAUUGACGUAACAUGAAACCUAUUAGUCCAAAAGCGCCAUGGAGAGCAACAAAAGUCCACAGACCACCUAAUUGACACCAACGAGUCAAAUCUCCUUGUGCUUCAAGGCCCCAUAGUAACAAUAAAGAAUGUGCUAAACUAUUAGCAGGUUGAACUUUUUCUACGGCGGUUAAGAAAUUGUAACCUUCCAAAUAGGAACUGGCCAAUCCAUGGGUAUACCAUGAAGUUACAAAGGUUGUACCUGUGAACCAACCCCCUAAAGCGAAAUAGGCACAAGGGUGGUCGUAGAUCACCGGACCAACCUACAAAAACGAAACGGUCCCUCCGUAACCAGUCAUCCAUAAUAUUAAAUAAAUCACUUUCGUCUUUGGUGAAUUUACCAAGGGCUAUAGUCAUAGUGAUCCUCCUAUUCAACUACUUCAACCAUUUCUGAACACCUCAUAGCAUUUUCAGGGCAUUUGAGGAUUCGAUCAUUUAUGUAUGAUUUUCUUUCUCGUACACUGCCUCGGUUUCAAAGAUAAAAAUCCUUUAUUGGUCCAUAAAUUGACUUAAGUAAAUCCAUGAAGUCAAUUCGAUUAUUCUGAUUCUUAAGAAUAACCUGAACCAUGAAUUGUCUUAUGACUCAUUAAUCAGAUAUAUGCAUUUUUUGAAAUAACUGUUCAAGGAACAAGUGAUCCCUUCUCUCGCUACCAGUUGAUCUCCAGACUUACCCCCCUCGUUCCAUCAACUAAUCUUAUUCUCGUAUCUUGUUUGUGAGAUUGAGAAAAAUAAAUAUCUUGAUGUAUUCUUAUAAUUUUUAUUUAUAUGAAACAAAUAAAGUCUCAUAUAUUUUUAUACUUUAUACUUGACUCUUUCAUUUUCUUUUUUUGUCUUCUUUGUUAUAUUUCCUUUUCCUUCAGAUGAAUCUAAAACUCUAGAGUAUAUCUUUUCACAGGUCGAAGCAAGAAAGACACUUUGAAUAUUUUUCUAUUUACUUUUAUCUUUCAGAAAAAAGGGGAAUUCCCUAAUUUUUCCAAAAAGCACUAUUUUAUUGCCGCUCUCCUGCCCUCAACAAAAAGGGCUCGAAUUACAAAGAAGCUGUUCAUGUGAAGGGAUCUCUUUUCUACAAACGGAAAAAAACGAAGCAGAUUUUACUCGGCACAACCUAACGAUACAUCCAAUACCAAUGAUCUGUGCCUAGAAUGCGUUGCUAGAUCUCUGCUCUAGAAAGCUAGACAGGGUGGAAAUAUGGCAAGCAAUAAAAAAAGGAGGUUGGAUUACCUAUAGUUAUGAUUGAUGUUAUUAUGAAAUAUAUAUAUAUAUAUAUGCUCCACGUCCAUGCAAGUAUUAUAUUAGUAGAAUGAUAAUGGGUAUAGUAGAAAAUGUGGAAUCUCUUCUUAAUUAUAAAUUCAAACUUGCUAAUUGGUUCUCUGACUCAAUAAUUAUCUUCUUAUUGGGCACACGUGGUGGUACUCUUCUUUUUAAUAAAGCGAUGCCUUUACUCUUUGUAGCAACAAUGUCCAGUCUUUUGUAUCUUAUUUGUAUGAAACUCGGCUCAAUAGAUUUCUUUUAGUCCUUUCUUUCUAAAUUUUUUUUUUUAGAAAAAAGCUUUUACGAGGGUUUAGGAAUCAAUCAAAGAAACCUUUCUAACUGCAUUUGAAUCGGCAUCUCUAUCCAUAUCCUUACGGGGAAGCCAGAUCCCAAUCUUCUCGAUGAGAAAGGUAUUAUUAUGGGAACUUAUCAAUUUAUUAUAAUGGCCCCACGCUGGCCUUCCGCGUCAACCAGUGCACCCCAAUGCACCAACGUGCAUCAAGGUGUCAUAACUAGGUAGUCUAUAAGGACUUGCCUAAGUUUACCAUAGAAAACUCAAAGUUUCGGAUGUUAUCGUUUCACUUCGAGCUUUGAAGGUUCGCACGUGGGUUCCAUAGAUGCCAGAUUCGUUUCCGAUAUGCGCUUCCGUUCCAUCCGACUACACUGGACUCAUCCUAACGCAAGGGGCCACCCACCCUUUCCCCUUACCCCUCUCACUCCCUAAGGAAUGAGAGGGCCCCACCUAACUCUGAAUUCGCUAAAAGUCUAAUGGAUCAAAAUACGGAUGAGAUCAGAAAGGCCAUCAUUGGGGCAAACGAUGCAAUAGCUUCGGUUAGAGCAAAGCCCAAAAUGGCAUAACCAAAUGAUUGUUUAGCCAAUGAUGGAUUUCGCGCCACGAAAUGGAUCAAAGAACUGAACACGUUUCCAAUACUGAUUGCAGCUCCCGCUGAAGCAAUUGUAGUAGCUCCAGCACCCAUUGAUUUUGCACCUUCUAACAUCUCGAGUUGAGAAUUCUCGUCACGCUAUCUUUUUCUUUCACGAUUUUUUGUUAUGGAUUCGCCCUCUCGGAUAAAAUGAUUUACAAUCAGCCUGCUUAAGAUCGUAGACCAACCUCAUUCCUUUUAUCUUGGGCAUCUCACUUGGAAUCCAAUGCAUUCUUUUCGAUCUUGUAUCCUACAAAAAAUAGGCUUGCUUCGCAUAGGCUACACAAGCUUCGGUGGGUACAAUGAACACCAACAAAGCCGCAAAGCCAUUUGAUUCAAUUGGCUUUCAGGGUGGUCGUAGAUCAGGCUGGUCGAAGAUCAGAAGUGGUCGUAGAUCAAUGCUACUGCUUUUUUCCUAAAAUAGAGUAUGCAAAGUUGGCUCCACCCAUCUAUGUACUGACCAUACUCAACAAUGUAGCUCAUAUGGUAUUAGGCGCACUAGAGCUGGCAUGAUCGCUUCCAUAUCUUCCAUCUCCUAGACUACUACUACUAUACUAAAGGGGGCAAGCAAAGCCCUUCUUAGAAAGCUAUUAACUCUUAGCAAUACUUCACCAUCACCCCUAGUAAAUGAUGUAGCGAGUGCAGAAUCAACAAGUUCCAAACCUUACCCUUGAUAAAAAAAUAUUUAAGCUGCUUAGCCCAAACACUUUUAUUAUACUGUAAAAGUAUAUAAAUGCAGUCCCAGUAAUGAAUCGGGAGAGUUCUAGCUCCAACAAAGAAAGAUAUCAUUCCAAUGGAUUUUAGACGAUAUGGGAAAGGAAGUCUCCACUCCAUUUUUCCCUUGGAGCGAACUAUAUUGCUGUAAGCUCAGCCUAGAAAUAUCCAUCAACAUUUUGGGUUAGGAAAGACUAACUCCUAACUAGGUUCGACUUUACAGGAGAAAGAACCCCAUCGAAACUAAAAAACUCGAUCAUCUCCUUCAUUCUAACCUUGUUUAGAAAGAGCUCUUUCAUUUCAUAAAGGCAAUAUGGAUGGACUAAACUCAAUAUCUACGCGGGUCAAGGUUUUUUUUCCUUAAGAAAAGGCUUCAUCCAAAACUCUCAAUGCGCAAGCGAAAUCAAUCCCUUCACUCUCAAUACAUACCCAAAGGGCACUGUCGGCAAAUACUUGAAUCCAUUGACAGGCAGGAGGAACCUUAUGACAAACUAAAGCCUUGCAGAGGAACCUAAACGACCUUAUAUAUAUUGUUAUAUAUAUAUAUAUAUAUAUAGUAAGCUCCUCUAAAAAUUCCUUUUAAUAGGGGCAAAUGCGAUAUCAAGCUCACUAUAUCGAGUUGGGUCCCCAUGUUUAGUCUAUGGGCAUUUGCUAUGCCAACUCUGAUGUGGAACCUAGGAUAUUUCAUCAUAGCUUCGGAUUCUACGACCAGCACAGAACUUACCGAAGAUGUUGCAAAAACACAAGUGACGUCAGGUUUUUUCGAGUUGAAAACAAACUAUCCGAAGCGGUCUAACAACUUCGUCUGAUAAGGUGCCCAAAUCUCACUUACGAGCCUUACUAGUAAAGGGGCUCUACCAUCACCAAAAAUGCAUCAACAUCUUUCAACCAAAGGCUUACUAAUAAUGGAAAUGCCAGAUAUUCAAUCUUUCAGGUUCAAAGAAUAGGCUCCUAGUGGUUUUCUUUUUCAUAUAAUAAAUGCAAAGGGAAAGAUUCCUGAUUCCUAGCCUCUCUGUCCUCUCGGGUAAAAACCUUCAUACUAGCAUCAGCCUUAUGAUCUACGAGCAACCUCUCAUUUGUUCGAGUUUGAGGGGGAGUGUAAUGUCAUGUAUUAUUAACAAGUUUUAUUAUGUCUCUUUCUUUCCUUUGCUUUCUUCUUGAUUUGUAUAUGCCUGUUAAGUCAGAUUUGAUUUCAUUGCCUAAAGUUUCACUUAUAGAGCUUAAGCCCCUCUUUUCCAGUUAAUGAAAAUGCUUAUUCUCCCAAAACCUUUCUCUUCAAGCUAUAGCUAUCAGAGACGACAUAAGAUGGAGUGAUGAUGACGGCGCAUGAAUCAGAUCAGUGUGAAUUUGACACUUCAUGCAUCCCCUGACGAAUUUCUUAUAAUCUGGAUCUGUCAUAUCCUUUUUCGAAUGAUCUUUUGAGCGAGCAUCUGGCUGUUGACAUGUCCUCCGCAUAUGCAGGAGCGCCCUGUAGCUUUCUUCGCUUCCUUUGAUCAAAGAUAUUUUGAGUCUAGGUCGACCGAUAAGCCCUUCAUUAUUAUUAGUAAGAUGAGGCGGAGAAGUAUAGAGGUGCAAAACUUCUACCUAAUGGAUUCGAAGACUCGAGCUAUCCCUCUCCUCUCAAAAUCUCCAUAACCACUUGCCUAAAAGUGCUUGAUUCAUGAGCUUUACAGGCCGGAGACCUAGACCUCCCUCCUCUUUUCUCGGAUAGGGCCUCCUGUCCCUCCCUCGUCGUAGAAGGAGUGUCUAAAGACAGAAGUUCUAUUCGAUCCAACUAGAUUUUGCAGAACGUUUUCAAGCCCCACUCCCUCCUAUGUUGUAAAAAGGAAUAAAGAAGAAAUCCCUCCUAAACGCCCUUUACUGAUACAGAUGAUUGUUCGGACAUCUAUCUCCUCUCCAAUCUCUACUAAUUAUUAGAAAGGCGUUGAGUCAGAAGGCUUCUAUCCCUCGAGGUAGGAACGUGGGAUGGAGGCGGUAGAGAGAAUACUGAACCUACCUCCUUUCCACUAAUAAGCUUGAUUCUCGAUCGCUCCUUCCACUAAUAAUCCGAGGCAGUCUCUAGUCCAGUCUUCUAUCCCCGCUAGGGAGGAGGAAUAAAUACGAUAAACAAAUAUAGUCAAAAUAAAAUGAUGGCUUUCAAGCUUUACUAAUAGGGGCAUAGUUGGAGUCAAAGGUAUUUCACUCUUAUUCCGGCAUUUGAAAAAAUCCGCUAUUACUUACUGCUUUUAAGGGCUUUUUGCAAGGAAUGGUUAGGACAGAGCAUAGCCCCUUGGAAGGAGAACUCUCUAGAGGAGUUGAGUUCAAGGCAUCAAUAGUCGUCCUCUCCCUCACCCAACUCAUCGGAUACUAAAACAACUAUUAGGGCCGGGACGAGAAUAAUCAAUCCGCCUCACCUAUCGAUUAUAGGAGAAGGCCUUGACCCCCGAGCCUUCCCAAAGGCUAUGUGAAACUCUAUAGUUAGGAGGGCAACCAAUGCUGUUCCUAAACCCCCUCUUUACUGAGCCAAGUAGGUAUAUCCACCCCAAGGGCAGAGUUUCCAGAUGAGCAGGAAGGGUUGGAGGACGUAUUACCGGAGGAGAGGACAUAUUGAAUGGAAAGAAUGAAAGCGACGUACAUACUGGAUUGACCAGCGUGUGCCAACUACUCUACUUCCCUAUUUAUUGCUUUUUCACCUCUUGGUGCACUAUUUCCCCCAGAGAAGAAAGAGAUAAGCAAUGACCGGACUAGACCAAUGAAAGCGGACCAAGGUUUUUAUUCGUUAGCCAAGCGCCUCUAUUACAAAAGCGAAAGUGAUGUGCCCUAUUGACCAGCCGAAGAGCAUCCUUAAAAAAAAAGAAUGAAUGGGAAGCAGGCCCGAUCUAUAUUGCUAGAGUUAUCUUUACUUCACCCCCCACGUACUCCUCUAUUCAACUAUUUGAAUUUCGUCUCUAAGCUUCCCCUUUAGUGCCUGCUGAGACUUAUUUCCUCUCGACUAUAGUUGAAUAGAAGUUUCAUUUCCUAAGUAUCAAAUAAUGUCUUUUAUUGAGUCCCCAUAGUGCAUUCCCCUACAUAGUCUGUAGAGUAAUUUCUCACUAAGAAGGAUUGCAAUAUAAAAAAGAGAAUUCCAGAUUGAAUCUUUCUUGACCCAUAUACGAUCCAAUUCUACAUCUUAUCUUAGCGCUGAACUAAUGAAUAGAGAUUGAGCUUCACUUCGCGAGUCGGGAAUGGCAUCAUUUAUUAAUAAGUGCUAGCGUUGACAAGAGAUGAGCUAAAGAGGUGGCCGGGCAGUUGACCAGACCCUACCACAUACAGACAGCAAGCAAGAGCUGUGCCGGCUUAUCCGAAAAAUGAAAUUCUUGCCACCCCAAAUGCUACUACCUCUUUGCUAAGCACAGGAAUGCUUGAUCGAUAAAAACAAUAUAAUAAGCAGGAGGGUGGUCGUAGAUCAGGCUGAUUGAAGAUCAGAAGUGCUCAUAGAUCAGGCUGAUUGUAAAUCAGGGUGCUCUACUACGAUCUUAGGCAGGCUGAUUGAAGAUCAGAAGUGCUCUACGAUCAACUUUUAAGAGGGCUGAUCGCAGAUCUUAGUGGGCGUAGAGAGGGGAAUUGGUUAUAUCUAAAAUAAUAACAUCCCCUUCAUAUGAUCCCCUAUAGAUAUCUACAUACAUAUAGAAAAAUUGACUUUCCAUUUUAGACAUCCGACGAUCCUGAUCUAUUUGAAAAUGGCUAUAAUUCAUUUACACAUAUAUCAUGUUUCUGCAUAUAUAAGAGCUCUUUUUAUGUUUUGAAGAGUUAUAUCAUCUUGCUUAGCGAAGACUGUGCCGGUCAUCAGUCGUAGCUCAUUCCGUAGUGAAGUAGCGUAGCGAUCUGCUUGCUGUGUGUUGUAGUUCAUGCCUUUGCUUGUCGAGUCUUGUUGAAGCGGGAUCAACACCUCAGCUUGGCUUGAGUGAUUGAUGUCACAUGCUAUCUUCGGUCGCUUCGCGAAGUGCCUCUGAGGCGAGCUAGGCUUCAUGAUUGAGUGAGGCUAGCUUGUUUCCUAGCUGUAGCGCACGCAGCUACGUAGCGAUCUUUCUUGCAGCAGCCAUAUCUUUGAAAGGGAUUGAAUAACUUGUUAAUAUAGUUUUUAUCCAAUUGGGAUGCUUGCUCGGCGGGUAAGGAGAUAAUAAGAAAUGCCUACUUGCUCAACCAAUAGGAAGAGACGAUGCCGACUUAUAUUGGGUGGACUAGACAACCAGCCAUGCUAAUAUAAAUGCUUUUUUUGCAUUCCAAAAUUUGGAUUUGAGAUCUCAUAUACCAUACUAACGGGAUCGGGUCUCUAAAAAAGAGGUCCACUCCCGAGGAGCUGUCAAACCUCGACUGAAAGGGGAGAGAAGCUUUCGGCUUGACCACGGAGAAUAAUAGGGAGAAGGGCCAGGCAGAGGCGACAUGCUUUCUUUCUUGUGAUGGAGGACCCCUUCCAUAUCAUUAUGGAUGAAAAGCCCCAAAGCCAAUUAUCCGGAAAGAGUUUUGGAAACGUUGGAACUCUUCUUUUGUAAAAAACAAGAAGCAUUUUAGGUGACAUUUAUUAAAUACUACAACAAAGAAGACCACUUUGUGGUAGUAAGGGGUUCUCAAGCGUUUACCAACUGAUGGUACGUUCGAUCAACUGAAACCUCUAGAUCGAUUAGUUGGCGAGCAGAAAACAUAUUGUUUUGACUUGAAGUUCGCCACGGAUAGUUGGCCUUUGGUACUCCUAUUCGAGAUAAUGUGUUAUCUGUUCGAUCGAUCGUUCGCCUCUAGUGUGGUGAAUUCCGUACUAGCUUGGAACAUCUUCGAGAUCCCCUUUGUAAAGAGGAAGUUCUCUCAUAUUUCUUUUAUGGCUGGACAACCGCUUGGAUACUACACUUCUUGGCCUUUAUUUGCAUUGUCCCCUCCACAACUCCGGGACCACACUCUGAAUGUCGGCCUCAAGUUCCUCGGCUAAGUAACUACUAAUCCUUCUUCUCUUCCUUCUCGCCCUUAUUCCAUAAAAGUCUUUUUUUUUUUGCCUUCGGCUAUUACCGUCUGGCAACGCUUAGCCCAACAUUUGAUUUGUUUGAAAUUACCUCGGACAAAUCGUAGAUAUCGCAAUUCUUGGAAUACUUGAAGGUUAAUCUUGGAAGUGCACGAUAAGCAUACCGUUUUAUAAGUAUAUAGUGUGUGCACUCGGCCACGAAGAAAAGAGCGGGUAGUGGAAGAAGAGGAAUCAAGUCAUGCAGUUUCCAAUCCAAUCCUUGCUCCCACAGUCAGUCCUUGGUUGAUCUCCAGGUUCUGGUUCUGCCUCAUCUCAUAAUAGAAGUACCUCUGUAAGGACUCCAUCUCAACAUCAAUUCGCAUUUGAUGGCUAUUUUACUUGAACAUUUUCAUUAAGGCCUCCCGCGCUUGUAGACAGACAGAAAGCAGAAAGAGAGCCCGAGGUACUGACCUACAGCGAGGCAGGCCCGUCUAUCUUGAUCGGAAUGAUAAGGACUUGUCCUUACUUGAAUUAAGACUUGAAUGAAGCAAAAACCCGAGGGAAAUCUCAAUAAAAAAAGUAUCGGUUCACUCUUCGCCAUAGUAGUGUCGCAUAAAAAGCGGCUCCCCCCCUUCGCUAUAAGCUGAGUUCCCAAGUUGGGGAGUACUGGUCCCAGGUCUAUCUGUUCCUGUAUGGCAGGAAGUCCCUCCAGGUUGUCUGGUUAACCGGGCUACCUAUUCAAAGAUGAACUAAUUGCCUUUGGUUUCUUCUAAUGGCAGGCCUGUGCCUCCUCUAUCCUUGCUUUCUAGGGUACCUCUUCAUCUAGUAUUAGACGAUUCUUUAAACGAUUCUAUUGAUUUCUUCUCUGUGCAAAACAAAGGGGUCUAUCCCUAGGACUCUUUCUCGUGAACUAGGGUCAAAUAAAUAGAUGGACAUCCAUCACCAACCAAUCACAUUCCACAUCCCACUUCAAACUUUUCGAUUCCUCGGGCAGCCUCCUCUAUAAAGGCAGUCCAGCUUCAGAGGCAGGUGAGCCGGGUCAGGAAGGAGUUUGACUACUGGGAAGGGAUCGGAUCCUACUCGAAGCACUCCACCACGAAUAAGAGCAAGGAAAUAGCAUCUUUCAUUUUCCAUCCACGAAUGUUAAUGUUUUGAUAUCAAUUAAUUUAGGGGCAUAGCUUAGUUCUUAUAACACAUCUAUGAUACCAACAAGAACAACUUCAUCUGGGACAGAAGCUGGAAUUGGAUCGAUGAGUACUAUACGCGAGUUACAGGGUCUUCUCAAUGCCAUAUAUUAAAAAAAGGUCAAUCCAAAUGCACAAAUAGCAGUUUUAUUGGAGCUGUGGGUCCCUUUCAAGCAUAGGAGGACAAAUCGGAUUCUGUAACCUACUACCCUCAGGUUACUUUACUUAAUCCCGGGAGUUCCUGCGCUUCCUUCUAGCCUACCAUUGCUUGCUUUGCUGCCUACGAAAAAGCUUUCAAAGCAAAGAGCUUUUUCUCACCAGAUGGGAACUGAAACACCUUUCGAAUUGAACUUUCUUCCCCUAGCCUAUGACAGCAUUCCAUAGCUUUAUGCCUACCGUCUUUCUAGGUCACCCAUCAUUCGCACUGGUAAUUCAGGACCAUAUACCACGGGUAUAUAAUGAGGUAUUUUAUUCUGUGUCUAGGGCUGACUGUGGUGGCCACACUUAAGAAAUCUGGAAACAUCUUUAAAUAAUUUAGAAAAAUUGAUCUUUUUCUUUUUAUUUUGUCUAACUAUACGAUCCAUGGUUGUGAUGCCCCUUGCCUGUGGGACUGCUGCUGCCUGCCCUGCUUCCCAUGCACCUACUUCUCAUGCACUGCCCUGCUUCAUCAAGUCCAACCUCUCCUUACUUGCAGUGCAACCUUCACUCUUUUAGAAAUUUAGUCUAGAGUCAGAGUUCGUAGAAAAAGUGGAUUCGCCCUUGCCGUGUAAGGAGAAGCGUACUCCCUGGUACACCUAUAGCAGGGUCUCCAGGUUGAAGACUCAUUCUCUUACCUAAUAAGCCAACCCCCCAAUAUAUAAAGGCAGAUAUUCAUUAUACCUUCGUGCUUCCCUUCAAUUUCAAUCAUUUCUGCAAGUGCUAAGUCUUUCUUUAUAUAUUGGGGGGUUGGGUUUUCUAUCGGUCAUGUUCUCGAUCCUCGUUCCCCUUCAUAGAGUCGAUGCUGUUGUUGCUUGCGCGUAGGGCCGUCUCCCACUCCCGUCCCGGGGCGCUAAGGGGUUUUUGUUUUUGGAGCAGACGGCUAUGUUUUGCUGACGCCUCGAAUCAAGCUUUUGUUGCGACAUGCUAUGUUUUCUCCCUCAUUGUUAGUAGGUUGAUGGGUCGCACGCUCGGCACACAUGUUUUGGCUUUGUGUGUCCAUAACUCAAAAUAGGUGACCUAACGGCCACCGCCCGACUAAACAUACCAAUAGUCACCAGAUUCAUAUGGGCUACUGGGGAGUAAGCAAUGAUCUUCUUAAGAUCGAUCUAUCUUGAAGUGGUCGAGGAAGUAUAUAUUAUAGCAAUCGCGCUUGGAGUAUAAAUGCAUGCAUUUUGGUAACCAGUCCUGCAACUCCGUCUACCAUUCCACAUCCUUCAAUCACCACACCCAUGUCUUCCUUCUUCAUAUCCUAAUACACCCAUCCCCAUUUGUACCUUUAUUUUUCUUUAACACCCAAUACCCACUUCACUCACCACCUUUCUCAUAUUCACAAACCCACUACUCACUGAACCCAUUUCCCCCACACCAUGUAUCCUCCAUGGUCAUCUUUAAACCCGCUUCUCUAUCUAAAUCUUCACAUACCCAUCUUCUCCAUUUAUCUCACCCAUUGAAGUAGCUCCCUUCAUCAUCAAACCAUUGCCAAACCACCACCUGCAUCACCACCCAAACCACCUGCCCCCUCCAUCACCACUACCAACCCAUCUUCCAUUAUUGAGCCACUUGAAGCUGUUAAGGCUGCUGCUACAAUGCAUUAAGUGUGUCAUCAUGGAUAAUUUGGACAACAUGACUGAUCCUUUGCCAAAGAUUCUAGCACGGUUGUUGCUGUUAGGGACAUCGCUGAAGCAAGUCGCAGCUUACUUCGCGAACGUGCUUCAAGCUUGUAUAACCAGCUCAUGCCUUGGUACCUACACGCCUUUAGUUGGCUUUCGUGGCGUCCCUAUGUCCUUGGAUAGUAGGAUGAUUUGGUUCGUUUUUUUUUUUAGAAAGAAGAAAGGGUCGACUGCGACGGCGACUUUGGGUUCGUUAGUAAGGAAAGUGCGACCGGGUGGAGGCGAAACCUAUAGCCGAGAUGACCAAGGGAGCAAGCCCCAUUCCAGUCGACAAUCUCCCUGGCACCGAGAUCCAUGUCGACACCAGUAUCUGUCGGUGCAAUCACACCAAAUCUAGAAACGAGGAAGAAAUGACGGAAGCCAGGACCCUGGACGUCUUCGCUGAUCAUCAAAGACAAAAAUUCCUCGUGAUCCCAUGCAUGAGAAGUGCGCCACCGGUGGUGAGAGGAAGGUUUAGAGGAAGCAGAAGGUAGGGAGUUGAAGAUAUGGAGGAGCGCAAGGGAAUGGCCAGCAAAACGCAUUUGGUGAGUUUGGAGAGGUUAAGGAUUUGCAUUUAAAAUUUUUUAGUGUUGUAUUGGGCUUGCAAAAGGGAAUACGUUGUUGGAAUAUAUGAAUCUUGAGGGGGGCAUGGGCCAUGAUGAAUGGGACUGAACUUCUCACACAAAUAAUCAAUGUUGACUGGGCCUUCCGCAAUGGGCCAUUCCUAAAGAGAGGAUUCUGAUAUGGAUGAGUAUGCAUCCUAAAUUAAGGGCACCUUUUUUGUUUUGAUAUGCUGCCUCGAGCCCACACGUUAUAUGGCCACCUUUAGGCCUGCAAUACAAUGUUUUAAAAAUCGGACCAAACCGGCCGGUUCAACCAGUUCAACCGUCGACUAGUCAUGUUUUCGGUCCGGUUCACUCUAUUGAACCGCUUGGCUAUUGGACUGGACACGAACCACCUGAACCGACGGUCAGACCGAUGACUCGGUCGAACCGGACGGUUCAAAACGAACCGAACAGUUCAAAUUAGCCCCUCAUUUUGCAAGAAGGGCCCAUUGAAUUUAAUUGAUUUGUGCCAAAGCCCAUGCUGAGCCUUGUGACUUAUGACAAAGCCCACACACUCAACCCAACCACAUUUUGGGCUGAGUCUUGAGCCCAUUAAUCAUGGUCAUGCCUAUGCCUUGAGGAUGGCUUUUAUAGGAGUCAUUUGCAUCCUUAUUCCUCUCACUUUCCGAUGUGGGAUUGCUAACAUUAUCAAUGAAAAAAUUAUAUAACAAUCUCCACCAAGAAAGCUUGAACCUUGGACCUCCGGUACACUACCCUCCCUAAGAGACCACUCGGCUAUACCCAUUUUGUUAUCUACCAUGCCAAACUAAAUAAUAUAUUUUAGAUUUUAAAUUUUUUUUAUAAUAUUAAAUAAAAAUAAUAUAAUAUUUUUAAAAAUUAUAAAAUUAGUUUAAAUUUUCAAAUAUGUUCACAUUUAAAUAUUAUACAUAUUUCAUCUAAUAAAAUUUAAAAUUUUAAUUUGAUAAUAUCAAAGAUAUAAAAUUGAUUUUUAAUUUAUUCAUAUAUAUUUUAAAUUUUUUAUAAUUAUUUUUAAUUUUAAUAAUAUAUAAAUAAAAAAUUGCAUAGUUAUGAUGUCACCGGUUCAAUAGCGGUUCGACCACCGGUCCGACCGGUGAACCGUGAACCGGUAACUUUUCUGGUUCGAUGACUGGUCCGGUUCUGAAAACAUUGCUGCAAUGCCAACCACUGCACUUUUUUUCAUCUAUUUUAUUAUUUUAUUUAUUAUUCCCUCAUUUUUUUUUUAUAUCUCAAAUUAAUUUCCAAAGAUUCCAAUUAUUACAUUCAUUUGUUUAAUCACUUUUAUUUCCGUUAUCAUUAUUACUUUAUUUACUUAUUUGUUUAUUUAUUUAUUUUUAAAAUUCCAUCUUUAAAUAAUUCUUCAAAAUUCCAAUUUCUAAAUUUAAUUUCUAAUUUCCAAAAUUCCAAUUUUCGCAUUUAUUUAUUUAAUCAUUAUUAAUUUAGUUAUUAUUAUUAUUUUAUUUAUUUAUUCAUUUAUCUAUUUAUUUUUAAAAUAUAUAUAUAUUCUUAAAUAAUUCUCCAAAAUUUCAGUUUUCAAAUAACCUUUCAAAGUUCAACUUCCAUAAUUAAUUUUCAAAACUCUCAUUCUUAAGUUUAACUUUCGAAACUUUAAUUUUCUGAACUUUAGUUUUCAAAUUUAAUUUCUAAAAUUCCAAUUCUUAAAUUCAAUUUUCAGAACUCCAAUUUCUUUCAAAUAAUUUUCAAAAAUCCAAUUUUCAUAUUUAAUUUUUAAGAAAUCUCAUCCCCAAAUAUUUUUUCCAAGUUCCAGCUUUCAUGACUUCUAGUUUUAAAUUAUUUUUCUAAAAUUCCAAUUUUCGAAUUUAGUUCUUAAAACUUCAAUUUUCAAAUAAGUUUCAAAACUUGAUUUUCAAAAAUUUGUCUUUCAAAUGGUUUUAAAUCUUUUAAAUUUAUUUAUUUAAUUUGUUUAUCCACCUAAUUUAAUUAUUUUAUUUAUUCAUCUUUCAUAUAAUUAUUUAUUUAUUUCUCAUUAUUAUUAUUAUUAUUAUUAUUGUUAUUUUUUCUUUUCUUUCUUUUUCUUUUCUUCAUUAAAAUUCUAAUUCACCAAAACCUAAUUUUUUAAUAAACGUGCUGCCAUUUUUUAUUCAGGUAGACAUCUUGUGAUUUUCUUUGGUUUUUAAUUAUUUUCUUGUUUUUCACUAUUUUUAAUAAGCAUGAAUGAUUUUUUCAUAAUUUCAAAAGUAAUGGAAUUUGUGAGAUUAAUUUAUGCAAAAUAAAUUGGGCCUUGAUGAGGGCCCAACAUAUGCGAUAUCCUCAUUGAUUGAUUGAUUGCUUUACAUGAUUGACUUAUUCCACUCCAUGACAUGCAUGCGAUUAUUCCGUGUUUGUUUACUAACUUUUGUUUUCCAUAAAGUAAACUGACUCAUCACUUAGGUACACUCCUUGCCUCUCUUGUUUGUUUGGUUAUCUUGUUUUGAUUGAUAUUCAUUCGGUAUCCAUGUUUGAUCAAUCAAUUGCCAUACUUGCUUCAUCUCAUUAGUAGGGAUCCGUUCUUAGGGAUUUAGAGGGGUGCUAUGGUCUUUACUGUACCUUCCCAAUAAGUAACUUGACCCCCGAGCCCAUAUCUGGUUUUUCACGGACCUAUUUUUCCUUCAGGAGUCAUACUUAGGGUUUUUCCUUCUUAUUUUGUUUUUCCCUUAAAAAAUAAAACAAAAAUAAGUGGCGACUCCAAGUCUUUUAUAAAAAUCAUAAUUUUCACCAAAUAAAUAAAAAAAAGCGAGUUUUGCCAUUGAGUGGGAACACAUCAUGCAAAAUGAAGGGUUCAUAGUAACCUUUCUUGGUUUAAAAUUGUAAAUAAAAAACUUUAAAAAAAGUCAUAAUUUUUCUAAAAGAAAAUUGUUUUAACAUAAAUGGAUUUGUAUUUUUUAUGAAUGAUACUUUCAUUAGAAAAAUGUUGUCAUUUUCAUUAUUUUUUUUAAAAAUGAAAAGAAUUAUUCGAAAUGGAGAUUAUUUUAAUCAUACAUCUCAAACAAAAUAAGUAUGAGGUGUUAUAUUGAUGACAAAAACACAUUUGGGUUAGUAGUUAUAAUUUUUUAUACAUUUAUAAUUAUAAUAAAUUUUAAAUAUAUUCAAAUUGAUUCAAUUAUUAUCUUUGUUAAUUAUUAGGAUUUAAUUAUUGAUUUAGAUUAGUCCUAAUAGAAAUUAUACAAAUCAUAAUAAUCCAAAAUACGUUCAAUCAUAUAAGAAUAGAUGAUAUAUUUGAUAAAACACUUGCAAAUAUUAUUUCAACCUCAAUAGAUGCAGAAACAACAAAUUUAUCAACUUGCAAUAAAUAUUUCACUAAAUAAAAAAAAAAAUAUCUUGUAGAUUUUAUUAGCAUUUUUUUUUAUUUUACACCCCAAAAUGAAAUAAUUUUCAUACCUAAACCUGGGGUAUUUUACUUGUACCAUAUUUAAAAACUUAAUUUAGUGUAAAUUAUUCAUCUCAUAAUACCAUUAUACCAUUUUAAAACUCAAAACAUACUUAUACUUAAGCUUCAAAUUGUGUCUUCAACUUGAGUAUGUUAGUAUAAGACUCAUAGCGAAGUAGUCUCGAAUUAUUAAUCUUAGGAGCAAAAUUGUUGACCCAUUGUAAUACAUUAACAAAGUUAACACUAUAUAAAAAUAAAUAUAAAAAGAUUAUUUAUAUAAGAAAAUAGUAAGAAUUUUGGAAAACCCUAUAAUACCUCCAAACCCCUUAUUUUGCCCUUGACCCAUAUAGGUUACCCUCGUAGUAAUUAUUGUAUUUCAUUGACUUGUAGUCUUUAAUUAUUCCUUAGGAUAAUUAUGGAAUUUUAAUGUGAUCAUAUAAACUUUUUGAUUUUUUUUAAUUUAGAAUUUUUUGUUGUUUGAACUUAUCAUCUCCUUUAAUUAUAAAAAAGAAAUCUUGUUUUUAAAAGACAAAUUCAUGAUUUUAAUUAAUUAAUAAUUGGUUUCAUUUCUUUAAAAAUAUAGAAUAUAAUAAGAGUUUGAUAAUAAAGUAAGGCAAGAUCUUCUAUAAUAAUACUUUAACAUGAUUUAAUCAUUUUUGUUAUUAUCGCUUUAUAAAUUAUAGAAAUUGAGACGUUAACCAAUUUUGUUAAAUGGGUAAAUUGAAGAUUAAUGUAUUAUGACUCUUAAAAAUAUAUUUCAAGAUUUUAAAUCAUGCUAAAAUGAUUUUUCUUUUAACAUUAUGUGAACCAUAAAUUUAAAUAAAAAUUUGAGUUUACCAUAGCUAUUAAUUUCAUGCCUUAGAAUAUAAAAUAAGAUAAGUUAUUUCUUUGAUAAUACAUAUGCUAAACCAAUAUUCCUAUUAAUAUCCCAUUGAAUCAUAAACAAAGAAUUUUUUUAGUCCAUUACAUAAAAAUUCAUAUUUUAAAACAUGAAAUAAAUUAAUUUUUUUUUUCUAAUCAAUAAUAAACAUAUAAGUUAUAUGUAUUUAUAAAUAUUUUAUACUUAGCCUUUACAUAAUUUAAGACUUGCCAAAUACACCUCAUAUAAUCCAUGCACCAAUCGUUCAUCAUUAUGCCCCAUAAUCCAUCAAGGGAAACUUGUGUUUCCAGCCUAUGAUUAGGAAAAUAUAUGGUUUUGGAACUUUACGUGAAAUAUGACAUUUCUAUGUUAAUGGGGAAAAUAUUAUAUUUCUCAUGCACUAUAUACUGUUUAUAUAUUUAUUUCCAAAAUUGCCCUUUAAUGUUUCCCUAUCAACAACCAAGGGUGUCCAUGUCAGCAAGAAAUAAGCACCAAAAUCAUAAACUUGAACUUAUCUAAUUUGAGACCCACACUCGACACAAGAAACAUUUCAAAUUUGGGGAAACUCUCUCUAUCACUUCCUCUCAUUUUGCCCUAACCCGAUAUCAGGAAAUUCACAUUUUCAUAGCUCGUUUGAUACACCAAGAUAGGUAGUCGAACUAUUUAUUGACAUCCUAACCAGGCGAUGGAUACCCAUCUUCCCAAAGCCGUCUUCAUCUCAUUUUGGCCUAACCCUAGUGUGACUCUCUUCACGAGCUGACCACCCAAACCCGGGCAUCUUCCAAAAACCUUCAACGAAGCCAAAGUCAAGGCAUAUCUUCAUAUUUCUUCAUCAAAGGUGGAAUUUUUUUAAGGUUUCUGGAAACCAAAGUGGAGCUUCCUCUUGCUUUGGAUUAAUUAAUCACAGGUGAGUUUUCCAUUUAAGGAUUCGUUUGGCUGUUGAGAAAAUAUUGGGGCUAAGGUCUUAUAUUUUGGGAGUUUGUUGUAUUUUGAUUCAUUUUCAUAUGAAUGAAAUAGAGGGAAAAUUUGUUUUGAUUAAAAAAAAUUUCUGACGGAGUGAAAUUUGGAAACAAGAAUGGCUGUUUUUCGUUAACGACCCUGUGAUUUAGAAUAUUUGAGAUUUUUUUUUUGUUAUAUCUUAAAUUUUUAUGUUUACAAGGACUGCUGUUUGUCAGAAUUGUUUAGGAAAUUUUUUUUGAGAACCACACUCAUCAUUAAUUUGUUUUAUGUCAUAGAUAACUUGAGUGGAGAUGAAGAUAACUUGAGUAGUCCUUGGUUAGCAUUUUGGAAGUACUUUAGUGAAAGCAAAACCUGUUAAUCUUACUACUCCAAUUAGGAUUUAGAGUCCCUCGAUAUUUUAUGAGUUUCCUAUCGUGUGAUUUUGUUUUCAAAUAUUCUUCUACAUAGCUAGAGUUGAGCUACUGGCUAGUGAAUUUGGAUGGUUAGCAUUUCUCUUGCAUUUCUGGCUUUAUAUUUGAUGAUAAGGAGCACCUAUCCUUCAUGACUACAUUUAUAUCUUUAUGUUCACGCACAUUGGAUUCCUUUGCUUGUUUUUUUAUCGGUUUUUGAUUUGUCUGCGUUGCUGUAGGAUUUGUGGGUUAGGGAGCAUUGAAGUAGAGCAACUUACGUACUCAUUACCAAAUUUUUACUUUGUGAUCAGAAAGGAAGUUAAAUUAUGCAGACUCCAAAGCAAGGUAACUUCAAAUGCUUUUAUGAUUUCUCUCUGUCUUUGGGGGUGCUUGUCCCAUUUUCUUGGUUAAAUUGGAGGGAUUGUUUUGUUCUUUGAGGCAAUUUGAGGGUUGGUUGUUUCUCUUUUGUACUAUGUAAAGCUAAGCUUUAGAUUUUUAUCUAUUGUCCAAUUGAAAUUUUGGGGGCCAGUCUCAAUGAAAGCGAUAAAUAACUUUGUAGUUGUGCCUGAUAUUGAUGGCAGUUGUUAUUAGUGUUAGUAUUAAUCUUUACUCAUUUUAUUGUGAAGACUUUUCCUUCUUUUAUUAUUUCCUUUUUGUUUGCCAUAUAUUUAUCAUGCGUGCUAAUGAAUCCAUGAAACUUACAACAUCAAGCCACAAUUGAGGGCCAGAUUCUAUGGUAAGUGUCUGACUUGCAAUUUUAACAAAGAUUUAGUGUUGCCCACUUUCGCUUGGACCUACUGGGCUAUGCAGGGACAUCUUUUCAUAUCUUAUGCUUUUACUAUUGAGCUAUGUGCUAGUGGGGACAUGCAAAGCUUCAUGUCUAGAGAGAGAAUAAUCUUUUCAUAACUCUUUCUUUUACUGAUUUUUUUGUACUCUCUAGAGAAUGGAAAAGGUUUCUAUGUUACUGAGUCUGACUCUGCAUCCUCUUCGAAUCAAGCAAGUAGAACACCAAAAGACAGAAACCCUAAGGUUAUUGAGCGCAGGUCACCUAGAAGACCAGUGUCUGAGGUACUUUAGUUUACACAAUUGAUCUAUCAUGCUGUAGUUUUCAGUUUAAAGAAUGUUUGAGAACCUCUGGGAUUUAUCUUCGGAAUAUGUAAAGCACACAAGUGUUAAAUUUUUUCUCCUUUUUUUUUUUUUUUUUUUUUGUCUAUUACUGGCCUCAUACAAGUUCUCUGUGGAAAUUGUUUCACAAUAAUAUACAUUAAUUAUUUGAAGGUCCCUAGUAAUACAAAUAAUAUUAUGCAAGGUUAUUUCUUGAGCUUCCUGUUCCUUCUUGACAAUUUUAUGUUAGGAAGAGGAACGUUAGUUGUAUAGAGAAAUAUACUGCUGGAUUAAAUAAACUAUUUCCUCAUCUAUUAUUCAAUUGAUCUGUACGUAAAUAUAUACAACAUCACAGAGAACUAUUUUAGGAAAUAUUUACAGCAAUUACUAUAAAAAAAUAACUAUACACCAAUCUUGGCUAAUAAUCACAUAAAUAGAAACAGAUCAAAGACUUUAUUCAAAUGGCUUGAUUGUAGGCUGAAAUCAUGAAGGUUUGACUUGAUCUUGAUUUUGGCAAUCUUCCUUAAUACGCCCCCGCAAGAUUGAGCUUCCAUCGGCAAGACCAAUCUUGGUACGUAACAAUUCAGUCCAUUGCCGUGACAAGGGUUUUGUCAAGAGAUCAGCAAGUUGAUCUUGUGUGUGAACAUGACUAACAUGAAAGGUCCCAUUUUGAACAAGCUCUCGGACAAAGUGUAAAUCAAUCUGAAUAUGCUUCAUGCGAGAAUGAUUAACUGGAUUAAAACUCAGAUGCGUGGCGCCAAGAUUGUCACAUAGCAACAAGGGAGGCACCUUGAGUGGAAAACCGAGUUCAUGAAGUAAGGAGUUCAGCCACACAGUUUCAGACGCAACAUUGGCAAGAGCACGGUAUUCAGCUUACUAGAAACACAACUUCAGUUUUAACCACGUUCUCUGAUGCUGACUGGGCAGGGAAUGUGGAUGAUAGAACCUCUACUUCGGCUUAUAUUAGUUUUCUUGGCACAAAUCCCAUUUCUUGGAGCUCCAAGAAACAACGAGUUGUUGCUCGCUCAUCGCUUUCAAGAUCAAGUCAAACCUUCAUGAUUUCAGCCUACAAUCAAGCCAUUUGAAUAAAGUCUUUGAUCUGUUUCUAUUUAUGUGAUUAUUAGCCGAGAUUGGUGUAUAGUUAUUUUUUUAUAGUAAUUGCUGUAAAUAUUUCCUAAAAUAGUUCUCUGUGAUGUUGUAUAUAUUUACGUACAGAUCAAUUGAAUAAUAGAUGAGGAAAUAGUUUAUUUAAUCCAGUAGUAUAUUUCUCUAUAUGGUAUCAGAGCAACCCUUCUCCAACGAGUCGAUCCCUCCCAUUUCCCCAAUGUCUUCCUCACCCGAUCAACCUCAAAUUCAUCUCAACACCCACCCCAUUUCCUCCACUGAAAUCAUGAAGGUUUGACUUGAUCUUGAUUUUGGUAAUCUUCCUUAAUAAGUUGUAGUAUUCUUAUUAUUUUCUCUUGCCUUUUUAAUUCAUUUUGCAUACUAUGAAAUCACUGUUUUGAUGGAUUUGAUAAACACCCAUCAGAACAAGAAAUAUUUGAGUGUCAAAUGGCUGAACUGUAAUAAUGGUGCCGAAGAUCUCCUUGUUCCGUUUCUGUGAUACCCUGUUAAGUGGGAUUGUUAUGGCAGUGAUAGAUACUUUCAUUGAAUUAUCACUGAUGUCUAGGAGUCUCCGUUAGAUUUUUUACAGGCACAUCACAGAAACUAGGCUGGGUCCUGAAACCUAGUUAAAGUUUGCAUUAUAGAUAUCAUGCAUUUGGUUUCAGUUUUUGAGAAGUUCAAGGAGAGAUACAGCUUUGUAAUCUUAUUUUAAGAGAGUGAUUAUUCAAAUAAUUUUCAUGGAUACAGACACAUUAAUUUGCUGGACCAAAUGAUAGUUGCUGGUUUGGACAAUAGUAAGUUACUUCAGAAAGGCUGCAGAAUGGGUUUUUUUUUUUUUUUUUGUUAUGGGUUAUUGGGAAAGAGAAGACAAUACUUUUAAUGGGUGGAGUGAUUGACGUUAAUUGUCCAAAAAUCAAAGCUUUGUUCACAUGCUUCUGCAGUUUAAUCAGGAAUACUAAUCUUUGCUUUGUUGGGUUUGUUGUUGGAUUGGGUUUGGGUAUGUGUUUGGCCACUGGAAGCUCAUACUUUCUUUUUCUUUUGGCUUUGGUGUGUCUUGUACACUUCCCUUGUUUUUUUUUGCAACCCAUUUUAUUUGGCCCUUUACCAUAGGAAAAAAGUAGAAGAGCACAUAGAACUAAAGGAAGGUCCUUGGAAUGGAUUCCUAGUACUUUGAUAAGAAUGAAAACAAGAUAUAAACUCAUUAAUUUUAUGUUUCUCUUGUCCUAUAACUUUGCUGAAAAACUGAAAUCCAAUAUAGUACAAUUUAUUGUUUGAACUGUGCAACUUUCUUUAUCAAUUUCAGAUUCUUAUUUCAAUGACCAAUCCUUGUUGUAGAUAGACCAAUAAUAAGGUGAUACAUGGUUUUGUUAUCGAUCCAUUAUUAAUAACAUGUAGUAGAGAUCAAAGGACAUUUGAUGAUGGCCAUAUGAUGCAGAACAAAAAAAAAAUGAUGUGAAGUAAAGCUAAAUAGAAGCAUGUGAUUUACAAAUAGAUUUUGACACCAGGCACCAUAGUUAAAAUGAAGUGUAGACAAUUCAAGAGCAUAUACAAAAUGCAUAAUAUACAAUAUUUUACUAUAGCCAACAAAGAUGUAUAAAGAUAUAGGCACCUCAUGACCAUCAUUUUUUACUGUAGUAUGAGCACUUGUUUUGCAAGAAGUGAAGACUGUAAUCCACCAACUGAAGAAGAAAGAACCAAUGAGAGAGACAUUAGUUUAGACCAAAACCCUCUUCACUCUCCUCCACACUUGAUUAGCUCUUCGACACCAAUAGAUAGCCUCUAAUGCAAAAGUGCACACGUUUCUAAGGGUGGAUCAGUGAUAGUGAGCCUAAUGAAUUUUGUACCAAGCAACUCAUACUAGCUACAGUGAUGUAAUUGGAAUAGUUGAUACAUAGGAUGGAUUAACACAAUAAGAGCAGGUGGGAUGAGAAGCAUGAAUGAAGACCUUUUUGGUUGUUUUGUAUAUUUUUGAUGUUUUCUUUCUUCAGGACAAGAUGACUCUUAUGUUUUUUUUAUAGCAUUUUUAGAUGAAUGUUAGUAUGGUCCCUAUGGAGAAAGGUGAAAAAAACAUUGAAGAUAGGAGGAGGAAGGAAAAUAUUUUGUAUUUUAUUUUAUUUUAUUCCCAUUGUCCUCUAAAAAUAUCCUUGAAAAUGUAAUUUUCUCUUUUUUGGACAUUAUCAUGGGCGAUCAAACAAAGAGAAUUUUUUUCUGUAAACCAUAAAAAUGCAAGCUAUAUAAGAAAAUGCUUUGGAGAAUGUCUGUAAUGUUAGAGGAGAUGCCUUAGAUAAUGCUUGGAAGGUUGAAAUAUGAAAUGGAAAUGACAACCAAACCCAGUGUACUUAUCUCACACGCGAAAUGCACCCAAGACAAAUGACACAUUAGAAUCAUAAGGAAUCAAACAUAAGCCACUUAUUGUUUUUUAAGAAGGAAAACUUAAGAUUUGUAUGCAAAUUGUUUAUAUAAUAAGUUCUUAUUAUUUAAAAUAGAAAAUUGUAUUUUUACUUCGAAAAUAUUUUUAAUAUUUUUUUUUAAAAGAUAAGGAAUGAGAAGAGAAUUUGUGUAUUGUAUAAAUGUAUAGUCUCUUUUAGGGAAAAUAAGUCCAUAAAAUUGUUUUUUCAUUAUUUAAGUUCCCAAUAAAGGGGGGAUAUAUAUAUAUAUAUAUAUAUAUAUAUAUAUAUAUAUAUAUAUAUAUAUAUAUAUAUAUAUAUAUAUAUAUAUAUAUAUUUAAGGUUUUGAAAAACUUCACACAAAAAUAAUAAAGAAAAAAGAAUUCCUAUCAUUUUAUUGUCCAUGAAUAAAUUAUAGAUGUGGAAAAUUUCUUAGCCCUUCUUCUCUCUUUUUGUAAUUUUAAUUACAUUAAUUUUGCAUUAUCCAAAUAUAAUUUCUAUAAAAAAACAUAAUUUAAAUAAUUAGAAUUUUAUUUUAGCUUAUAUUGACAUAAUUUGUACAUAUUAGCCUUAAUUUAAAUUUGAAAAAUGCUAAAAUUUGAUUUCCCUAGAUAUAAUAGUUAGUUUUACAUCUCAACUAAAAUUUAUUACAAAGCUUAUGAUGUGUCAAAAAUUCUCAAUUUCUCUUAUGUUGUGACCUUUAACAAACAAAUUGUCUUAUGCUUCAAACGUUUGAGUGAUCAUUUUCAGUUUAACAAAGUUGAUAAUAAUAAUCACAUAGUACCUAUGAACAUUAUGAAAAAUACAUUACUAGACAUUCAUAUUAAUAACACAUUUCUACAACCUCUGUUAAACUAGAUAUUAUAAUAAGCAAAACAUAUGCUACAAAGAAGCUAGCAAAGAAACUUAUUACAUAUGUAUAUGAAAUAUUUUGCACGGAAUGCUGAUCAUCAACUGCAAGUUCAAACUUUUGUUUACCAGUUAAUGAACAUUUUUCACUUUGCUUCCAUCUUAGUGCCUAAAACACCCAAGCUCGGACAACAUCCUCUCUAGAAGUAUAUGAUUUGUAAACACUCUCCUUAUAAAGGAGCACAUUCUUUUGACAUUCAACCAAAGAAUUGUACACUCCAUGUCUAAGACCCACAAACACUACAUAGUAUGAUUGCAUGUUCAUCAUCUGAUGACAUAAUUGUUGUUGGUUAAUUUUUUAUAAUCAAUCAAGUAAUAACUAUUGAAAAAGAUAGUACGAAACAUAGAUAAUUCACACAUGUAUACCACAGUUUAGGAUAAUAACAAUGAUGAUUAACUACAAAAUUAAAAAUAUAACAAGUAAUGUCCGGGAUUCAAGGUCUGAGGUUUCGCAUAGGUAGAACCCAACUUAAACUAAGGUAGUACCUAAGGUCUGUUAAGGUAGUACCUAAGUUAGAUUAAGUUGGUUGAUUCGACUCAUGGUAGCUUAGCUUUAAAGGCGUAUCAACAAAAUUUAUACCUUAAAUACUAUUACUAAAGUAGCCAAGCUACUAUAGCAUAGUGGUUCUAGGAUCGUUCACUGGGAAGGGUUUUCGCAAACACUAGUGAUAUUCAAAUUAGGAAAAUAGGUGAUUUUCUUAUGGAUGUUAGCUUUAAAAGAAGAUGUAAAUGUUUUAGAAAGAUUUAAACUAAUCUAAGCUAACAUUAAAGACUAAAAUGAAAGGGUGUAAAAACAAGUUUCUCAAAUAUAGGAUAGCCAUGCUCUGGCUCUUAUGCAAAUUGGAAAUCUCAGGAUAGGCUCCUCGCGUUGGGGUUGCAACUAUGGUGAUGCUUGCUUCCCGAACCGGUAUNNNNNNNNNNNNNNNNNNNNNNNNNNNNNNNNNNNNNNNNNNNNNNNNNNNNNNNNNNNNNNNNNNNNNNNNNNNNNNNNNNNNNNNNNNNNNNNNNNNNUCGGCAAAAGCAGAGAAAUUCGCAACACGCAUGGGUUAUGCGAAUUUUGAAGGUGUUAUGCGAAUUUCGCAUAACCUGGAGCAGUUGGCUUCCGAAGGCCAUAUCUUCCUCAUUUCAACUCCAAAUCGUGCACGGUUUGAAGAGUUGGAUUCUUGACUUCCAGAGCUUUGAAAUGGUAUAUAGUAUGUAAAAAAUGGACUUCGGGAAGUGCUCCAAAAGUGCGAAAGAAGACUGCAGCUGCUGUCCUCUGAUUUUUUUCACUUAAUUUGCUUCACUUUGCUUGCAUACUUUGAACGACUUUGGCAAAGGGCUAUGGAGCUCCAAAGCUUGGUUCUUCAUGAAUUUGAGCUUCCAAAAGCUUUGCCAUAACUUGUCCAAGUAUCUCCUCCAUCAUUUGGCAUGCUUGAAUUGAUUCAUAAGCUGAUAAAAACAUGUAAACUUGCCACAAAAUGGUUAAAACCAAUUACUAAGGACCUUAAUGAAUUAAUUGGGUUAAAUGAAUAUGAUUACUACUCAAAGGUGCUUAAAACCAUUAUAAUUAGGUUUACAAAAUAUCACUUUUUGGUAGUAAUCAUUGGUACCUAAGGUCUAUUAAGAUAGUACCUAGAGUAUAGUUCAAAAAAAAAAAAAAAAAACAAAGGUCAACCAAUUAAACACACAAAAUAUUUACAUAAUGGCAUGCUCUAAGGGUCACAAGGUAGUACCCAACUUUAAGUAAGGUAGUACCUAAGGUUAGUUAAGGUAGUACCUAAGAUAGAAUAAGGUGGUACCUAAGGGCUAUUAAGAUAGUACCUAAGGUACAGUUUGCAAAAAACCAAAGGUGAACCACUUGCCUACACAAAAGAACCACAUAAUGGCAUGCUCUAAGGGUGACAAAGGAAAGGUCGAGGCUUUGAAUAGGUAGAACCCAACUUUAACUAAGGUAGUACCUAAGGUCGCUUAAGGUAGUACCUAAGGUAGAAUAAGGUGGUACCUAAGGGCUAUUAAGGUAGUACCUAAGGCAUAGUCCUCAAAAAACCAAAGGUGAACCACUUGACCACACAAAAGAAUCAUAUAAUGGCAUGCUCUAAGGGUCACAAAGGAAGGGUCGAGGCUUCGGAGAGGUAGAACCCAACUUUAACUAAGGUAGUACCUAAGAUCACUUAAGCUAGUACCUAAGGUAGAUUAAGGUGGUACCUAAGGGCUAUUAAGGUAGUACCUAGAGUACAGUUCGUAAAAAACCAAAGGUCCACACAAAAGAAUCACAUAAUGGCAUGGUCUAAGGGUCACAAAGAAAGGGUCGAGGCUUCGGAUAGGUAGAACCUAACUUUAACUAAGAUAGCACCUAAGGUCGCUUAAUGUAGUACCUAAGGUAUAAUAAGAUGGUACCUAAGGGCUAUUAAGGUAGUACCUAAGUUACAGUCCGCAAAAAACCAAAGGUGAACCACUUGAACACACAAAAGAAUCACAUAAUGGCAUCCUCUAAGGGUGACAAAGGAAGGCCCAAGUCUUCGGAUAGGUAGAACCCAAUUUUAACUAAGGUAGUAGCGAAGGUAGAUUAAAGUGGUACCUAAGGGCUAUUAAGGUAGUACCUAAGCUACAGUCUGCAAAAUAACAAUGCGACUUAUAACCAGAUAUGUUGUAAGUUCCAUCUGGAUUCAAUACGACUUGUGGGUCAUAUGGUUACUAGGGAAUAAUAUGGUUCCCACAACCCAACACAAAAGUUCAUGUCCACAAACGACUCUAAAAUUGUUGAUGUGCUCUAUUUCAAAUAAAUGAACCAAUGAACAAUAAAUGAAAAUAAUUUACCUUCAUAUUUUGAUUUGGGGUUAGGGCAAAAUGCCACUCAAUGACAGGAAGAGAUAUAUUGUUCACGAAGCCAAUAUUUUGGAUUCCACAUUUCCGUUCCGGUAUGCGCUGUUGUAGUAGUUUCACAAUCACAAAUAUGCCUCUUGAAGUCGUCUUUUAAUCGGACAUUCUUAGGAUGGAAUGCUCCUGUGGACCCGCAUUUUUCACAUGCGCCCCCACUCGAUCGGCGAGACUCGCUUUUAUUGGUGAAAAUUUUAAUUCUUAGAAAAGUCGGAGUCGCCACUUAUUUUAUUUUAUUUUAAAGGGAAAAUAAAACAAAAAAUAAAACCCUAAAAAAAUGACUCCAUAAUUUUUGGAAAAACAUGUCCUUGAAAAACUUGAGUCUAGGUGCGGGGAUCAGGUUACUUAUUGGGAAGGUACCUCUUGGAGGUAACACCCCUCUAAGCCCUAUAAAGGUCUCUACUAACUAAGUUGAGGGAAAUGUGACAAUUAAUUGGUUGAUUGAGGGUACUUAGGUAGAUUAAGGUGAUUUUUUAAAAAAAAUAGCAUGCUAAACAAGAAAACCGAUUACAAAUUAGAAAGAAAAUUUAGGGUGCAUACCUAGACUGCUUCUUAAGCGCUAUCAUAAGACACCAAAGUUAGUUCAAAUAAUAUAUCUCCAAUAUGUGCUUUAUCAAAAAUAAUUGAACAAUGAAACAAAUAUCAAGACACCCAAGCACUAUCAAACAUAGGCAUAGUUCACAAUGAAAAAUAUAUUCACUAAAUUUAGAAGCUGGGUGUUAGGGGGCGUACCUGGAUAGCAUAGAUAAUUUAUAAUGCAUUUCCACAAGAUAUGAGGCGUUAGAUAAUAAAUAAUAAAAUAAGAAAUCCUAGCAUGUUUAGUUUCUAAUUAGCAUAGAAAAAAUGAUCAAAGUAUACAAAAUCAUCAAUUAUCAAUUAUCAAUUAUAUCGGGUAUAGAAUUCCUAAAAAAAAAACAUAGAUAAACAUGAUUUCAAUAAGUAGCAAAGGUGGAAAAACAAAGUUUUGUAAAGAUUUUCUUAUGUAGGGAUUUCACCAAUUCCCCAAUUGAUAUACACGAAUCUAGCCUAGAAUUAUCCCAUUUGUUUGGGACUACAAGCUUGAAUUCGUAUUCCACUCAAAACCAGGAUUUUUAUUGAAAACUGAGGAAGAUGCAAAUCGACCAAAACAUGGUUGCAUAUUACUUGAGAAAAUGAGGUUUUGAUUCUAAGGGCUUUAAAUGAGUUUUUAAAAUAGAUUUUUAAAGGGAUAUUUGAAGAACAGUGUUAUAUUUUAAAAACAAGAGAAAUAAUUCUAAAAAUAAUAAAACAUAUGAGAAACAGAACACUAAACCAAACAAACAGAAACAAAAUCAUAAAUUAAAAUUUUUGGCAACCAAGCAAACUAAAGUGGUGUGAAUGAAGGCCAAUUUUCACAAUUUUUCGAUGGCCUCUGAAAAAUAAAUUUGACAAGAGACUACCAAAGUAAUAAACUAUUAAAACUUAGAUCAAAUAAGCUAACAUGAUACUCACCGAGAAUUAAUGACUAAUUUUCAAGAAACAUGUCAAUUAAGAGUAAAAAUCAAGAAUUAGCACGUGAUCAAUUAAACACACAAACGUAUCUAGAUUGAUUAAAAUGGACCAAAUUAAAUCAGGUUAAACAUGAAUUUUCAAUUAUAGAAUUAAUUUUAUUAGUGAGUUAAUAUUAUAGAAAAUAUCUAAACUGAAUAGAUGAGUGAAGCUAAAUCAGAGUAAAUAAAACACAGGUACCUUCUAAUGUGGAAUUGAUUUUGUUAAUAACUUAAAACUAUAAAAAAACACCUAAAAAUUAAAAUGAAUCAAAUGAAAUGAAAGGAAGCUAAAACAAAAUAUGAAUUCAUAGAAUCAGCUUCCUAAAUAAAUUUACAUUAUUAAAAUGAAACCUAAGCUUAACAAACGUUUUUACACUAAUUAAGGAAAGUCUCAAAUCUAAUAUUUAACAUAUAAAAUAAAUCAUUUCGACAAACUAAAAUUUUGCUUAAACCUAAAGUCAAAUCAAACUACCCAAAACAGGUUUUUUUUAAAUUGAAUCUUUAACCCAUAGGAUAAAUUUUAUUAAUAAAUAAGUGGAUAACGAAUCACUAAAUUAGUAGCAAAUAAAUAAAUAACUAAUAAAUAAUUAAAUGAAUCAACACUAAAUUAAAUAGGGGUCAAAUUAUAUUUUUUUUUUCUCAAAGUUAAAACUACAUAAAAUUGUAUUUUAUGAAUUUAAUAUAAAAAAAAUCAAAACUAACUUUAAACACAAUUCUAAUCUUUAAUAUAAUAAAUCAAAAAUUAAACAAGAGUGAGAUUCAUGCUGCCAUAUUAAAACAAAUAUAUGCUAAAACUAAUAAUAUAAGUCAAGCCACUCACCCAAUAUAAUAAUCCCACUUGAAAAAUAAACCAAACUUUAAAUUCUACUGAAAACCCAUAUAAAACAAACCAACUUACCUAGUCGGUUGUGAUGCUACCAAGGCAAGGUGGUGUGCAACUAGUGCGAUGAAGAAUGACUAAAGGAUCAACCUAGCCAACUGUGAUACUCCCAAGGCUAACUGAUGGUGUGCGGCUAGUGCGAUGAAGGACAAGUAGAGGAUCAACCUAGCUGGCUGUGAUGCUUUCAAGCAACCCAAAUGUGUACGACGUGAUCAGAGGUGCUAUGCUGGUGCAGGUCUCCAAUGGUGGUGGUACAUCCUCUUUUCAUAGAUGGAGAUGAUGUCAUUGGUGGACUGUGCUAGGUUGCAAGCAUCAAAGAUCACUCGUGACCUUUGUUUCGUCGCCCAGAACUCCUGAUUACUACUCAAAAAGCACUAUUCUAUAGCUUGAAACUAACUGUUUUAAAGACUUUUGAGUAGUAGUUAAUACCUUUUAACUCAAUUCGCACAUUAAGAAACCUAACAAAGGUUACUAAUCAGUUUUGGGUAAGUUUUGGUAUUUUUGGUAGCUAUUUGAUCAUUGAAACAAACCAAGAAUGAGGAGAAGUUGGUGAAAUCCAUGGCAAUGCAAGUUAAAGCUCAAAUGCAUGAAGAAUCCAAGCUUUGGAGCACUUCAUAGCCCUUUGCCAAACCAAUAAGAGAUACAAGGAGGAAAGCCAAAGGAAGAAAUCCAACAACAAGCAGUUUCGCAUGGUGUGCGAAAUUUCGCACACCAUGCGAAACCUCUUGAGGCAACCAGAGAAAUUUCGCACACCAUGCCAAAUUUCGCAUGGUAUGCGAAAUCUUCCCGUGCACCGACUACGUUAGAUUUUUAUCUUCAGAUAUUUUGUGUAAUUUCCUAGUUUCUCCUUGUAACCAACCUAGAUAUUUUCUUUUAUAUCUUUCUAUAUAUCUUUUAUGUAGCAGAUAUAUAAGGAGAGAGAUAGGUGUGAUAUGAGGAUGUAUGUUUUUCAUUAAACACUUGUAAUUUCCCGUAGUAAGAAAUAUACAGAGUUUUGCUCUUCCUUUCCUUCUCAUUUUGUCUUCACUUUUCUUACUAGCUAAACAACCUCUAAGGAUGAUUUCUCAGGGGAUGAGUGGCUAGGUUUUACUUUUCUUGGAGUGAUGGAAGUUAGGUGAAAGACCUGAAUGCAAAUGUGGGAGUUGUCCUUGCUUUAAAUGACAAUAGUUGUUAACCAUCAAUGGUUUCUAUUUCAAGGUUUAUCCUUAAAUCCCUUAAAAUCACCUUGAAUGGCCAAUACUUGGUAAGCUUUUCAGAUUCCAUGGAUGCUUAUUGCUAGAUCCAUUGAUGUCUAUUAGUUAUCAUUUACGAGCCAUUGGAAGGUGGUUCAAGGUGAGAGUCUUUAGUGUUUGAAGCCAUUAAUGGGAAGCGACUAUCAUUUUCCAUGAAACCUUUGGAUCAAAUCUAAUUGUUAAAUAUAAAACCGGUUUGGAAGAUAACCAUCCUUUAUGUUAUUAUCCCAAAUGCGAGGAGAAGAUCCGGAAUCUCCCCCUUUGCCUAAGGAAACCGAUCCUAAUGACCUACAUCUCCAAGAGACCUUUUCUUUGUAGUUAAUUUCACAUAUUGUUUCUCUUAACUUAAAAUCAAUCUUUGCAACCACAAUUCCAUUUUCUUUUAAAGCUAACUUUCAUAAGAAAAAGCACCAUGUUAUUUCCUUCAGUUAAGUCAACUAUACGAUGAAAACCCAUCUCUGUGGAUGAUCUUAGAGCCACUAUACUAUGUUAGCUAUGCUACCCUAGUGUGAGGUGAUUUAGGUUUUAUAAAUUUUGUUGAUAACACCCGUCUGAGCCAAAAUCAAAUGGCAUGACUGCAAUGGGGACGAAUCAACUCCUUUGAGACACUCCGACAUCGGUCUUCAUAACAUCUUCAACGGUCUUCCACUGCAAUUUUCGAAUCAGAUUACACAAUGAAUGUAUGAGACCAUCUGUGUUGAGAGGAGAUGAGGAUGGAAUUUCAGUUUGUUAUCCGUGGACUGAUCUCGGUGAGAAGUGGGUCCUUGGCGGGACUUCAAUGGUGCGGCUGAGUUGGAACCUUCCUCUCAUCCAAUGGUGCAGUUCAGUUGGAACCUUUCAAUGAUGCUACUGCAUUUCUUUUCUCUCUCUGAUACAUACCUUUCUUUCCUUCCUUCAUCAGUGUGGUUGUUCCGGAAUUACUCCCAAUGGUGCGACUGCCUUUCUCAUCUUCAAAUUCAAUAAGGUAGGUAUGUACUCAUCUUCCUGAUUCGUUCCCAAUUGGUGUCUCAGCUGAUUCAUGUCCAGCUGGUGCUCUUUGAUUGAGAGAGUAAUCAACAAAAUUUAUAACCUAUAUCACCAUGCAUUAGGAUAGCUUAGCUAAUAUAGCAUAGUGGCUCUAGGAUCGUUCACUGGGAAGGUUUUUCAACUCUCAACGGAUACCAAUUCAAAGUAAAUUGGUGCUUUUUCAUUUCAAGGUUAGCUUAAGAAAUAAACACAAACUUUGUUUAAAUGAGGUUUUGUUUAAAGCUAACUAAAAAGAAAGUAAUGGAAAUUACUUAUGAAGAAAAACAUUCCUUGGAGGUUUAGGUUCACAAGGGAGGUUCCUUAUGCAAAAACAGAGCUCCGGUCAUUUGGUUCGUUUCCUUGCAUUAGAGAAUUAACAUAUAGUCAAUUCUCUAACCGGUGUUGUACAGAUGUAACCUUUAAAUGGAUUUCAGCCCUAAUUCCCUCUCACUAAUGCAACUUGCAAUGGCUCGUGCCUCUCACCUAGCAUUUGCCAUUCAAGGUGAUCUUUAACUUUGGACUUCCCUUCUCAAGCUCGCAAGAGAUAACUAAUGGAUGUCUCCUUGGAGUCUAAAAGCUUACCAAGUGUUGGCAAUUCUAGAAAAUCCUACCUUCAAGCCACUUCCCAAAAGCUCGCAAGAGAUAAACAAGUGCAUCUCCAUGGACGGAGAUCACGUGCCUUACCACGUGUUGGCUCAAGUGAAUUGAAGGUGUUUUAAGUUAACUAAAAGCAUAGAAAUCAUUAAAGGAUCACACUUUCUCUUCAUUAAUGAUUUAAACCAAAAAGCUACCAAUUCAUGCACUUGGAACCUUUCCCGGCAACCUUAACUCCAAGGAACUAAAAGUCUAGCCACUCAUUCUCUGAGGAAAAUUCCUCAUAGCUUGUUUGGCUAGAAAGAAAACUAACGAGAAAACAAUUAUAUGAAGGAAAAACAGAGCAAGUGCUCUGUAAAAUAUAUUUCUUCCUUUCGCCGAUUACAUAAUAGAUAUCUUUGUAAAGAAAAUUACAAACUAUAUAUAUGAGGUUAUUCACCCUUUUCCUUGCUUAAAGACUAAGGAAUCCUAUGAUAGGUGGGUUACAAGGAGACUUUGGGGAUUUAGACAACAAAUAUCUAAAGCAAAAUAUCCCAAAAUAUCUCAAAAAUGUCGGUCGGAAAUAUCAGGAAGCUUCAGGAGAACACCGUUGCACUGUAUACUGAGAGAAAAACUCUCAUGGUAAGCGUUAUCAGAAGGUCCGGAUAUGUCUAUCCGGAGAAGUUGAAGCGUCCUCCUCUCCCAUUCAGCUGUGAGAUAUCCGGAUGUAAAAUGUCGGCGCACGCCAUGCUAUCCGGAGCAACUCCAUCCGGAUUCCCCAUCCGAGUGUGAGAUAUCCGCGCCGUCAGUCUAUCCGGAUCAACUCCAUCUGGAUUCCUCCAGAGGACAUGUGGGGGCUACCUUAUCCGGACUCCGAGAGGGAGAAGCACACGAAACUCGUGAACAUCACACCCGGACGAUAGCAUAUCCUAUCCGGAUAUGUUAUCCGGAAACUGACCAUGUUCCGCCGCCAUCCUGUCCGGACGCCUUGUCCGGACAUCUUUUACUCCUUGCAUUCCGGAUUGCUUAUGGAAAAGGACUUCAAAGCUUUAGUCCUUCGUGUUUCUGGACUUUCUAUUGCUUUGCCAUGGAUUCCAAAGAACUCUCCUCAAUCUCUGAUUGCUUUGGUGAUCAAAAAGCUAUCAAAACACCAAAACUUAACACAAUUUGAUUAGAAUUGAUUGCAAGGGUCCUUAAUAUGUUAAUUGGGUUAAAAGACGAUAACUACUACUCAAAAAUAUUUAAAAGAGUUAAUUACAUGCUAUCAAAUAGCACUUUUUGAGUAGUAAUCACUCCCCUCCCUUAGCAAUGAAGGAGUGAAAAAUAAAAAUAAAAAGUAUUAUAAUUUACAACAUCAUGCUGAUCAAAAAAACAAUUUUCAAGUGGCAUGAUGAUCUAACUCUCACAUGGAACAUUAAAGAAAUAAAAUUCAAACUUCAACAAGAUUUAUCAAAUAACUUGUCUAAUCACAAUUCUUAAAGAGAAGGCAUUACGCAAAUUUAAGCUUUAAAAGAGUUUCCGCUCCCAAAGGGUCAAACCUUACUCUUCCACAAAAAUCUAAGUGUUACUUAUUAGUUUCCGAAUAUAGUAUGUUGAACUAAUCUCUCCCCCUAACCUAGUUCUUUUUCAAAGCUUAGCAAGCUGAUCAACCUCCAAUAAGCUAAGAACGCACCUCUUUUUUCACAAUUUUUUCAUUGUAGGAGUACAAGGCUAAAGGUAUUUUUUUCUAAAUUGUCCAUGUAACGGGGGUCCAUCGAUGACUCCUAACCAAUUAAGGUUUAGGGCAUCAAGCUUUAAGGAUCUUUCAACCACUAACUCCUCGGAUUUUACCCCAAACUUUUGAGAAUGAAUUUUAAUACCCAAGCACCUACAGUAUAUUAAACUCCACCUAUUCACCCUUGUAACGAGCAUUGAGGUCGGUAACUCUCAACCAAUGAAGGCUUAGGGCACCAGGUUUUAAAGAUUUUCACCAUAUACCCCUCAGACCUUGCUCGGGUUUCAAGGCAAGUAAACAUUUUUCUUUUUUUUUUUCUCUUUUUUUUCAAAGGCUCAUUGGCCUUUUAUAAAGUGUCCCAACACUAUUAAAAUGAGGCCAAAGGUACCAAGUCUAAAAUUUUCCUAAGUCAAGAGGGAAAUAGUUUUUCAUCUUAUAAUCGGAACCUAUUGUGCACAGUGUGUGAAUAGCUUAAAGUGGAAGAACUAAGGUUGAAUUCAAUAGAAGCUUCAACAAUUCAUCAACUUUAGUAAGCAUAAUACAAAAUCUAAGUCAAGUGAAAAAAAAAUUCAAUUUCUCUCAUUUCAUUUUGAAAAUUUUUCCUUAAUAACCAUGGAGACUAAAAUAAAAAACUUUAAAAAUUUUAAAAUUAAGCAAAAAAUAACUAAAUUACCAAAAUAACUUAGCAUUUAUAACAAAAACUUCAUUCCUCAACUCUCCUCCCAACCAAACUGAACAUUGUCCUCAAUGUUAUCAAAAACGAUUGAAAAAUAGGGAGGAAGUGGUACCUCCUGAGUGACAUGGAGUGAUGCUGUGGAAAUAAUGGCUCAGCUGUCUCUCCUAUAGGAGGCUCCGGAUGAGGCAAAGGCUGAUCAACAAAAGGAGGGGCCUGUGAUGGCUCUGAGGAGCUGGGAGCAACUUCUUUCAAUUUUCUUGCAAUACCUCCUGAUUUUAAUCAUUCAAAAAGUUAAUUACAAUUAACAUAAUUUAAGACCAAAAUUACAAUCAAAUAAUUUACAAAACUUAAAAAUUAACAUAUUUAACAAAAUUAUGGACUUCGGUGAAACCAAGUCCAUCUAAUCCUUCUCUGAUCAGGAUUUUUGUGGCUCAAGGAGGUUGAUUUCCUCAUUUUCUGGCUUGAACGGCUCAAUGAAUGGCUUGAGGCGAUGACCAUUGACUUUAAAGGUGUCUAUGCCAUUGGAAUGUAGUAAUUCCACCACUCCAUUGAGGUGUACAUGGUGAAUAAUGAAAGGACCUAUCCACCUUGACUUGAGCUUCCCUGGAAAGAUAUGGAGCCUUGAGUCAUAGAGUAGAACUCUUUGUCCCUUCCUCAAUUCUUUGUUGGAGAUUAGUUGAUCAUGCCACUUCUUCAUCCUCUGUUUUGCAACUUUGGAAUUGAUGUAAGCAUCAUUUCUUAAUUCCUCCAUCUCAUUAAGGUCUAAGAACCUCUUUGCCCCAACUCUGAUCCAGUCCAUGUUCAACCUCUUGAUUGCCCACCAAGCCUUAUAUUCAACUUCCACAGGGAGGUGGCAUGCUUUGCCAUAGAUGAGACGAUAGGGGGACAUGCCAAGAAUAGUCUUAUAAGCUGUUCUAUAUGCCCAUAAUGAAUCAUGUAGCUUAAUUAACCAAUCUUUUCUGCUUGUAAUCACCACUUUCAUCAGUAUGUUCUUUAUUUCCCUGUUUGCUAGCUCUACUUGCCCGGAAGUUUGAGGAUGAUAAGGUGUAGCUAUCUUAUGCUUCACUCCAUACUUGGCUAAUAAGGCUUCAAAAGGUUUGUUGCAAAAAUGAGUACCUCCAUCACUGAUUAUGGCCUUGGGCACCCCAAAUCUUGAGAAUAUGUUCUCCUUAAGGAAUUUGAGAACCACCCUAUGAUCAUUAUGUUUACAGGGGAUUGCCUCCACCCAUUUGGAAACAUAGUCCACCCCCACAAAUAUAUAAGAGUUACCAAAGGACAUUGGGGAAAGGUCCCAUGAAGUCAAUACCCCAAACAUCAAAAAGAUCAACUAUAAGGAUGGGGUUCAUGGGCAUUUAGUUUCUUUUUGUAAGCUUCCCGAGUCUUUGGCAUCUAUCACAACUCCUACACAUGAUGUGGGAAUCUUUGAAAAGCGAUGGCCAAGUAAACCUUGAUUGCAAGACCUUCAUGGCUGUUUUUUGAGAGGCAAAGUGGCCUCCACAGGCAUUCUCAUGGCAAUGGCUAAGGAUCCCUUGUUGCUCUUCUUCAGGGACACACUUCCUUAUGAUCUAAUCUGCACAAUACUUGAAAAGAAAAGGCUCUUCCCAAUAAUAAGCAUGAAUCUUUGCAAAGAACUACUUCUUGUCUUGCGCUUUCCACUCACUUGGAACUUCACCAGUAACCAAAUAGUUAGUAAUAUGAGCAUACCAAGGAGCUUUCUCUAACAACAUAAGUGAUUCCACGGGAAAGUCAUCAUUAAUAGGUAAUACAUGGGAAUUAUGUGCUAUAGCCAACCUUGAAAGGUGGUCAGCUACCACAUUCUCCACCCCUUUCUUGUCUCUGAUUUGGAGAUCAAACUCUUGUAACAAAAGAAUCCAUCUAAUCAACCUUGCUUUUGCAUCUUGCUUUGUCAAUAAAUACUUCAAGGCCGAAUGGUCAGUGAAAACAAUGAUGAAAGACCCUACCAAAUAAGCACGAAACUUGUCUAAAGCAAACACCACAACUGACAAUUCUUUCUCUGUAGUUGUGUAGUUUCUUUGAGCCUCGUUCAAUGUUUUGCUUUCAUAGUAGAUCACAUAGGGCUUCCCAUCUUCUCUUUGGCCAAGUACAACUCCUAUAGCAAAGUCACUAGCAUCACACAUUACUUCAAAGGGUAAUUGCCAGUUAGGAGCCCUUACUAUUGGAGCGGUUGUCAAAAAUUGCUUCAAUUGAUCAAAAUUGUUUUGACAUCUUUCAUCCCAGACAAACUUAGCAUCCUUAGCUAAAAGUUCACAAAGAGGCCUUGAAAGCUUAGAGAAGUCUUGUAUAAAUCUCCUGUAGAACUUUGCAUGGCCAAGGAAUUGCCUUAUUUCUUUUACAGUGGUUGGGGAUGGCAAUUUGGCAAUAAGUUCCACCUUUGCUUUAUCAACUUCAAUGCCUUUCUCUGAGAUGAUAUGGCCAAGGACAAUUCCUUGACGUACCAUAAAAUGGCAUUUCUCCCAGUUGAGCACCAAGUCUUUUUCAAUGCAUCUUUUAAGAACCGCUUCCAAAUUUACUAAGCAUUCUUCAAAUGUACUUCCAUAUACGGUGAUAUCAUCCAUGAAAACCUCCAUAAUUCACUCCACCAUAUCACUGAAGAUACUAAGCAUACAUCUUUGGAAUGUUGCAGGUGCAUUGCAUAAACCAAAAGGCAUUUUUCUAUAGGCGUAUGUUCCAAACGAACAUGUGAAAGUGCUCUUCUCCUGAUCUUCAACAUCAAUUUCAAUUUGGAAAUACCUUGAGUACCUGUCUGAUUACUACCAAAAAGUGCUAUUUUGUAGACCUAAUUAUAAUGGUUUUAAGCACCUUUGAGUAGUAAUCAUAUUCAUUUAACACAAUUAAUUCAUUAAGGUCCUUAGUUAAUUGGUUUUAACCAUUUUGUGGCAAGUUUACAUGUUUUUAUCAGCUUAUGAAUCAAUUCAAGCAUGCCAAAUGAUGGAGGAGCUACUUGGACAAGUUAUGGCAAAGCUUUUGGAAGCUCAAAUUCAUGAAGAACCAAGCUUUGGAGCUCCAUAGCCCUUUGCCAAAGUCGUUCAAAGUAUGCAAGGAGAGAAGCAAAGUGAAGAGAAGCAAAGAGGACAGCAGCUGCAGUCUUCUUUCGCACUUUUGGAGCACUUUCCGAAGUCCAUUUUAUACAUGCUAUAUACCAUUUCAAAUCUCAGGAAGUCAAGAAUCCAACGCUUCAAACCGUGUACAAUUUGGAGCUGAAAUGAGGAAGAUAUGGCCUUCGGAAGCCAACUGCUCCAGGUUGUGCGAAAAUUUCGCACGACACAAGGUGUUAUGCGAAAUUCGCAUAACACCUUCAAAAUUUGCAUAACCCAUGCGUGGUGCGAAUUUUCCUCUGUUUUUGCCGACUCCACUUUAGAUAUUUUCCUUUGUAUUUUUUGAUGUAAUUUCCUUUCCUAUCCUUGUAACUAACCAAUCACAAGCUUUUGCUUUUGUAAAGACUAUAUAAGGGGUGGAAAUCACCUCUUGAAAUAAUAGAAGAUAUAUUACGUUUUACACUUAAAAUAUAUACGGAGCUCUCUCAUUUCUCUUUUCUCUUCCCCAUUUCUAUUUUCUUAGUAGCCAAACAGUCUCUGAGGGCUUUUCCUCAGAGGAUGAUUGGCUAAAACUUUUAGUUUCUCAAAGUAUGGAUGUUAUGUGAUGGCUUGGAUGCAAUCCCAUGGAAAUUUUUCGCACCCGGAAGGUAAGGUAGUCGUUUUUCAUUAAAGGCUCAUUAAUGCAAAGUUUGGUUUUUAUUUCCUUUGGACAACUUCCAACGGCCAAUACUUGAUAAGCUUUUGGAUUUCUAUCCAUUAGUUAUCUCCUACGAGCUAUUGGAAGGUGAGGUUUUCAAUUCCAAGUUUUGCAUUAAUCCGUUAGAACCAAUUUCAAUGGCCAUUGAAAGGUGAGUUUAUCACUUGGAAUGACUUUGAGUUGCCAAUAUUUGGUAAGCUUUUGGCUUUAGACCAUUAGUUAUCUCUUACGAGCCAUUCAAAGGAAGUCUAAGGUGAAUAACCAUUGAUGAAAUUCACUACCAUCUGUUUUGUCAUUUUAAAGGAUUAAAACUUGAUUUGCUAAAUCCAUACCGGUUCGAGAAGCAAGCAUCACCAUAGUUGCAACCCCAACGCGAGGAGCCUAUCCUAAGAUUUCCAAUUUGCAUAAGAGUCAGAGCAUAGCUAUCCUAUCUUUGAGAAACUUGUUUUUACACCCUUUCAUUUUAAUCUUUAAUGUUAGCUUAGAUUAGUUUAAAUCUUUCUAAAACAUUUACAUCUUCUUUUAAAGCUAACAUCCAUAAGAAAAUCAUCUAUUUUCCUAAUUUGAAUAUCACUAGUGUUUGCGAAAACCCUUCCCAGUGAACGAUCCUAAAACCACUAUGCUAUAGUAGCUUGGCUACUUUAGUAAUAGUAUUCAAGGUAUAAAUUUUGUUGAUACGCCUUUAAAGCUAAGCUACCAUGAGUCGAAUCAAAUGGCGCCGUUGCCGGGGAUCGACCAUGAGUCGAAUCAAAUGGCGUCGUUGCCGGGGAAGGUGCCACAAGCACAGUGAAGCAACCAUUAAGGGUAACUUGUGAUCUUCAUCACAAAUUUGGUGAGUUUUCUUAUAAUUUUUUUUUUAGUUUAGUUUUUAUUUAGUUAAAUUUUUUUUAUUCUCUUUUCUUUUAUUUUUGUUUUAAUUUCAAUUUGUGCAUUCCUUAUUGGAUUCGAGACCAAGAGAGAACCCUGGUACAAGUUGAAGAAAAGAGCCUUAGUUGAAUAUCAUUUUUUUAGAAAUGGAAAGUCUACAUGAAGAUCAAAGCUCUCAUUAUGAUCAUGAGAAGGACAAAUUCGCAUACCUAUCCAUGAGGGAUCGGAUUGAAUUAGGGAAAAGGCAAGUUCAACAAAGCCAAUGAGGUAGUAAGUAUGCUUUGAAUGGAGAUGAUUCAUAUGAGCAUAAGGUAAGGGAGUGCCCUACCAUUCCAACUGUGAGAGACAUGUACGGUUACCAAAGCUCCUACACCUCAAGUUGGAAUAACCAUCCCAACCUUACAAGCCAACCUCAACCUCAACCAUCAAUGAGUACAUUUUCAUUGGAGCAAGCCAUUUUGAAGAUAAGCAAAGUCAUGGAGGACUUUGUAGGUGAGCAACAAAAGAUCAGCUCUCAUCUUAAUGAAAAGAUUGAUAAUUUGGAGAGUUCAAUGAAUGUAAGAAUGGAGGGGGUUUAUAAUGAUCUAUCACUAAGGAUAGAAAAAGUUCAAGACUCCAUUGAGAAGCUCACCAAUCUUGACAUAGCAAGGGGGAAAAGGAAGCUUCCUCCUCAACCCCACCAUAACCUUCAAGGAACCAAUGCAAAAAGAUCAAGGAAAGUGUUGAAGAUCGACACUUUGGUGGGGGAUUGCUAUGACAACUCUAUGGACCAACCUUCCAUUGAAAAUCGUAAGAUUCAAGAUGACAAAGGGUUACUUGAACCCUUUAAAGCAUCCACUUCUCUGGGGAAGAGAAGAAAAAAAAAUUCCCUUGGACCAAAUGGGAAGGAUGCCAAUUUCGUUUGGGAUCCAGGGGGAAUUCAGCAUGAAGUGGGUGUGUGAGUGAGGAUGAGCUAAAUAGUUCAUCUUCUUUUUGGGGUACAUGCUAUCAGCUUCAUUUAAAUUUAUGCAUGUUUUAGUUUGAAUUCUUAGCUUUAAUUUAGUUUUAAUAUGUUUUUAAGAUGAGUUUUGAAGUGUUCAUGCAGGUAUGAUCCUUGCAAAAAUCGAAGUUAUGGUGAAAACAAGGGAAAACAGGGGAGAAAAGCCAAAACAGAGCAAUUCGCACCACCCCAUUUCGGCAACUGUUGGGAAUAUUUCGAUCACUUCCCGAAGUUCAUUUCAUGCGUACUAUAUCUCGUUUCAAAUCUUGGGAAGUCAGGAGUCCAUAGGUUCAAACAGUGCUCGAUUUGGAGUUGAAACGAAGAAGUUAUGGCCGUUUGAAGAUGACUAUGCAAAGCUAAACGGGAAUGUUGCAGCCGCACCCCAUUUUGCUACUGUUGGACACGUUUUUGGAGCACUUUAUGGAGCUCAAAUUAUGCAUACCAUAUCUCGUUUUGAAGCUUAGGAAGUCAGGAGUCCAGUGCUUUAAACGGUGUGCAAUUUGGAUUUGAAACAAAGAAGUUAUGACCAUUUGAAAGAAUCCAAUUUUGCAUUUGGGCGGAUGAAUAGUGCCUUGUGCGAAAUUUUCGCACCACUCUUCCUUUGUGCGAAUUUUUUAGCUUCUUCAUCCCUACCCUUCCCAAUCCCAAGCCUUUGAGCCUUGUCCUCAGCUGCUCAAAGUGGGACCCACUCAUCAUUUUUGUAAAUAUUUAGUAUAAAUUCCUCUCUCAUUCAAUUUUUGAAUUUUGAAACAGGUGGUUUACCUUCUCAACUCCAAGUCCACAUCACAUGAGGUGGUUCAACCUUCUCAACUCCAAGUCCACAUCACAUGAGGUACCACUUCCUUCCUCCUUAUUUUUGAUUCAAACAUUGAGGACAAUGUUCAUCUCGGUUGGGGAAAGAGAUGAGGAAGUAAGUAUUAGUUUAAAUUUUUAUCAUACUUAGUUAAAUUAGCUACUUUUUGUUUAAAUUUUAAAAUUUUUGCUUUAAACUCCAUGGAUAUUAAGGAUUAACUCUCAAAAUUAAAUGAGAGAAGUCGAGUUUCAACUUGAUUACAUGAGUCUUAGACUUUGUAUUAUGCUCUUCUAAAAGUUGAUGAAUUGUUGAAACUCCCAUUGCAUGCAAACUUAUCUCUUCCACCUUAAGCUAUUCGCACACACAUACAUUAGAUUCCGGUUAUAAGAUGUGAAACUAUCUCACCCUCUAAGCUUGAGAAAUCAUAAUUUGACACCUUUAACCUCUCUUUAAUAGUGUUGGGACACCUCAUAAAGACCAAUGAGUCUUUGAAAAAAAUAGAAAAAGAAAAAGAAAAAGAAAAAGAAAAAGAAAAAAAAUAGAAUAAACUUCUUUGCUUGCCUUGAAACUUGAGCAUGGUCCGAAGGGGUGGCGAAAGCCUUUAAAGCCUGGUGCCCUAAGCCUUUAUUGGUUGGGAGUCACCGAUCCUCUGCUUGUUACAUGGGUGAAUUGGUUAAGUUUAGUAAGUGAAAAGAAUUGUGAAUAAGAGGUGCGUUCCUAGCCUAUCAAGAGAUGGUUAAUUUUGCUAAGAUUAAAGAAAGACUUAGGUUGGGGGGAGAUGAUAGUUAUCCAUACUAUACUUGGAAGAUAAUCAUAUUAACACUUAGCUUUUAGUGGAAGAAUUUGAUUUGGAUCUUUUGAGAGUGGAAAUUCUUUUGAUGCUUAAACUUGCAUAAUAUCCAUUCUUUGUACUCUAUGAUCAAGUGAAUGCUUUGACAACUCUUAUUAUAGGUUGAGUUUCACAUCUUUAUUGAUCCAUGGAUAUCCAUCAUGCCACUCAUAUCAUUUUUUGGAGUGAUUUGCAUGAUCCCUUUUAUGUAUAUUAUUAUAGUUUACUUAGUUUUUAUCUCCUCCAUUGCUAAGGGACUAGCAAUGAGUCGGUUGGGGGGUGAAUCUAAGUGUUAUUUAUUAGUUUCCGGAUAUAGUAUGUCAAACUAAUCUCUCCCCUCAACCUAGUUCUUUUCAAAGCUUAGCAAACUAAUCAACCUCUAAUAGGCUAAGAACGCACCUCUUUUCUUUCACAAUUUUUUUCUUGUAGGAGUGCAAAGCUUAAAGGCAUUCUUUUCUAAAUUGUCCAUGUAAUGGGGGUCCAUCGAUGACUCCCAACCAAUCAAGGUUUAGGGCAUCAAGCUUUAAGGAUUUUUCAACCACUAACUCCUCGGAUUUCACCCCAGACUUUUGAGAAUGAAUUUUUAAUACCCAAGCACCUACAACAUGUUAAACUCCACCUAUUCACCCUUGUAACGAGCAUUGAGGUCGGUGACUCCCAACCAAUUAAGGCUUAGGGCACAGGUUUUAAAGAUUUUCACCAUAUACCCCUUAGACCUUGCUCGAGUUUCAAGGCAAGCAAACAUUUUUCUUUCUUUCUUUAUUUUCUUCAAAGACUCAUUGGCCUUUUACAAGGUGUCCCAACACUAUUAAAUGAGGUCAAAGGUACCAAGUCUAAAAUUUUCCUAAGUCAAGAGGGAAAUAGUUUUUCAUCUUAUAGAACAUGCGUGUUACGUUUUACACUGAGUGAUAUACAGAGCUCUCUCGUUUCUCUUUUCUCUUUACUAUUUUAUUUUCUUGGAAGCCAAACAGCCUCUGAGGGCUUUUCCUCAGAGGAUGAUUGGCUAAAACUUUUAGUUUCUCAAAGUAUGGAUGUUAUGUGAUGGCUUGGAUGCAAUCCCAUGGAAAUUUCUCGCACUUGGAAUGUAAGGUAGUCGUUUUUCAUUAAAGGUUCAUUAAAUGCAAAGUUUGAUUUUUAUUUCCUUUGGACAACUUCCAACGGCCAAUACUUGACAAGCUUUUGGAUUUCUAUCCAUUAGUUAUCUCCUACGAGCUAUUGGAAGGUGAGGUUUUCAAUUCCAAGUUUUGCAUUAAUCCGUUAGAACCAAUUUCAAUGGCCAUUGAAAGAUGAGUUUAUCACCUGGAAACGUCCAAGAAACAAUAGAAAGGAUGGUGAUUACUACUCAAAAAGUACUAUUUCAUAGCCUGUAAUAAACUCUUUUAAACACUUUUGAGUAGUAGUUAUCACUUUUUAACCCAAUUAACAUAUUAAGGACCCUUGCAAUCAAUUCUAAUCAAAUCGUGUUAAGUUUUGGUGUUUUGAUAGCUUUUUUAUCACCAAAGCAAUCUGUGAUUGAGGAGAGUUCUUUGAAAUCCUUGGCAAAGCAAUGGAAGGCUCAGAAACAUAUAGAACCAAAGCUUUGCAGUCCUUUGCCAUAAGAAAAUCCGGAAUACAAGGAGUAAAAGAUGUCCGGACAGGGCAUCCGAACACACCAUUAGAGAACGGCGGAACGUGGGCUGUAGCAAGGCUCGCUCACUCACUUUAGUCAAUGUUUUCCAUACGGACAACACAUCCAGAUAGGAUAUACUCUUGUCUGGGUGUGAUGUUCACGAGUGCUGUGUGUCUUUCCGCUUGGAGAAGUUGGAUAGCAUUGCGCCGCCUUUUCAUUUGGGGAAUCCGGAUGGAGUUGAGCCAGAUGGGUCCCUACACCUUGUACAUGCAGACGGUCCCCCUUGUGCAGCAUAGCUCAUUCUAGCCGGGGAGGAAUUCCGUGCGCCGACAUUUUACAUCCAAAUAUCUCACAAUCGGAUGGGAAAGGAGGACGUUUCAACUUCUCCUAAUAGACAUGUCCGGAUUCUCUGGUAAUGCCUACUCGGUCAGACAUGCACAGCUGCAGUGUUCUCUUGAAGCUUCCUGAUAUUUCUGACCGAAAUCUUGAGAUAUUUUCGACCGACAUUUUGUGAUAUUUUGGGAUAUUUUGCUUUAGAUAUUUGUUGUCUAAAUUCCCAAAAUAUCCUUGUAAUCCACCUAUCAUAGGAUUCCUUAGUCUUUAAGUAAGUAUAAAGGGUGAAUAACCUCAUAUAUAUAGUUUGUAAUUCUCUUUACAAAAGAGGAUCAUCUAAUAUAUGAUCAAUUAUGUAAUCGAUAGAAGAAAAAAAUAUAGUAGAGAGCAUUUGCUCUAUUUUUCCUUGAUAUAUUUGUUUUCUCGUUAUUUUUCUUUCUAGCCAAACAGGCUUUGAAGAAGUUUCCUUAGAGAAUGAGUGGCUAGACUUUUAAUUCCUUGGAGUUAAGGUUGUCGGGAAAGGUUCCAAGUGCAUGAAUUAGUAGCUUUGUGGUUUCAAUCAUUAAUGAAGAGAAGUGUGAUCCUUUACUGAUUUCUAUGUUUUUAGUUAACUUAAAACACCUUCAAUUCACUUGAGCCAACACUUGGUAAGGCCAGUGAUCUCCGUCCAUGGAGAUGAACUAGUUUUCCUCUUACGAGCUUUUGGGAAGUGACUUGAAGGUAGGAUUUUCUAGAAUUGCCAACACUUGGUAAGCUUUUGGACUCCAAGGAGACAUCCAUUAGUUAUCUCUUGCGAGCUUGAGAAGGGAAGUCCAAAGUUAAAGAUCACCUUAAAUGGCAAAUGCUAGGUGAGAGGCACGAGCCAUUGCAAGUUGUAUCAGUGAGAAGGAAUUAGAGCUGAAAUCCAUUUAAAGGAUACCUCUGUACAGCACCGGUUAGAGAAUUGACUAUAUGUUAAUUCUCUAAUGCGAGGAAAUGAACCAAAUGACCGGAGCUCUCUUUUGCAUAAGGAACUUCCCCUAUGAACCUAAACCUCCAAGGAAUGUUUUUCUUCAUAAGUAAUUUCAAUUACUUUCUUUUUAGUUAGCUUUAAACAAAACCUUUUUCAACCAAAGUUUGUGUUUUAUUUCUUCAGAUAACCCUGAAAUGAAAAAGCACCAAUUUACUUUGAAUUGGUAUCAGUUGAGAGUUGAAAACCCUUCCCAGUGAACGAUCCUAGAGCCACUAUGCUAUAUUAGCUAAGCUAUCCUAAUGCAUGGUGAUAUAGGUUAUAAAUUUUUUUGAUUACUCUCUCAAUCAAAGAGCACCAGCUGGACAUGAAUCAGCUGAGACACCAAUUGGGAACAAAUCAAAUGGCGCUGUUGCCGGGAAAGGUGCCAACUUCAUAUUGAUAUUAUUUCAGGGUACUUGUGGUUUUCAUCACAAGUUUGGUGAGUUUUCUGUUAUUUUACUAACUCUUUUAGUUGCUUCUUUUACUUGUUCAUAUUCUAGCAUAGAUUUUUAUUUAGUUUUAGUUAAUUGAACUCUUUUUGGUAGUUUUGUUUUUUGUUUUCCUCUGUUUUCGUUUUUGUUUUUUUUAGUUACAGUUGAUACUAGUUGUGUAUUCCAAAGUGGAUACGAGAUUGUGGAGGAAGGCUUGUUAAAUUUGAAAGACCUCAUAACAAGGAGUUGGAAGUAAUCUUGAACAUCAUGGAGACUACAUCUGAGGAUCAGCAUAGUCACCAUGAUCAUCAAGACAAUCCCAAUGAAUUCAGAUCGAUGAGGGACCGUAUGCAUCCACCUCGUAUGAGUGCACCAUCAUGUAUAGUGCCCCCUAUAGAGCAGCUAGUGAUCAGAUCCCAUAUUGUGCCACUUUUGCCAACUUUCCAUGGAAUGGAAAGUGAGAAUCCCUAUGCCCAUAUCAAGGAAUUUGAAGUUAUUUGUAAUACAUUCCGAGAGGGAGGAGCUUCUAUCGACCUGAUGAGGCUUAAAUUAUUUCCUUUUACUUUAAAGGAUAAGGCCAAGAUUUGGCUUAAUUCUUUAAGGCCAAGGAGUAUCCGUUCUUGGACUGAUUUACAAGCUGAAUUCCUCAAGAAGUUUUUUCCUACUCACAGAACAAAUAGCUUGAAAAGGCAAAUUUCAAACUUCUCAGCUAAAGAGAAUGAGAAAUUCUAUGAGUGUUGGGAAAGAUACAUGGAAGCCAUUAAUGCUUGUCCUCACCAUGGCUUUGAUACAUGGCUGUUUGUGAUUUAUUUCUAUGACAGGAUGUCUUCCUCAAUGAAACAACUCCUUGAAACCAUGUGUGGAGGGGAUUUCAUGAGUAAGAAUCCUGAGGAAGCUAUGGAUUUCUUGAGUUAUGUAGCUGAAGUCUCAAGGGGAUGGGAUGAACCGAACAGAUGAGAAGUGGGAAAGAUGAAGUCUCAACCAAAUGCUCUUCAUGCUAAGGCUGGGAUGUACACCUUGAAUGAAGAUGUUGAAAUGAAAGCAAAAUUUGCAGCUAUGACGAGAAGAUUGGAGGAGCUAGAACUGAAAAAGAUGAAUGAAGUGCAAGUUGUUGCUGAAACACCAGUGCAAGUAAAGCCAUGUUCGAUUUGUCAAUCUUAUGAACACUUGGUGGAGGAGUGCCCUACAAUUCCAGUUGCUAGAGAAAUGUUUGGAGAACAAGCAAAUGUCAUUAACCAAUUCAAGCCCAAUAGCAAUGCUUCAUAUGGCAAUACUUAGAACUCAAGUUGGAGGAAUCAUCCAAAUUUUUCAUGGAAGCCAAGAGCACCUCAAUAUCAACAGCCGACUCAACCAUCUCAACAAGCUUCAAGUCUUGAACAAGCAAUAGUGAAUCUCAACAAGGUUGUGGGAGAUUUUUUUGGAGAACAAAAAUCCAUCAAUUCUCAACUCAGUCAAAGAAUUGAUAGUGUAGAGAAUACUUUGAAUAAAAGGAUGGAUGGGAUGCAAAAUGACUUAUCUCAGAAGAUAGACAAUCUCCAAUACUCAAUCUCAAGGCUCACUAAUUUGAACACAGUGCAGGAGAAGGGUAGAUUUCCUUCUCAACCUCACCAAAACCCCAAGGGUAUCCACGAGGUGGAAACUCAUGAGGGAGAAUCUUCACAAGUGAGAGAUGUUAAAGCCUUGAUCACUCUAAAGAGUGGUAAAAAGGUUGAGUCACCAACACCCAAGCCAUAUGCAGAAGAGAAGGAAGAAGAAGAGACAAAGAAGAGGGAGGAAAUGAAAGGAAGGAAGAAAGAUAACAGUGAAGGGAAGAAGGACCGUGAUUCCACAGUGAAUGCAAAUAUGGAGAAAGAGCUUAUUAAGGAAGAAUUGAUGAAGAAACGCACAUCUCCACCUUUUCCUCAAGCUUUGCAUGGGAAAAAGGGGAUAAAAAAUGCAUCAUAAAUCCUUGAAGUAUUGAGUCAAGUGAAGGUCAACAUUCCAUUGCUGGAUAUGAUUAAGCAAGUUCCAUCAUAUGCAAAGUUCCUAAAAGACCUAUGUACUAUCAAAAAAGGGUUGAAUGUGAAUAAGAAAGCCUUCUUGACUGAACAAGUGAGUGCCAUCAUACAAUGCAAAUCUCCUUUGAAGUACAAAGAUCCGGGAUGUCCUACCAUUUCAGUCAUGAUUGGAGGAAAGGUAAUGGAAAAAGCUUUGCUAGAUUUGGGAGCAAGUGUGAAUUUGCUACCAUACUCUGUUUAUAAGCAAUUGGGACUUGGUGAGUUAAAGCCAACGUCAAUCACCCUAUCUUUAACUGAUAGGUCAGUGAAAAUUCCAAGGUGGAUAAUUGAGGAUGUAUUAGUUCAAGUUGACAAUUUCUACUAUCCAGUAGAUUUUGUUGUUCUUGAUACUGAUCUUUUAGUUAAGGAAGCUAAUUAUGUUCCUAUCAUCCUUGGAAGGCCAUUUCUUUCUACUUCAAAUGCAAUCAUAAAUUGUAGGAAUGGACUUAUGCAACUCACUUUUAGCAACAUGACACUUGAGCUUAAUAUCUUUCAUAUGUCAAAGAAGCUAAUUACUCCAAAAGAAGAAGAAGGUCCAGAAGAGGUAUGCAUUAUUGACACUCUAGUGGAGGAGCAUUAUAAUAAGAAUAUGCAAGACGAGUUUAAUGAAAGUCUUGAGGAUCUUGAAGAGGGGUUGUGUGAAACCGCUGAUGUGCUUGCUACUCUAUAAGGCUGGAGGAGGAAAGAAGAGAUCUUACCUCUAUUCAAUAAAGAGGAAGGACAAGAUGAUGUAAAAGAAGAAUUCCCGAAGCUCAAUUUGAAACCUCUGCCCAUGGAGUUAAAAUAUACAUACCUGGAAGAAAAUAACCAAUGUCCUAUUGUUAUAUCUUCAUCUCUUACCAGUCAUUAGGAGAUUUCUCUACUGGAAGUUCUAAAGAGGUGCAAGAAAGCAAUAUGAUGGCAAAUAUCUGACUUGAAAGGAAUCAGUCCUUUGGUUUGUACACAUCACAUAUAUAUGGAGGAAGAAGCUAAACCAAUUCGUCAACCUCAAAGAAGAUUGAAUCCUCAUUUACAAGAAGUGGUGCGAACUGAGGUACUGAACCUACUCCAAGCGGGUAUUAUUUAUCCCAUAUCUGACAGCCCUUGGGUGAGUCCUACUCAAGUGGUACCAAAGAAGUCAGGUAUUACUAUGGUUCAGAAUGAAAAGGGAGAAGAAAUUGCUACACGCCUCACUUCAGGUUGGAGGGUGUGUAUUGACUAUAGGAAACUGAAUGUUGUGACAAGGAAAGAUCAUUUUCCACUCCCGUUUAUUGAUCAGGUGCUGGAGAGAGUCUCUGGCCAUCCUUUCUAUUGUUUCUUGGACGGGUACUCAAGGUAUUUCCAAAUUGAAAUUGAUGUUGAAGAUCAGGAGAAGACCACUUUCACAUGUCCGUUUGGAACAUACGCCUACAGAAGAAUGUCGUUUGGUUUAUGCAAUGCACUUGCAACAUUCCAAAGAUGUAUGCUUAGUAUCUUCAGUGAUAUGGUGGAGUGAAUUAUGGAGGUUUUCAUGGAUGAUAUCACCAUAUAUGGGUACAUUUGAAGAAUGCUUAGUAAAUUUGGAAGCGGUUCUUGAAAAAUGCAUUGAAAAAGAUUUGGUGCCCAAUUGGGAGAAAUGCCAUUUUAUGGUACAUCAAGGAAUUGUCCUUGGCCAUAUCAUCUCCAAGAAAGGCAUUGAAGUUGAUAAAGCAAAUGUGGAACUUAUUGCCAAAUUGCCAUCCCCAACCACUAUCAAAGGAGUAAGGCAAUUCCUUGGCCAUGUAAGGUUCUACAGGAGGUUUAUACAAGAUUUCUCUAAGCUGUCAAGGCCUCUUUCUGAACUUUUGGCUAAGGAUGCUAAGUUUAUCUAGGAUGAAAGAUGUCAAAACAGUUUUGAUCAAUUGAAGCAAUUUUUGACAACCACUCCAAUAGUAAGGGCUCUUAACUGGCAAUUACCCUUUGAAGUAAUGUGUGAUGCCAGUGACUUUGCUAUGGGAGUUGUACUUGGCCAAAGAGAAGAUGGGAAACCCUAUGUGAUCUACUAUGCAAGCAAAACAUUGAACGAAGCUAAAAGAAACUACACAACUACAGAGAAAGAAUUGUUAGCUGUGGUGUUUGCUUUAGACAAGUUUUGUGCUUAUUUGGUAGGGUCUUUCAUCAUUGUUUUCAUUGACCAUUCAGCCUUGAAGUAUUUAUUGACGAAACAAGAUGCAAAAGCAAGGUUGAUUAGAUGGAUUCUUCUGUUACAAGAGUUUGAUCUCCAAAUCAGAGACAAGAAAAUGGUGGAGAAUGUGGUACCUGAUCACCUUUCAAGGUUGGCUAUAGCGCAUAAUUCCCACGUAUUACCUAUUAAUGAUGACUUUCCCAAGGAAUCACUUAUGUUGCUAGAGAAAGCUCCUUGGUAUGCUCAUAUUGCUAACGAUUUGGUUACUAGUGAAGUUCCAAGUGAGUGGAAAGCGCAAGAUAGGAAUCACUUCUUUGCAAAGAUUCAUGCCUAUUAUUGGGAAAAGCCUUUUCUUUUCAAGUAUUGUACAUAUCAGAUCAUAAGGAAGUGUGUCCCUGAAGAAGAGCAACAAGGGAUCCUCAGCCAUUGCCAUGAGAAUGCCUGUGGAGGCCACUUUGCCUCUCAGAAAAUAGCCAUGAAGGUCUUGCAAUCAGGGUUCGCUUUUCAAAGAAUCCCACAUCAUGUGUAGGAGUUGUGAUAGAUGCCAAAGACUCGGGAAGCUUACAAAAAGAAACCAAAUGCCCAUGAACCCCAUCCUUAUAGUAGAUCUUUUUGAUGUUUGGGGUAUUGAUUUCAUGGGACCUUUCCUAAUGUCUUUUGGUAACUCCUAUAUAUUGGUAAGGGUGGACUAUGUUUUCAAAUGGGUGGAGGCAAUCCCCUGUAAACAAAAUGAUCACAGAAUGGUUCUCAAAUUUCUCAAGGAGAACAUCUUCUCAAGAUUUGGGGUGCCCAAGGCCAUAAUCAGUGAUGGAGGUACUCAUUUUUGCAACAAACCUUUUGAAGCCUUAUUAGCCAAGUAUGGAGUGAAGCAUAAGGUAGCUACACCUUAUCAUCCUCAAACUUCCGGGCAGGUAGAGCUAGCAAACAGGGAAAUAAAAAACAUACUGAUGAAAGUGGUGAUUACAAGUAGAAAAGAUUGGUCUAUUAAGCUGCAUGAUUCAUUGUGGGCGUAUAGAACAGCUUAUAAGACUAUUCUUGGCAUGUCUCCCUAUCGUCUCGUCUAUGGCAAAGCGUGCCACCUCCCUGUGGAAAUUGAAUAUAAAGCUUGGUAGGCAAUCAAGAGGUUGAACAUGGACUGGAUCAGAGCUGGGACAAAGAGGUGCUUAGAUCUGAAUGAGAUGAAGGAAUUAAGAAAUGAUGCUUACAUCAAUUCCAAAGUUGCAAAACAGAGGAUGAAGAAGUGGCAUGAUCAACUAAUCUCCAACAAAGAAUUGCGGAAGGGGCAAAGAGUCCUACUCUAUGACUCAAGGCUCCAUAUCUUUCCAGGGAAGCUCAAGUCAAGGUGGAUAGGUCCUUUCACCAUUCACCAAGUACAUCUCAAUGGAGUGGUGGAAUUACUCAAUUCCAAUGGCAUAGACACCUUCAAAGUCAAUGGUCAUCGCCUCAAGCCAUUCAUUGAGUCGUUCAAGCCAGAAAAUGAGGAAAUCAACCUCCUUGAGCCAUAGAAAUCCUGAUCAGAGAAGGGUUAGAUGGACUUGGUUUCACCAAAGUCCACAAUUUUGUUAAAUAUGUAAAUUAUUUUAUAGUAAUUUUGGUCUUAAAUUAUAUUAUAUUAAUAGUAAUGAUUAAAAUCAGGAGCAGAUUCUUGCCACUCAAGCCCAGCACACUGCCAUCCUGAGGCAGAUUCAGCAUCAAUUGGCAGUACAUCAGUUCCUGAGCAUGCCAUUCUUACCUCAUCUGGAGCCUCCUACAACGAGACAGUUGAGCCAUUAUUUCCACAGCAUCAUUCCAUGUCUCUAAGGAGGUACCACUUCCUCCCUAUUUUUCAAUCGUUUUUGUCACAUUGAGGACAAUGUUCAACUUGGUUGGGGGGAGAGUUGAGGAAGGAUGUUUUUGUUAUUAAUGCUAAGCUAUUUUGGUAAUUUAGUUGCUUUUUGCUUAAUUUUAAAAAAAUUUUAAGUUUUUAUUCUACUCUCCAUGGUUAUUAAGGAAAAAUUUUCAAAAUGAAAUGGGAGAAAUUGAAUUUUUGUCUUUUUACUUGACUUAGAGUUUGUAUUAUACUUACUAAAGUUGAUGAAUUGUUGAAGCUUCUAUUGAAUUCAAGCUUAGUUCUUCCACUUUAAGCUAUUCACACACUGUGCACAAUAGGUUCCGAUUAUAAGAUGAAAAACUAUUUCCCUCUUGACUUAGGAAAAUUUUAGACUUGGUACUUUUGACCUCAUUUUAAUAGUGUUGGGACACCUUGUAAAGGGCCAAUGAGUCUUUGAAAAAAAAAGAAAGAAAGAAAAAUAUUUGCUUGCCUUGAAACCCGAACAAGGUCUGAGGGGUAUAUGGUGAAAAUCUUUAAAACCUGGUGCCCUAAGCCUUCAGUGGUUGGGAGUCAUCGACCUCAAUGCUCGUUACAAGGGUGGAUAGGUGGAGUUUAACAUACUGUAGGUGCUUGGGUAUAAAAACUCAUUCUCAAAAGUUCGGGGUAAAAUCCGAGGAGUUAGUGGUUGAAAGAUCCUUAAAGAUUGAUGCCCUAAACCUUAAUUGGUUGGGAGUCAUCGAUGGACCCCCGUGAUUCUUGCCCACUUGGUGUAUCAGCUGAUUCAUGUCCAGCUGGUGCUCCUUGAUUGAGGUAGUAAUCAACAAAAUUUAUAACCUAUUACACCAUGAACUAGGUAGCAAAGACAAAGCUACUAUAGCAUAGUGGCUCUAAGAUCGUUCACUGGGAUGGGUUUUCACUUCACAAUUGAUAUCAAUUCAAAGUAAAUUGGUGUCUUUUCAUUUCAAGGUUAGCUUUAAAAGAAAACAUAAAGAUGUUUAAAUGAAAAAGGUUUGGUUUUAAACUAACCAAAAAUAGUAAUUGAUUUUACUUACAAAGAAAAGUGUUUCUUGGAGUUUUAGAUCACUAGGCUCAAAUUCAUCAUACAAAAAGGAGAGUUUCGAUCACUUGUUUCUUUUCCUCGCGUUAGAGAAUUAACAUAUAGUUAAUUAUCUAACUGGUGUGGUACAGAUGCUUCCCUUUAAUGGGUUCAAACACUAAAUCCCUCUCACUGAUGCAACUUGCAAUGGCUCGUGCCUCUCACCUAGCAUUUUCCAUUCAAGGUGAUCUUUAACCUUGGAUUUCCCUUCACAAGCUCGCAAGAGAUAACUAAUGGAUGUCUCCGUGGAGUCCAAAAGCUUACCAAGUGUUGGCAAUUCUAGAAAAUCCUACCUUCAGGUCACUUCCCAAAAACUCGCAAGAGGUAAAUUAGUGCAUCUCCAUGGACGAAGAUCACUUGCCUUACCAAGUGUUGGCUUAAGUGAAUUGAAGGUAUUUUAAGUUAACUAAAAAGAUAAAAACCAUUAACGGGUUACACUUUCUCUUCAUUAAAAACUAAAACAACAAAACUUCCAAUUUAUGCACGAGGAAACUUACCCGACUUUCUUCACUCCAAUAGACGAAGAGCCUAGCCACCAAUCCUCUGAGGAAAAAUCCCCAGAGUUUGGUUGCUAGAAAGAAAACUAACGAGAAAAAAAAUAUAGGAAAAACAGAGCAAGUGCUCUGUUCGUCGAUUUCACAUAUAUUAUAUGAUCAAUGAUAUAUUCGACAUAUGGAUCGAUGUUUUGUAAAGGAAAUUACAAACUAUAUAUAAGAGGUUAUUCACCCCUUGUUCUUACUUAAGGACUAAGGAAUCCUAUGAUAGGUGGAUUACAAGAAAACUUUGGGGAUUUAGACAAAAAAUAUCUAAAGCAAAAUAUCCCAAAAUAUCUAAAGCAAAAUAUCUCAAGAUGUCGGUCGGAAAUAUCAGGAAGCUUCAGGAGAACACCGCUGCACUGUAUACUGAGAGAAAAACUCUAUGGGUAAGUGUUAUCAGAAGGUCCAGAUAUGUCUAUCCGGAGAAGUUGAAGCGUCCUCCUCUCCCAUCCGACUGUGAGAUAUCCGGAUGUAAAAUGUCGGUGCACGGAAUUCCUCCCCAGCUAGACUGAGCUAUGCUGCGCAAGGGGGACCGUCUACGUGUGCAAGGUGUAGGGACCCCUCUUCCGGAUGACACGGAGUAUGCAAGGCUAUCUGGAUCAACUCCAUCCAGAUUCACCCGGGUGGACUCGCGCCGCCAUGCUAUCCGGCAUUCGUGCACAUCAUACUCCGGAUAUGUUGUCCGGAUGGAAAACAUUGACUAAAGUGUGCAAGCCUUGCUACAGCCCACGUUCCGCCGCUCUCCAAUGGUGUGUCCGAACUCCCUGUCCGGACAUCUUUUGCCAUGGAUUCCUAAAGAACUCUCCUCAAUCUCGGAUUGCUUUGGUGAUAAAAAAGCUAUCAAAACACCAAAACUUAACACAAUUUGAUUAGAAUUGAUUGCAAGGGUCCUUAAUAUGUUAAUUGGGUAAAAAGGUGAUAACUACUACUCAAAAGUAUUUAAAAGAUUUAAUUAUAAGCUAUCAAAUAGCACUUUUUGAGUAGUAAUCACCCCGUUACAUGGACAAUUUAGAAAAGAAUACCUUUAAGCUUUGUACUCCUACAAUGAAAAAAAUUGUGAAAAAAAAUGUGCGUUCUUAGCCUAUUUGAGGUUGAUUAGUUUGCUAAGCUUUGAAAAAGAACUAGGUUGGGGGGGGGGGGGGGGAGAUUAGUUCAACAUACUAUAUUCGGAAACUAAUAAAUAACACUUAGAUUUUUGUGGAAUAGUAAGGUUUGGCCCUUUGAGAGUGGAAACUCUUUUAAAGCUUAAAUUUGCAUAAUGCAUUCUCUUUAAGAAUUGUGAUUAGAUAAGUUAUUUGAUAACUUCUUGAAGUUUGAGUUUUAUUUAUUUAAUGUUCCAUGUGAGAGUUAGAUCAUCAUGUCACUUGAAAAUUGUUUUUUGAUUAGCAUGAUGUUGUAAAAUUAUAGUACUGUUUAUUUUUAUUUUUCUCUCCUUCAUUGCUAAGGGACUAGCAAUAUGUCGAUUGGGAGGAGUGAUUACUACUCAAAAAGUACUAUUUCAUAGCCUGUAAUAAACUCUUUUAAACACUUUUGAGUAGUAGUUAUCACCUUUUAACCCAAUUAACAUAUUAAAGACCCUUGCAAUCAAUUCUAAUCAAAUUGUGUUAAGUUUUGGUGUUUUGAUAGCUUUUUGAUCACCAAAGCAAUCUGUGAUUGAGGAGAGUUCUUUGGAAUCCUUGGCAAAGCAAUGGAAGGCUUAGAAACAUAUAGAACCAAAGCUUUGAAGUCCUUUGCCAUAAGAAAAUCCGGAAUACAAGGAGUAAAAGAUGUCUGGACAGGGCGUCCGGACACACCAUUGGAGAACGGCCGAACGUGGGCUGUAGCAAGGCUCGCUCACUCACUUUAGUCAAUGUUUUCCAUACGGACAACACAUCCGAAUAGGAUAUACUCUUGUUUGGGUGUGGUGUUCACGAGUGUCCUGUGCCUUUCCGCUUGGGGAAUCCGGAUAGCAUUGCACCGCCUUUCCGUUUGGGGAAUCCAGAUGGAGUUCAGCCGGAUGGGUCCCUACACCUUGUACACGCAGACGGUCCCCCUUGCGCAGCAUAGCUCAUUCUAGCCGGGGAGGAAUUCCGUGCGCCGACAUUUUACAUCCGGAUAUCUCACAGUCAGAUAGGAGAAGAGGACGUUCAACUUCUCCUAAUAGACAUGUCCGGAUCCUCUGGUAGUGCCUACCCGGUCAGACAUGCACAACUGCAGUGUUCUCUUAAGCUUCCUGAUAUUUUCGACCGACAUCUUGAGAUAUUUCCGAUAGACAUUUUGUGAUAUUUUGGGAUAUUUUGCUUUAGAUAUUUGUUGUCUAAAUUCCCAAAAUCUCCUUGUAAUCCACCUAUCAUAGGAUUCCUUAGUCUUUAAGUAAGUACAAAGGGUAAAUAACCUCAUAUAUAUAGUUUGUAAUUCUCUUUACAAAAGAGGAUCAUCUAAUAUAUGAUCAAUUAUGUAAUCGGUAGAAGAAAAAAAUAUAGUAGAGAGCAUUUGCUCUAUUUUUCCUUGAUAUAUUUGUUUUCUCGUUAUUUUUCUUUUCUAGCCAAACAGGCUCUGAGGAAGUUUCCUCAUAGAAUGAGUGGCUAGACUUUUAGUUCCUUGGAGUUAAGGUUGCCGGGAAAGGUUCCAAGUGCAUGAAUUAGUAGCUUUGUGGUUUCAAUCAUUAAUGAAGAGAAAGUGUGAUCCUUUACUGAUUUCUAUGUUUUUAGUUAACUUAAAACACCUUCAAUUCACUUGAGCCAACACUUGGUAAGGCCAGUGAUCUCCAUCCAUGGAGAUGCACUAGUUUUCCUCUUGCGAGCUUUUGGGAAGUGACUUGAAGGUAGGAUUUUCUAGAAUUGCCAACACUUGGUAAGCUUUUGGACUCCAAGGAGACAUCCAUUAGUUAUCUCUUGCGAGCUUGAGAAGGGAAGUCCAAAGUUAAAGAUCACCUUGAAUGGCAAAUGCUAGGUGAGAGGCACGAGUCAUUGCAAGUUGUAUCAGUGAGAAGGAAUUAGAGCUGAAAUCCAUUUAAAGGAUACCUCUAUACAGCACCGGUUAGAGAAUUGACUAUAUGUUAAUUCUCUAAUGCGAGGAAAUGAACCAAAUGACCGAAGCUCUGUUUUGCAUAAGGAACUUCCCUUGUGAACCUAAACCUCCAAGGAAUGUUUUUCUUCAUAAGUAAUUUCAAUUACUUUCUUUUUAGUUAGCUUUAAACAAAACCUUUUUCAACCAAAGUUUGUGUUUUAUUUCUUAAGCUAACCUUGAAAUGAAAAAACACCAAUUUACUUUGAAUUGGUAUCAGUUGAGAGUUGAAAACCCUUCCCAGUGAACGAUCCUAGAGCCACUAUGCUAUAUUAGCUAAGCUAUCCUAAUGCAUGGUGAUAUAUGUUAUAAAUUUUGUUGAUUACUUUCUCAAUCAAAGAGCACCAGCUGGACAUGAAUCACUGAGACACCAAUUGGGAAUGAAUCAGAUGGCCAGAGACUCUCUCCAGCACCUGAUCAAUAAACGGGAGUGGAAAAUGAUAUUUUCUUGUCACAACAUUCAAUUUCUUAUAGUCAAUACAAACCCUCCAGCCUGAAGUGAGGCGUGUAGCAAUUUCUUCUCCUUUUUCAUUCUGAACCACAGUAAUCCCUGACUUCUUUGGUACCACUUGAGUAGGACUCACCCAAGGGCUGUCAGAUAUGGGAUAAAUAAUACCCGCUUGGAGUAGCUUCAGUACCUCAGUUUGAACCACUUCUUGUAAAUGAGGAUUCAAUCUUCUUUAAGGUUGACGAAUUGGUUUAGCUUCUUCCUCCAUAUAUAUGUGAUGUGUACAAACCAAAGGACUGAUUCCUUUCAAGUCAGAUAUUUGCCAUCCUAUUGCUUUCUUGCACCUCUUAAGAACUUCAAGUAGAGAAAUCUCCUGAUGACUGGUAAGAGAUGAAGAUAUAACAACAGGACAUUGGUUAUUUUCUUCUAGGUAUGUAUAUUUUAACUCCAUGGGCAGAGGUUUCAAGUUGAGCUUCGGGAAUUCUUCUGUUACAUCAUCUUGUCCCUCCUCUUUAUCGAAUAAAGGUAGGAUCUCUUCUUUCCUCCUCCAGCCUUGUAGAGUAGCAAGCACAUCAGUAGGUUCAGACAACCCUUCUUCAAGAUCCUCAAGACUUUCAUUCAACUCGUCUUGCAUAUUCUGAUCACAAUGCUCCUCCAGUAGAGUGUCAAUAAUGCAUACCUCCUCUGGACCUUCUUCUUCUUCCGGAGUAAUCAACUUCUUUGACAUAUGAAAGAUAUUAAGCUCAAGUGUCAUGUUGCCAAAAGUGAGUUGCAUAAGUCCAUUCCUAUAAUUUAUGAUUGCAUUUGAAGUAGCAAGAAAUGGCCUUCCAAGGAUGAUAGGAACAUAAUUAGCUUCCUUAACUAAAGGAUCAGUAUCAAGAACAACAAAAUCUACUGGAUAGUAGAAAUUAUCAACUUGAACUAAAACAUCCUCAAUUAUCCCCCUUGGAAUUUUCACUGACCUAUCAGCUAAAGAUAGGGUGAUUGAUGUUGGCUUUAACUCACCAAGUCCCAAUUGCUUAUAAACAGAGUAUGGUAGCAAAUUCACACUUGCUCCCAAAUCUAACAAAGCUUUUUCCACUACCUUUCCUCCAAUCAUGACUGAAAUGGUAGGACAUCCCGGAUCUUUGUACUUCAAAGGAGAUUUGCAUUGUAUGAUGGCACUUACUUGUUCAGUCAAGAAGGCUUUCUUAUUCACAUUCAACCCUCUUUUGAUAGUACACAGGUCUUUUAGGAACUUUGCAUAUGAUGGAACUUGCUUAAUCACAUCUAGCAAUGGAAUGUUGACCUUCACUUUAAUACUUCAAGGAUUUCUGAUGCAUUUUUUAUCUUCUUUUUCCCAUGCAAAGCUUGAGGAAAAGGUGGAGAUGUGCGUUUCUUCAUCAAUUCUUCCUUAAUAAGCUCUUUCUCCGGAUUUGCAUUCACUGUUGAAUCACGGUCCUUCUUCCCUUCACUGAUAUCUGUCUUCUUUCCUUUCAUUUCCUCCCUCUUCUUUGUCUCUUCUUCUUCCUUCUCUUCAACAUAUGGCUUGGGUGUUGGUGACUCAACCUUUUUACCACUCCUUAGAGUGAUCAAGGCUUUAACAUCUCUCACCUGUGAAGAUUCUCCCUCAUGAGUUUCCACCUCGUGGAUACCCUUGGGGUUUUGGUGAGGUUGAGAAGGAAAUCUACCCUUCUCUUGCACUGUGUUUUGAUUAGUGAGCCUUGAGAUUGAGUAUUGGAGAUUAUCUAUCUUCUGAGAUAAAUCAUUUUGCAUCUCAUCCAUCCUUUUGUUCAAAGUAUUCUCUACACUGUUAAUUCUUUGACUGAGUUGAGAAUUGAUGGAUUUUUAUUCUCCAACAAAAUCUCCCACAACCUUGCUGAGAUUCACUAUUGCUUGUUCAAGACUUGAAGCUUGUUAGGAUGGUUGAGAUGGUUGAGAUGGUUGAGCCGGCUGUUGGUACUGAGGUGCUCUUGGCUUCCAUGAAAAAUUUGGAUGUUUCCUCCAACUUGAGUUGUAAGUAUUGUCAUACGAAGCAUUGCUAUUGGGCUUGAAUUGUCCAAUGACAUUUACUUGUUCUCCAAACAUUUCUUUAGCAACUGGAAUUGUAGGGCACUCCUCCACCAAGUGUUCAUAAGAUUGACAAAUCGAACAUGGCUUUACUGGCACUGGUGUUUCAGCAACAGCUUACACUUCAUUCAUCUUUUUCAGUUCUAGCUUCUCCACUCUUCUUGUCAUAGCUGCAAAUUUUGCUUUCAUUUCAACAUCUUCAUUCAAGGUGUACAUCCCAGCCUUAGCAUGAAGAGCAUUUGGUUGAGACUUCAUCUUUCCCACUUCUCCUCUGUGCGGUUCAUCCCAUCCCCUUGAGACUUCAGCUACAUAACUCAAGAAAUCCAUAGCUUCCUCAGGAUUCUUACUCAUGAAAUCCCCUCCACACAUUGUUUCGAGGAGUUGCUUCAUUGAGGAAGACAUCCCAUCAUAGAAAUAACUCACCAACAGCCAUGGUGAGGACAAGCAUUAAUGGCUUCCAUGUAUCUUUCCCAACACUCAUAGAAUUUCUCAUUCUCUUUAGCUGAGAAGUUUGAAAUUUGUCUUUUCAAGCUAUUUGUUCUAUGAGUAGGAAAAAACAUCUUGAGGAAUUCAGCUUGUAAAUCAGUCCAAGUACGGAUACUCCUUGGCCUUAAAGAAUUAAGUCAAAUCUUGGCCUUAUCCUUUAAAGUAAAAGGAAAUAGUUUAAGCCUCAUCAGGUCGAUAGAAGCUCCUCCAUCUCAGAAUGUAUUACAAACAUCUUCAAAUUCCUUGAUAUAGGCAUAAGGAUCUCACUUUCCAUUCCAUGGAAAGUUGGCAGAAGUGGCACAAUAUGGGGUCUGAUCACUAGCUGCUCUAUAGGGAGCUAUACAUGAUGGUGCACUCAUACGAGGUGGAUGCAUACGGUCCCUCAUCGAUCUGAAUUCAUUGGGAUUGUCCUGAUGAUCAUGGUGACUAUGCUGAUCCUCAGGUGUAGUUUCCAUGAUGUUCAAGAUUACUUCCAACUCCUUGUUAUGAGGUGUUUCAAGUUUAACAAGCCUUCCUCCACAAUCUUGUAUCCACUUUGGCAUACACAACUAGUAUCAACUGUAACAAAGAAAGAAAAACAAAAACAGAGGAAAACAAAAAACAAAACUACCAAAAAGAGUUCGAUUAACUAAAACUAAAUUAAAAGCUAUGCUAGAAUAUAAACGAGUAAAAGAAACAACUAAAAGAGUUAGUAAAAUGACAGAAAACUCACCAAACUUGUGAUGAAAACCACAAGUACACUGAAAUAAUAUCACUAUGAAGUUGGCACCUUCCCCGGCAACAACCCCAUUUGAUUCGUUCCCAAUUGGUGUCUCAACUGAUUCAUGUCCAGCUGGUGCUCUUCGAUUGAGAGAGUAAUCAACAAAAUUUAUAACCUAUAUCACCAUGCAUUAGGAUAGCUUAGCUAAUAUAGCAUAAUGGCUCUAGGAUCGUUCACUGGGAAGGGUUUUCAACUCUCAACUGAUACCAAUUCAAAGUAAAUUGGUGUUUUUUCAUUUCAAGGUUAGCUUAAGAAAUAAACACAAACUUUGUUUAAAUGAGGUUUUGAUUAAAGCUAACUAAAAAGAAAGUAAUGGAAAUUACUUAUGAAGAAAAACAUUCCUUGGAGGUUUAGGUUCAUAGGGGAGGUUCCUUAUGCAAAAACAGAGCUCCGGUCAUUUGGUUCGUUUCCUCACAUUAGAGAAUUAACAUAUAGUCAAUUCUCUAACCAGUGUUGUACAGAUGUAACCUUUAAAUGGAUUUCAGCUCUAAUUCCUUCUCAUUGAUGCAACUUGCAAUGGCUCGUGCCUCUCACCUAGCAUUUGCAAUUCAAGGUGAUCUUUAACUUUGGACUUCCCUUCUCAAGCUCGCAAGAGAUAACUAAUGGAUGUCUCCUUGGAGUCUAAAAGCUUACCAAGUGUUGGCAAUUCUAGAAAAUUCUACCUUCAAGCCAUUUCCCAAAAGCUCGCAAGAGAUAAACAAGUGCAUCUCCAUGGAUGGAGAUCACGUGCUUUACCACGUGUUGGCUCAAGUGAAUUGAAGGUGUUUUAAGUUAACUAAAAACAUAGAAAUCAUUAAAGAAUCACAUUUUCUCUUCAUUAAUGAUUUAAACCAAAAAGCUACCAAUUCAUGCACUUGGAACCUUUCCCGGCAACCUUAACUCCAAGGAACUAAAAGUCUAGCCACUCAUUCUCUGAGGAAAAUUCCUCAGAGCUUGUUUGGCUAGAAAGAAAACUAACGAGAAAACAAUUAUAUGAAGGAAAAAUAGAGCAAGUGCUCUGUAAAAUAUAUUUCUUCUUUCCGCCGAUUACAUAAUAGAUAUCUUUGUAAAGAAAAUUACAAACUAUAUAUAUGAGAUUAUUCACCAUUUUCCUUGCUUAAAGACUAAGGAAUCCUAUGAUAGGUGGGUUACAAGAAGACUUUAGGGAUUUAGACAACAAAUAUCUAAAGCAAAAUAUCCCAAAAUAUCUCAAAAAUGUCAGUCGAAAAUAUCAGGAAGCUUCAGGAGAACACCGCUGCACUGUAUACUGAGAGAAAAACUCUCCUGGUAAGCGUUAUCAGAAGGUCUGGAUAUGUCUAUCCGGAGAAGUUGAAGCGUCCUCCUCUCCCAUCCGGCUGUGAGAUAUCUGGAUGUAAAAUGUCGGUGCACAGAACGUCCUCCUCUCCCAUCUGGCUGUGAGAUAUCCGAAUGUAAAAUGUCGGGGCACGCCAUGCUAUCCAAAGCAACUCCAUCCGGAUUCCCCAUCCAGGUGUGAGAUAUCUGCGCCUCUAGUCUAUCCGGAUCAACUCCAUCCGGAUUCCUCCAGAGGACAUGUGGGGGCUCCCCUAUCCGGACUCCGAGAGGGAGAAGCACACGGCACUCGUGAACAUCACACUCGGACGAUAGCAUAUCCUAUCCGGAUAUGUUGUCCGGACACAGACCAUGUUCCGCCGCCAUCCUGUCCGGACGCCCUGUCCGGACAUCUUUUACUCCUUGCAUUCCGGAUUGCUUAUGGCAAAGGACUUCCAAGCUUUAGUCCUUCAUGUUUCUAGACUUUCUAUUGCUUUGCCAUGGAUUCCAAAGAAGUCUCCUCAAUCUCUGAUUGCUUUGGUGAUCAAAAAGCUAUCAAAACACCAAAACACCAAAACUUAACACAAUUUGAUUAGAAUUGAUUGCAAGGGUCUUUAAUAUGUUAAUUGGGUUAAAAGGCGAUAACUACUACUCAAAAGUAUUUAAAAGAGUUAAUUACAGGCUAUCAAAUAACACUUUUUGAGUAGUAAUCACUUCCCCAUCGUGGGGUGAAUAGCCGGUGAAUAUCAACAAGUAGUUGCGUAUCUCUAUCCCAAAAUAGUAGCCUAAAUCCCCUCUAAAACUUGGACUCCUCCCAAACGGCAACCCCCUCUAUGCCUUUUCAAACCACAAACUGAUCCCCUCAAACAGCAGCCUCAAAUCCCCCUAAAACAUGAACUGAUCUUUCCCUUGAAAAUGAAAGCCUAACUUCACCAAAAUAAUCCUUUUGACCUCCUUCAAUCGUGCAUCUUCCUUCUUUUUCUUUUAUUUUUUUUCAUAAUAUUUUAUCCAUCACUUAGUCAGCUUCUCUACAGCCACAGUGAUGGAAAAAAAUGGCAGAAAAAGGUUUCCUUCUCCUCUUCCAAUCACCCUCCAUCCCCUCCAAUUUUCCUUCUUUUCUUUUUUUUUUCCUUUGUCUUUCCUUUUCUCUCUUCCUCUCUCUCCAAUCCACUGGUUGCCUCCAUCUUUUCUCUUAAUGGCAUUUUUCUUUUUCUUUUAUGGAGCACGUGGGAUCCAUGCAAAACAAAUAAUAAUAAUAAUAAUAAAGAAAAAACCAAUAAAAGAAAACUAAGGGUUAGAAUACUAAUAAAAAAAAACGUGUAACUAAGGAUUAAAAAUCCAAAAUAUGCAAUUUUAAACGAAAUUAAAAUAUAGAUCACAUGCAAAACUAAAAUGAAUUAUCAACUCAAGCAACUUUCUAUCAAAAUAAAUAAAUUAAUAAAUAAAUAAAAAUAAAAUGAAUAUGAUUAUUAAGCUCAUGCAAUUUCCUAAAAAUAAAUAAAUAAAUAAAUAAAUAAAACUAAUAAAUAGAGAAAGAUAAAAAAAACAAAAAUGAAAUCAAGCACAUGCAAGCUAUACGAGCUAUGCAACCAUGAAAGCCAUGCAAACCAUGCAUCCAUGCAAAAAAAUGAUCUAAAUGGGCCUAGGGUGCCUAAGUGGGCCUAAGGUGAUGCCUAAUGGGCCAAGUGUGCCUAAAUGGGCCUACGGUACCUAAUUGGGCUCAGGGUGCCUAAGUGGCCUAAGAUGGUGCCUAAUGGGCCAAGUGUGCCUAAAUGGGCCUAGUGUGCCUAUUUAGGAAAUUUUACAUGGGUCUCGGGAUUUUGUGGGUGAUGAAGCCGAGAGAGAGAGAGAGAGAGAGAAAUGCUCCCAAAUCAAAGAAAAAAAAAGUUUUAAAUUAAGGAAGUUACAGCUGGUUGUCGGGUCGGGUCGGGUCAUUUUUCAUAGGUUCCCAAUUCAGAUUUUUGUUUUAAAAAUUUUCACCCUCUCAUGUAACAGGGAGGGCUCCCUACUGAUAUGGAGACAAGGUUGCAGCUGAUAUGGAGGCAUGGAGGGGCAAUCUAGGAACAUAAAAUGGAGUCAACAAAAAUUGCAUGAGAAAGAUAAUAUUUUCCCCAUUAACAGGACAUCUCAUAUUUCAUUUACGUGGGUUUCCAAAACCAUAUAUCUUCCUAAUAGCAGCCUGCAAACACAAUUUUCCCAUCUAUCAACUAGCUGCACCCAUUCCUUUCAUCCAUGAACUGUCCUCCCACGCUAUAACUCAUUCUUUGAGCUACCCAAAAGGCCCCAUAACUGGUCAACCCAACUACACCUACCCUUUUAACUCGUACCAACCCAUAAUCCUACUUUCCUAGCUCCUUAUAGCACCCAUUCCAACCCAUAAUCCUACUUUCCUAGCUCUCUAUAGCUAUAAUAUAGAGCCCUUGUCAGACAUCCUAUCAAGCCACUUUUGUAGCGCCAUUUUGCUACCCAAGACCACUUCCCCACAGUUGUAUAAGCUGUCCUUGUCAACCCCUCACGUCAAGCCAUAAACUUGGUCUUUGGUAGCUAGCCCAACCUUCUAUUCAUUGGUCUCGCAUAUCAACGCAUAACUCCAAUAUUUAGCUUCACAUAGUUGUGCUAUAUAGAGUCCAUCAGUUGUACAAUCAAAAGCUCUCAACAUCAUUUCAAGUGUGCCUUAGCUAUCCCUAGAAUCCUUUUUUCCUAUCAAAGCCUCACCUUCGAGUUAUAAUGGCUGCAAGCAACCUACUGAUUAUAUAUUCUAUAAGUUUGAAAAAAAAAAUUUAAUGAUGUCUAAUUUGCAAGUUAGAACAAAUAAAGAAUACUAAUAUUUUAUGAAGUGUUUAAAAUUUUUUUAAUAUAUAUGAGAAAUAAUCUAAGUUUGAAAUAAAGAAUAAUAUUUAUUAUAUAUUAUGUAAGUUUGAAAAAAAAUAUUUGAUAAGGUAUUUAAAAAUUAUUUACUUCAAAAAUGCAUUUGACAAUAAUAAUUUUUAAUCAUUUAUCUUCCAUGUUCAAUUUGUUGGAGAAAAAUUAUUGGUAAAUCGUUCAACUUGGUCCCAUUAAUAAAUAGGUGAGAAAAAAAAUCAAAGAGAGAAUGAAAAAGGUAGGAGUGGUUAGUAGUUUUUUCAUUUAAUAGUCAAGGGUAUUUUAGGGAUAUUUUUAAAGAAAUGUCAUUUCCCUCAAUUUUUACUCUUUUUUUUGGGUUUUGAGUUUAAUUAUGGGUGAUUAGAGGACCUUAACUCAAUUAUCCAACCCAACUGGGAUGGAAACAUAAUUUUCCCAAAUAAUUAUAAUUAAUUUAUUCUCAAAAAUAUUCUUUUGUGCUGACUUUUAAUAUAUAUACAUUUGGUAUAAAUUAACAAAUGGCAUAAUUGCCUUAGUGGACAUAGGUUGUAGGAGUUCUUAUAUAUGGGCAAAGUCGAGAAUGGAGCAGGUGACUGGAGAAGAGGGAGGCCUAGACAGAGGUCCAGGUGACUUGGGUGGGUAGUUUGGGACAGAGGGAAGGCAUUUUUUUUCCAUAAAUAUUGCCAAAAAAUAGGCUAUAAAUUGGAGAAAUAUCAGCGAUUUUUUUCCAUGACAACCGAUUAAUGAAACAAAUCGAUGACUUAUCACCUCCAACCGAUAUAUCAACCUUUUUUUGGUGAUAUUUAUCAAAGUUUCCCCUCUCUGAUAUAUCACCAUGAUAUAUCGUGUCGAAACCUUCCGAAUAUAUUCUUCAAAUUGAUAAAUGGUAGUUUUUUUCAUUCAUACUUUCAUUCGUUCAUGUAUAGAGUAUAUAUAGAGGGUAAUCGCCAUUCUAAGAAUGGGAAAGAAUGAUACAAGGAAAGAAUGAUAUAAGAAAAUAACAACUAAUAUCCUAAUAUCUCAACUUUCCUAAUAUCUCAAUAUUCCUAAUAUCUCAAAUUUCCUAAUAUCUAAACAUUCCUAAUAUCUCAACACUGAAUAAUAUAAGGAAAACAUUCCUAAUAUCUCAACACUCCCCCUCAAGUUGGUGCAUAGAUGUCACACAUGCCCAACUUGUUUAAAAAUUUUGAAAACACUUGACUUGAGACAACUUUGGUAAGGAUAUCGGUCAAUUGAUCUUCUGAUUGAAUCUUAGGCAAUUCCACAAUCUUAUCAUCCAACUUUUCCUUAAUGAAGAAUCUAUCCACCUCGACAUGCUUUGUACGAUCAUGUUGUACUGGAUUAUGAGCAAUGUCACAUGCGGCUUUAUUGUCACAAAAAAAUCGGAUUGGUUGCCUAGAUAGGUAACCUAAAUCCUGUAAGAGGAGUCUUAGCCAUAAUGCCUCACAAAGUCCUAGAGUCAUACCUCUAAAUUCUGCUUCUGCACUUGAACGAGCGAUGACAUUCUGCUUCUUACUUUUCCAUGUCACAAGAUUACCACCUACAAAGGUAAAGUAACCAGAUGUAGAUCGCCUAUCAUCCACUGCACCGGCCCAAUCAGCAUCAGUAUAUACUUCUAUACUCUGAUGAUCAAUAUUUUAAGCGAACAAAAUUCCCUUCCUAGGAGCAUUCUUCAAAUACCUCAAAAUACGCAUGACUGCAUUCAUAUGUUGCUCUCCAUGAUUAUGCAUGUAUUGACUCACUACACUCAAUGCAUAAGCAAGAUCUGGUCUUGUAUGAGCUAAGUACAUUAAUCUCCCCACAAGUCUCUGGUAUCUUCCCUUAUCGGUUGAUACUUGAUUAAGCUCAACACACAAUUUCAGACCUUCUUCUAUUGAUGUAUUAACAGGUUGACAUCCUAACAUUCCAGUCUCUUGUAAAAGAUCUAAGGCAUACUUUCUUUGAGACAGAAAAAUUCCUUCACUUGAUCAAGAAACUUCAAUCCCAAGAAAGUAUUUCAGAGGACCUAAAUCUUUCAUUUCGAAUUCUUUAGAUAGAUAAUUUUGCAGAACUUUUCUUUCUUCAGGAUCAUUUCCUGUAACUACCAUGUCAUCCACAUAUACGAUGAGUGUCGUAAUCUUACCAUGUUGCUUUUUCAAGAACAAAGUGUGAUUUGAAUUACUUUGACGAUAUCCAAAAGCUCUCAUUGACUUUGUGAACCUUCCAAACCAUGCUCUCGGGGAUUGCUUCAACCCAUACAAUGACUUCUUCAAUUUGCACACCUUCCGACAUUGCUUUUCUGACACCAUGCAUCCUGGUGGAAGAUCCAUAUAUACUUUUUCAGAUAACUCGCCAUGCAAAAAGGCAUUUUUCACAUCAAAUUGUUGUAAUGGCCAAUCUAGGUUUGCAGCUAAAUACAAUAAUACUCAAACUGUGUUGAUCUUAGCUAUAGGUGCAAAUGUCUCUGUGUAGUCAAUUCCAUAAGUUUGAGUGUACCCUUUUGUUACCAGUCUUACUUUAUAUCAUUCAAUACUACCAUCUGCCUUAUACUUCACAAUAUAGAUCCAACGACACCCAACUGGCUUCUUUCCUGGUGGACAUUAUAUGAGUUCCCAUGUUUCAUUCUUUUGCAAUGAUUUCAUUUCUUCAUUCAUGGCUGCUUUCCACCUUGGAUCAGCUAAGGCUUCCUACACACUGUUAGGAAUAACUACAGUAGAUAAUUGAUUUACAAAUGACUUAUUUGAUUUAGACAAACGAUGGUUAGACACAUAGUUGCUCAUGGGAUAUUUGACUUUGGUAGACAAUUCAGGUUUAUAUGUGGGUUUAGGAAUACCUCUAUUAUGACGGUGUGGUAACCGUUUCAUGAAUGGAUCAGGUUCCAAAUUAAGAACACCUUCAACAAACGACGAUUGGUUUGGUAUUUCAGUGAAGACAUCUUCGGACCCAAAUUGUUGACCACUCAUAUCCAACUCACCCACUUCCUGGUUCACUAGUUCAGAUUGUCCAGAUUUAUCUUCCUUAGAAAUAUGAUAAUCAUAAUCGAGAGUCUGAAUUUCCUUAUAGUGCUCCCCUUGAAGUUCAGACUCAGAUGAAAAAUACAUCGAAUCUUCAUGAAACACCACAUCCAUUGUAAUAUACAUUUGUCGAGUUGGAUGAUGGUAACAUCAAUAUCCCUUUUUGUGCAAUGCAUAUCCAACAAACACACAUUUCAAUGCAUGGGAAGUUAACUUGGUGCGUUGGUGCUUGUGUAAAUGCACAAAUGCCACACAACCAAAAACACGAUGAGGUAGAUUUGGGACGGUUGGGGCAAUUACGACAUUAGUAAAAGCUUGUAGAGGUGUUUAAAAGGUAAUUGAGCUAGAGAAGUACUGGAUUGAUCAAGUAUGCGGCAGAUGUGAUUGCUUCUCCCCAAUAAGAUAUCGGUGUUUUUGCUGCUAUCAAGGAAGCAUGAACAACCUCUAACAAGUGCCAAUUUUUUUGUUCAGAGACUCAAUUUUGCUGGGGUGUAUUGGAACAAGUAGUCUAAUGAAUGAUGUCAUGUCCUUCCAAAUACUUUUGAAGAUCAGAACUUUGAUAUUCUCCACCAUUAUCACUACGUAGAACCCCAACCUUUACAUUAUAUUGAGUUUCAAUCAUUUUAUGAAAAUUUUGAAACAACAAGUUCACUUCAUCUUUGGUCUUCAUCAAGCAUAACCAUGUCAUUCUGGUACAAUCAUCAAUAAAAGUAACAAACCAACGUGAGCCACUCAAAGUUAGGACUUUGGAUGUGCCCCAAACAUCAGAAUGUAUAACCAUAAACGGAAACGGACUGUUAUUCAAAAUUAACGGAAACGAAGCACGAUGGCUUUUAGCCAAUUCACAAAUAUCACAACGGAAACCAGAAAUAUCACUCUUUGCAAACAAACUAGGAAACAAUUUUUUUAAAUAACCAAAGGAAGCAUGUCUCAGACGUCGAUGCCACAACCAAAUUUCAGACUUUUUCUUCUCCCUCUCAGAUCCAUUUGCCAUAAAGGCUUGUUGCAACUUAUUUGAAUGGCGAGGUUUUCUUGGAAUCCUUCUUCUGUUGAUCACAAUUAUUAUCAUUAAUAACAAAGUGUUGAUAGCCUAAACAUGAUCUAAAGGUCCAUGGUUCAAACCCUCGAUUCCUCAUUGUUUUCCUAGUCAUACCAAGAGUUGUUGCUUUGAAAUUGUGGGAUAUCCAGACUGGUGGGACUAGUCUUAUUGCAGUGAGUGCAUUUGAAGGUUGACUUAUCAAUAUUAGGGUUUGUCUUAGGAUGGUUGAUCGCUGUCGGACUACCAUAGCGACAAAAUAUCCAGGAUUUCAGUUCCAUGGCUCUAAUACCAUCUUCAAACUGAUAAAUGGUAGUUUUUUUCAUUCAUACUUUCAUUCGUUCAUGUACAGAGUAUAUAUAGAGGGUAAUCGCCAUUCUAAGAAUGGGAAAGAAUGAUACAAGGAAAGAAUGAUAUAAGGAAAUAACAACUAAUAUCCUAAUAUCUUAACUUUCCUAAUAUCUCAAUAUUCCUAAUAUCUCAACUUUCCUAAUAUCUAAACAUUCCUAAUAUCUCAACACUGAAUGAUAUAAGGAAAGAAUGAUAUAAGGAAAGCAUUCCUAAUAUCUCAACAUAUAUUAUGAGAUUUUCGUCCCUGCCCAUACCCACCAUCACUUCCACUUCUCCUUUUCAUCAAACCAUUACAAACCUAAUCUUCAUGCUCGGUAUUUCAAGUGUUGCUUCUCUAAAUCCUUAACUGUCGAUCCUCAACUAGUUUUCACCUCCAUGAAGUCUUUUGUAAUUUACACCCAUAACCAUUGCUAACCUCGAUCUUGAUUUCGAUUUUCUCAAUGUUGCUGUCGACGGUAUCCUGUAUUUCAUCUCCCUUUGCAUGGAUCUUGAUGUUCGACCUGAGGAGAUUUCGAUUUUCGACAUCGAUGGUGUCAGGGAUAGUGUCAAGAAGCUCAAUAAAAGUCCCAUCCGGAACUACGCCGACAUUGCCGCUAUCUCUGUCAUGAAAAUGUUCUCAGUAUUAUAGCAUUAGCCCUUAUGGGAUGAUUCAUGUUGAUUCGGAGUUGUGAUCCUUUGGAGUUGAUCCCGUUAAAGUUUCCAAGUGAGGAGUUGUUCCUCCUUUAGCAACUAGAGCUACUCUUGCUUCAUAGCCAUGCGUGUUAUCUUUUAUGUAUUUAUUCUAUUUAUUUGUUGUAUUAUUCAUACAGUUAAGGGGCAGGAAAUAAGGCCUUGUUUGGUGACUAGUUGGAACUGUUUGGUAUCUUAUUGAUUUUGUGUUAUUUAAUCUCAAAUAGAAAUCUAAAAUCUAUUACUAUUAGUUCAUAUUAAUUCAAUUGCACUAUAAAUUCAGAUUGUUUCCAUUGCUUUACAUUGAUUAUACUAAAUUGGGAGAUCCAAUUUUUUAUAUAUAUCUAUAUUAGUUUGAAUUAGUUGGAAUCAAUUGAAGGCUUAGGCUUAUUUCUGUUGAUUUGUGCUGGAUGAUUUAAAUUAAAGAUUCAGAUUUUGCCCCUGUUAUUUGGAAACAAUCUAGUCCCAUUAGAAAAGGAUUUACCCUAUUGUUUGGUAUUUGAUCAAAUUCAAUUCAGAAAUCUAAGAUAUCCCUAUUGAUUUUGGACUAAUUUAAUUCAAUGGAAAAUUCAGAAAUUGUUUUUAUUAAUAUGAUAUGAAUUUUUUAAAUUGAAACCUAAGUUAUGUCUCUAUUAACUUCUGAACUGAUUCAAUCCAAUUAGGCAUUUAAGUCAUGCCUAGUGCCCUAAACUUAUUUAAUCAAACUAGAAUUGAGAUUGUACCUUUGUUGAUUUGAAUGAAUUUAAUUAAAUUUGGAUUUAGGAAGUAUCAUUAUCAUUAAAUAAAUAAAAAUUGAAUAGAAGGGGGAGUGAAUAGGGUGAUGGUCUCUUUUAACAAAUUUAAACUAUGUGAAUGUAAGAGACAAAUAUAUGCAAGUAUAUAAUAAAACAAUGUCAAGGCAAUUGUAUAUAAAGUAAAGGAGAAGGGAAAAAAGAAUGCAAACACAAGAUUUUUAUAGUGGUUCGGAGCAACCCGACCUAAAUCCACUCUCCUCCAGCUUCAAUCCCAAGCUUGAGCUUCCACUAAUUCAAGGCUUCCAAACUAAGCCUUCAAGCAGUACAAAUGGAUUAUGGUUCCAAUCCACCAUCUUAGACUUUUGGCUUCAAGCAUCCUUUACACUUCUCAAGAGACACUCCACUCUUGAACAACCCCUCAAGUGAUACUCCACACUUGAGAAUACCUAAGUGAUACCUCACACUUAGAUUCUUCCUCUUAAAGAUAUACAAAUACUUUCACAAACUCCUAGUACAAAACUUUAGGCUCAAAUGAUACAAGUAAACUAGGAUUGAAUGGUGCACUAAUAAUAUGCAAGUUUUAAAACAAUGGUACACUUAAAAACACUCUUCCAAUGCUCAAAUAUAUUCAAGAAAGGUCUAGGAAGGUUAAGCUCAUGAAAUAAUGAAGAUUGGAGCCUUUUUAUAGAGAAAAAAAAAGUCAAACUAGCCGUUAGGGGUUUGACUAGUCGAGUUAGGGGUUGACCGGUUGACGGAAGCAUUUACUGCAUGGCAAGUGACCAUUGGACCUUGACCGCCACUUGACUAGACCUCGACCGGUUGAGGUGGCGGUCAACCAGUUGAGGUUCAACCUUGACCAGUUGAACAACCAUUCUGGAAGAGAGAAGGUUUUUUUUUUUUUGCACCCCAUGACCGGUUCAAUUGGGGGUCAACUAGUUUCUCAUUCGGUUCAACAACCAACUUUUUCAACUUAAAAACCUUUUAAACAAGUUUGGAAAAUAUUUAACACAAGGUUUUAGUUAAAAACAUGAAAUCGUCCAAUUUUAAAAUAUUUAAAACAAAAUAACUCUUGGAUAAUUUUGGUGCAUAAGUAAGGAAUGUAAUGCAAGAAAAUCCUAGUGCACCAACAAUCUUACAAAGAGAUCUUAUGAAUCUUGGCUCUUGAAAAACACUUCUCUUUGAGGUCUUCUUCUUCUUAAUGAUUUCUCUUUGGCUUGAUUUGUCUUUGUGAUUGCCACUUUGGAAAAUGUCUUGCCUAAUCACACUUUAUAUAUAAUCAUUAGUUCUAAACUUUGUUUUGUUAUCAUCAAAACCGAGUUUAACCAAACCAUGGUUUCACAAUCUCCCCUGUUUUGAUGAUGACAUAACCAAGGUUGCUAAAAAGCUCACCCUCAAUAUAUGCUCCUUUGAAUUUAGAAAAUAUUCAAGUUUAGAAACUUUAAGACGUAUAUUAAGGGUGCUAAAAAUGUUAUAAUCAAACAUAAAUUGCAUAAAGAGAAAUUUAGCAAUUUCCAAGAUAUUAUUAUUAAAUAUGAUGCAUAAUAAAGCACAUAACAUCAAUAUGAAUAGGAUUGCUAAAAUAAUAUUGACAUUUUUUUCCCAAGUUAGCAACCUACCAUUACUUCUCCUCCUUUUUGUCAUCAAUAAAAAAUUUCAAUAGAGUAUAUAAGGGGAAUCACAUAAUAUCAAAAGUUAAAAAUAAAUAAUAAGCAUAAUAUAAUUUCUCAUGUAAAUGAAUCUCCCCCAUUUUUCAUUUGAGAACAUUUUCCAAAUAAAAGAUUUCCCACUUUAGAGCAUUCCCAAUUUAAAGUAUGAUUUGGAAAAGAUAUAUGGGAGAACAUAUGCAUUUAAAAAGAUGUAUAACAUGCACUGAAUAACACUAUUAGAGCACACAAGCAUAUGAUCAUUCAAUUUUACCUAGGUAUAUAUUUAAAAAAAAUCUUCUUUUUAAUCCAAACCUUGGUUUAACAAAUAUACCAAUUUUAUCAAUAUGAUACCGAAUGUUAUAUUAUUAACAAAAAUUAUACCAAGUGUUAGCAAAAUGAUAAAAUGAUAUUGCAAAUUAAGCUUUAGAAGGGAUACCAUUACCAAUAUUAUCAAUGCUUUCUUUCCAAGGUAAGCAUAUCCUCCUUCUUGCAUGGAUCCCUACAAAACAAAUUAAAUAACCUUUGGUACCCAUAUCUUUUUAGGUCUUAGAGGGUUAGCCUUUCCUCCAUUUAGAAUCCAAAAUAAUUUAGAGUUUUAAAGAACAUGAGGAGAUUUUCUUAAGGGAAAAAUGUCACUAAUGUGACCUCUUCUUCCACAAAAAUUGCAAAUAAUUGAAAGUGAAAAACUAGAGGCUUCCUUUACAAAAUAAUUCUUAAAAUAUUUUUUAUUUUUGAAAGGCUUGUAACCUAGCCCCUUUUUAUCAAAAAUGCACUUUUGACUUGCCAAAAAUCAUAUCAAAAGUCUUUUUACCAUUUGAGAAUUUUUGUAGAUAGGAUGUUAACUAUUCAUUUUUCUUUUUCAACUCCUCAUUUUCCUUUUCAAAAGAGAUUUUUGUCUUCUCAAUAUUUUCAAAUAUUUCCUUAAGCUCAUUAAGGUCAUUUUGAAGACAAUAAAUCUUUUUCGUGAGAGAGACAUUUUUGAACCCAAGUUUUUCAAAAUCAAAAUAUAAUUCUUGAAGUAUAUCUUGAAACUCACUAUAGUUAGAGUUGGAAUUUACCUCAUCUUCAUGUUCCUCCAAAGCCAUGAAGCAUAUGUUGGCAUCCUCAUUUGUUCAUUCUUCUUCCAUGGAGUUUUCAUCACUUUCACUUUCACUCUCUUUCUCAUCAUCAUCAUUUUUUGAAGCCUUAGAAUCUAUAUUUUUCUUAUUUUCUUUAACUCUUUGAUGAUUGUUCAAAUUUAUCUCAUGAGUCAUGAGUGACCCAAUAAGUUCUUCAAGUGGGAGCUUGGUGAGAUCCUUUGCUUCUUGAAUAGCCGUCACUUUUAUUUCCCAUUCCUUUGUGGUAGAGACCUUUAAGAUCUUCAUGACUUUCUCUACUUCAAUGUAGGUCUUUCCCAAGGCUUCAAGUUCAUUCAUAAUCACCAUGAACCUAGAAAACAUCUCUACAAUAGAUUCAAAAUCCUUCAUAGAAAAUAAUUCAUAAUCAUGUACAAGGAUGUUGAUUGUAGACUCUUUAACUUGGUUGGUUCCCUCAUGAGUGUUUUCUAAUAGUCUCCAAAUUUCUUUAGCUAACUUACAUUUCCAAACACAAUUAAAUUCAUUUCUAUCAAUAACACAUUGUAAGAUAUAAACAACUUUGCCAUUUAAUUGAACUUUCUUUUUAUUAAGCUCAUCCCAUUCUUGCUUAGGUUUUGGAACCAUCACUCCAUUUUCUAAUUUUGAAGGAAUGUGGAGACCAUCUUCAAUGACAUCCCAUAGAUCAAGAUUAAUAGAUUUUAAAAAUUAGGACAUUUUUCCUUUCCAAUAGGAAUAAUCGGUUCCCGUAAAGAAUGGAGGUCAAGUGGUUGAAAAACUUUAAAUUUGAGAUGAGCUUAAUGGAUUAGCCAUUACCUCUUAGACUGUUAAGUCUUAAACAAAAGGCCUAAUUCAUAUAGCAAUUGUUAGAAAAAUUAGGCUAAUCCAAACCUAUGGUAAUCACCCUAGAAGGGGGGAGGGGGUGAAUAGGGUGAUGGUCUCUUUUAGCAAAUUUAAACUAUGUGAAUGUAAGAGAAAAAUAUAUGCAAGUAUAUAAUAAAACAAUGCAAAGGCAAUUGCAUAUAAAGUAAAGGAGUAUGAAAGAGAGAAUGCAAACACAAGAUUUUUAUAAUGGUUCAACGCAACCCAGCUUACAUCCAUUCUCAUAUAGCUUUAAUCCCAAGCUUGAGGUUCCACUAAUUCAAGGCUUCCAAACCAAGCCUUCAAGCAAUACAAUUGGGUUAUGGUUCAAAUCCACCAUCUUGGAAUUUUGGCUCCAAGCACCCUUUACACUUCUCAAGAGAUACCCCGCUCUUGAAUAACCCCUCAAGUGAUAAUCCACACUUGAGAAUCCCUAAGUGAUACCUCACACUUAGAUUCUUCCUCUCAAAGAUAUACAAUAAUUUCGCAAACUCCUAGCACAAAACUUUAGGCUCAAAUGAUACAAGUAAACUAGGAUUGAAUGGUGCACUAAUAAUAUGCAAGUUUUAAAACAAUGGUGCACUAAAAAACACUCUUUCAAGGCUCAAAUUUAUUCAAGAAAGGUUUGGGAAGGUUAAGUUCAUGAAACAAUGAAGAUUGAAGUCUUUUUAUAAAGGAAAAAAGUCAAACUAGCCGUUAGGGGGUUCGAUCAGUCGAGCUGGGGGUCCACUGGUUGACUAGCUGUUAGCAUUUACUACUUGGCAGGUGAUUGUUGGACCUUGAUCGCCCCUUGACCAGACCUCGACCAGUUGAGGUGGGGGUUGACUGGUUGAAUAACCAUUUUGAAAGAGAGAGAAAGUGUUUUUUUUUUUGCACCCCUUGACCGGUUAAGCUGGGGGUCGACGGCUUCCUUAUCCGAUUCAUCUGGUUGAGCCGUUUUUGGCUCAACAACCAACUUUUUCAACUUAAAAACCUUUUGAACAAGGUUGGAAAACAUUUGACACAAGGUUUUAGUUUAAAACAUGAAAUUAUCCAAUUUUAAAAUAUUUAAAACAAAAUAACUCUUGGAUGAUUUUGGUGCAUAAGUAAAGAAUGUAAUGCAUGAAAAUCCUAGUACACCAACAAUCUUACAAAAAGAUCUUAUGAAGCUUGGGUCUUGAAAAUCACUUCUCUUUGAGGUCUUCUUCUUCUUAAUGAUUUCUCUUUAGCUUGAUUUGUCUUUGUGAUUACCACUUUGGAAAACCUCUUGCCUAAUCACACUUAAAAUAUAAUCAUUAGUUCUAAACUUUGUUUUGUUAUCAUCAAAACUGAGAUUAACCAAACCUUGGUUUCAUAAUAAUGAUGAUAGAUAUUAAGUUAAUAAAAAAAAUAAAAUUUAAUAAAUGAAAUUAAAUUGUAGUUUAAUUAAAUUAGUGGUGUAUUCUUAGAAACAAAUUUGGGAAAAGAGUUUUAUAUAAGUGAGAAAUUUAUUAAUUUUACUUAAAUAAGGAAUAAAUUAAUUAAAUAAUGAAUGGUACUUAGAAAUAUUAAUAUUAAUACAUAAUUUUUUUUUUUGGAUUUUCAAAGUUAUAAUUUUAAAUAAAUAAUUAAUAGUGAUAGUUGUGUAUGAUAUUAUGAUAGAUGAGAAGUAUAUUCUUCAAGAUCUUAAGUGUUUCUUCAAUGUAAGGGAAAUGAAUGCAGAUUUUAUAAAAGAAAAUAAUUUUAUUUUUAUAUGUUAUUUUGAAAUGUGUAAAAUGUUGUUUUUGUUUAUAACAAAAAAAUAUGGAGAUCUUAUAUUUUUUUUGUAAGUUUGAAUAAAUGAAACAAAGUAUUUGACUCUGAUUUGUUUGACCCUAGUCAAUAAGAUAUAAUAAUUGACCUUUCGACCAUAGUCAAUGUGAUAUAAUAGUGGACUUUCUGAUGCUUGUCAAUGUGAUAUAAUAGUUUACCUUUAAAUUUCAUGGUGGGGAAUGUAAUUGAUUUGCACUCCAACCUUUAGGGGUUUGGUUAAAGAUUACUAAUACUAAUAGUGUUUGGUUCUGUCCACCUUAAAAGGAACAAAUUUGAGGCUAACCACCUAUUUGUAAAGUCCCACCUAACUCAACACCAUUUAUUAUUCAAUAAUCAUAGUAAAAAUAUUUUGAUUGUAUUUGAUUUGAAUUUGAUAUGAAAUUGUUUUAACAUAAAUAUGAAAAUGUUUGCUUGAAAAGUUAUGAAUGUACUAGAAUGUUUGAACUCAAAAGUUUUUAUGAAAAGGAUUAUACAUUAUAUCUCCUAUUUUCAAUUUUAAUUGAAAACGUUUAAUCCAUGAAAAAAUAUUAAUAUUCUUUAUUGGGCUUUGAGCUCAUUCCUCUUAGUUGACAAUUUUUCAAGUACCCUCAGUUCGGGUAAGGAGUGACUAUUAGCAUGUGAUUUUAGCAUUAUUAGGACUUUUGGUUUAAAUUUUAUUUUUUUUAGACAUUAUUUAUAAGUUAGAAUUUAAUGAUUGUUUAGAUUGUUAAGUUUGAAGUUGUUUGGACAAUAGCACUUUAGUUGAUGUGUUAAUUUUAAAAUUGAGAUUUGAAGAUUAUAAACUUUUAUUCUACUAUGAAUAGGAAUUUAGUAAUUGGUAACUUCCACUUAUAAAAUGAAUGUUUAUGUUAUUUCUAGUUUGAACCUUUGGGCUUUAGGUGUGAAAUGAUUGUCACACCCUUAGGGUGGGUCUUAGGGCGUGACACAGUGGUAUCAAAAAUAAGUUUAUGAUCUUAUUGGGAACUUAUUUUAGUUUACUUUAGGAAUAGAUGAAUAACACAUUAUUUUAAGUUUCAGCUUCAUCUAAUACAAAUUCCUAUUAUUCAUUAUAAUUAUAAAUUGCCUAAUUGGUUUCUUAGCGAGUAAUUCAACUAUACCCUAUUCUUUAUGAGACAAGAUGUCAUCAAGAAGACCAACAUCAAUCUUUUCAAAACAAUCAAGUUAAAAGUGAUGUACCUUCUCCACUUGAGGGUUUGCCUCCUAUGAAUGCAUAAAGGUUUUAUAGGUACCUUAGGACUUUGGCUAGUUUGGUUGAGUGUUAGGUUAGAGUUGUUGAGAACCAAGCUCAUGGUCAAUCCUCAUCUUCUAAGGAUAGCUCCUUUGAUGACUUUAAGAAGUUGGGUCCUCCUUACUUUUCUACUACUUUAGAUCCAGCGGAUACAGAGUCUUACAUUCUUAAGAUGGAGAAAUUGUUUAACAUCAUAGAUUGCUUUGAGGAGCAAAACGCCUCUUAUGCAACAUUUAUGUUAGACAAUGAGGCAGAUCAAUAAUGGCAUAUGACCAAAAAGGUUUUAGAGGAUUAGAGACUUAUAGUUUGAGGAUAAUUUAAGUAGACUUUCUAUAAGAAGUACUUCCUUGAUAGUGUUAGAUGAUAAAAGGUAGUAGAGUUCAUUCAUUUGGAAUAAGGGGGUAUCUGUGGCUCAAUAUGAGGCCAAAUUUAUAGAGUUGUCACAUUUUGCCUAAUAAGUGAUUGUUAUAGAGGAGAAAAAGACAUUCAAGACUUAGGAUGGAUUGAAUCCCUACUUGAAGAACAAGAUAUCUAUUCUAAAGCUUGGUGUCUAUUAAGAGGUUGUGGACAAAUCCCUUAUUGUAGAAAAGGAUAAUGAGAAGCUUCAUCAGUAUAGGGAACAACAAAGGAAGAGGAAUAAGAGUGAGGGUGCUUAUGGUAACCAAUCAAAGAAAAGGUCUACUUCAACUAGGAUUUAGAAUAAAGGGAAAGUAGUGCCAAAUUCAUAUGUGAUUUGUCUUACUUGUGGCAAGAAGCAUGGGGGUAGGUCAUACUAUAGAGAGACUAGAGCUUACUUUCGUUAUGGGAAGCAAGGACAUAUGAUUUAGGAUUGUCCAAAGAAUAAGGAGUUUAUAAUUAGGAAGCCUAAAGAGGAGAAUAAGGAGGAUAAACAGUCCAAUGCUAGGUGUUUACUAUGACUCAACAAGAUGCUAGUGCCAAUUCUGAUGUGGUGACAGGUACUAUUCGAAUUCACACUUUAUUUACUAGAGCCUUUGAUCUAGGCUUGACACACUCUUUUGUUUCAAUAUCUUUUGCUGGUUUGUUAGGUAUGCCUCUUGCUAGCAUGUACUUUGAUUUGAUAUGCUACUCUUAUGAGAUAUUCUAUUGUGGCUAGUAGAAUGCUUAGAGAUUGUUUGGUGAUGAUUGGUUAUAGGGAAAUGUCAGCUGACUUAGUACUCCUUGACCUUUUGGAUUUUCAUGUGAUUUUAGGGAUAGAUUGGUUAGCUUCCUACCACCCCCCUAUGGAUUGUUUUGGGAAAAGGGUGAUGUUUCACAUUCUUAGCCAAUCUAAGUUUAGUUUUGAGGGGAAACAUGUGGACUGCCCACUACGUAUUAUUUCAACCUUACAAGCUAGUUUCUUGGUUAGGUAAGAUUUUCAAGGCUUUUUGGAUUAUGUGGUGAGUAAUGAAAAUGAUUUAAAGUUGGAGGACAUACCCAUUGUAAGGGAUUACCUUGAUGUCUUUCUAGAUAAUUUGUUUGGCUUACCAUCAGAGAAGGGGGUGGAGUUCACCAUUGAUUUGGUAUUAGUAAUAACUCCUAUCUCUAAGAUUCCAUACAGGAUGGCACUUGUGGAGAUUAAGGAGUUGAAGGUUUAGCUUUAGAAGUUGUUAGAUAAGGGUUUAUUAUGCUGAGUGUUUCACCUGGGGCAUGGACUCACAUUUUUCAUGUGCAUCCUUAAUCGUCAAUAAGACUUGCUUUCUUAAGUGAAAAAUAGUAUUUUGUAAAAAAACUAAAGUCACCACUUAUUUUUAUUUUUUUUAAGGGAAAAUAAAAUAUGAAAAUAAAACCCUAAGAAAAAUGAAUUCUUCAAAAACUUUUGGAAAAAUUUAUCAUUUAAAAACCUGAGUCUAGGUUUGGGGAUCAAGUAACCUAUCGGGAAGGUACAUUAAAAAGGUAGCACCCCUCUAAACUUAAGAAGGUCUCUACUAACUAGGUUGAGAAAAGUGUGACAAUUAAUUGAUUGACUUAGGGUACCAAGAAAGGCUAAGUUGUUUACCUAAAUUCUAAUAACAUAUUGAGCAAACAAACAAUUAUUCUCAAUCUCAAACAUAAUGCAAAGUUAGCAAGCGUUCUUGAGGGGCUUCUUAAAGCCCUAUCAUAAGAUUAUGAGGUUAGAUCAAACAACAAGAUAUAUAAUAUGCAUCUCAUAAAUACAAAAUCAAGUAACAACCAAAGAAAUCAAGGAUAGUAUCAGACAUGGAUGAAGUUCACACAAAACAUGUAUGCUCAUAGAAUUAAAAGGUGAAAGGUCGAGAGCAUACCUGAACAACAUAUCUUAAACACAAUGCACUUCCAAUACAAAUAGAAAUGGUUGGGAUGAAAGAUAAUGAAAAGCAAUUAUGUGAAUAAAACCUAACAUGUAUGAUAUCUACUUGGCAAAAGCAUCAAUAUUCCUACAAGACAUGCGUACAACUUCUAGAUAUAUAAAAAAUGUAAGAAACAAGCAUUAUAACAAAGCAUAUAACCAACUAAUCAAAAUAUGGGCAUCACAAGUAUAAUUCUAAAUUAUUACUUACUCAUCAUUUGACCAAAAAACAAACAAAAGGCAACAUUCCUAUCCAUUCAUCAUGAAUUUUACACCACUAUCAAUUAGUAUGCAAAGAUUCAACAUAUGACUAGAAUUGAUUGUCUUUAGAAAUAAAUUCCAAAAAAAAAAAAAAGGAAAUUAAGAAUAUGAUUUUGACCAUGCCAAAGCACAAAUGACCACUCCUAGACAUCUAGAACAACAAACAAAAGUCCAAAUGCUCAUUCAAAUAUCAAAUUUAUUUUAAAAAAAAAUAAAAAUCAAUAGCUUCAGAAGGUCUAGAAUUGGGCAAAAAGUAAUGAUAUACAUAAACUGAAUUUAAAAAAGAAAAAUCUAAUGGCCUUAUAAAUUCAUACAGAAAAUCACACAUGUUCUUUAAGGGUCUAGAUUACAUUACAAAAAACAAAAAAAACAAAAAAGGCACCAAACUAAGGAGCAUCAGAAUAAUUUUUAAAACACUCAAAUUGAUCAAUUCUCCAUAAUCAAUCAUGUAAAGUACAAAUUUGAAAAAUCAUAUCUCUUUCUAGAAAACAUAUAUUUCAAUAUUUUGUGUCAAAUUCAAUUUCACAAAGUCAAGAAUUUAUGAAAAAUAUUCAUUUAAAUUAAAAAGGCCAAAAGACGGUUUAAAUUUACAAAAUUCUCUCAUAUAUAUAGUAUAAAACCAAAACAAAACAUGCUGAAAGAAAAUAUCAUAACUCAACUUUGAGAAAAGUCCUUUGAUUCAAAUAAAAUUCUAGAAUCAACUUUAAAAAGUGAGUAACAUCAUACAAAUUUUGUUUUUUUAACACUCUAAAAUAAUUAAAACAAAUUUUUUUUCUAAUGGGUAAUAGUUGAGUUGAAACUAGCAACAAAGAUGAGUUUUUAAAAAAAUCUUUCAUGUAGGGGUUUUAUCAAAUCCCCAUUCAAUAUCCUUAAGUUUAAUCCAUGUAUUCUCAACCUCAAAUAAAAAUAUUCACCAAAGCCAAGAAUAGUGCCAUUAGUUUGGGGGCACAAGUUCAAACCUAUGGGAAUAAAAACAAAGUUUUGGAAAACUAAAAAAAGAAUGCAACUUGGAUGAAAUUAAGUUGCAUAUUUUUUAAAAGGGAGUGAUAUAUUUGCCCUAAAAGCCUAGACUGAUUUUUUUUUUUUUUUUUUUUGAUGUCUUUAGAUGUUUAAAUUCUUUUGAAAAUGAUUUUAGGAGAAGCCAAAGGAACCAAGUGAAUUAAUAAAUCCCAAUUAAUAGGCACAAAGAGGAUUUUUAAGUUUUUAACUUGAAGGGAUUAAAAAAAACAUAAGAAAUGCUAACUUGGAUCACCUUUUGGCUACCUUUCAUUUGAGAUCAAGGAGUCAUGCUCAAGUGGAAACAACUCUAAUUCUAAUCCUAAAGCAACAAUCAACAAACAUAAAUAAAACAAUAACAUGUGGCAUUCAUAAUUGAUAGCAAACGAGUUAUUUUCACAAAGUAUCUUGACCAAUAGUUAGGGUUUGACAUAAUUGACAUCUAAAUGCUUUUAAGAGAAAUCCCAACUUAUGAUCAUUACAAUUAAAACAAGCCAAUCAAAAAAUCAAAUCAAUAUCCAAAAGAUUCUAAAGGCAUGAAUUAGGAAGAGAUGAAUAUAAGUUAACUUUAUUGAUUUUAAGGAUGUAAACCAACAAUCAAAUGGAUAAACCAACAAAAUGAGAAAAUAAAACAAGAGUUACCUGGUAGCCAAUAUAAAUCAAUCCUAGAGCCUUCAAGAGCUCCAACUAACAUUCAAAUUGAAGAACUAGCAAGAUGAGGUAUUAAAGAUAAAACAAGAAUUAUCAAAGGAUAAAAAACCUAACCCUAAAACUUUCAAGAACAUAAGUUAGUAACUAAAUCGAACGAAAUAACAAAACGAAACAAGAUAAGAAUUAUUAAAUUAUCAAAAAGCUAAUCUUAAAUCUUUCAAAAGCAUGAGUAAAAAAUUAAGUUAAAUGAAUUAAUUAAUAACACAAAAUAUUUAAAACAAGACAAGAAUUAUUAAAUUAUCAAGAAACUAAUCCUAAAUCUUUCAAGAGCAUGCAUCAACAGCUAAGUUAAAUGAAUUAAUAAAACAAAUUAUUUAAAACAAGACAAGAAUUAUUAAAUUAUCAAGAAGCUAAUCCUAAAUCUUUCAAGAACAUGAAUCAACAAUUAAGCUAAAUGAACUAAUAAGACAAAAUAAAUAAAACAAGACAAGAAUUAUUAAAUCAUCGAGAGACUAAUCCUAAAAGAAAACAUGUAAAACAAGACAAGAAUUAUUAAAUCAUCAAGAGACUAAUCCUCAAACAAAAUAUCUAAUAUCAACAUAACAUUUCUUCCUCAUUUUGUUAGGCUAAUGAAAAAUCAUUAGAAAAAAAAAAUUAGAUAUUUGAUUAAAAUGAUUAAAAUAGUCUCUAAUUCGAACAAGGCUCUUCCUUUUUGUUUUUUUUUUUAAAUAUAAAAAAUGAUAAUAUUUUUUUAAUAAAAAUAUCAUUCAUUUAUGUUAAAGAAAUUUUAUUUAUUUAUUUUAAAUAUUAAGAUAUUUUUAUUCAUUAAUAAUUUUUUUAAUAAAAAUAUUAUUCAUUUAUGUUAAAGCAUUUUUUUUUUAUAAAUAAUAAGAUUUUUUAUUCAUUUUCAAUUUUUAUUUAGAACUUUAAACCAAUAGAAGUUGGCUUUACAAAUUUUGGCCCAAAUAUCCCCAAGAACUUUAUUUGAAAGGUGUAGCAUAUUCGAACCCUUCGUCCAGGGAACAUGAAUCAUAAUUUCGUUGCUGGUUUUAUAUUAAAAUACAUGGGAUACAUCGAGAAACCCACUUUUGCCUCAAUUUUCAACCAAGACCAACCACAAUCAUAGAAAAACGACAAGGAAAAUAAAUUGAACCAGCAAAGCCCUGACGUCACUUCCUUUGUCCUCCAAUACUAUCCAGCCACAAGUAUAAGAGUGUCACACCACUGCAAAGCCCUCAAAACAUCCCAUUUUUCCUCUCUUUGCAGUAACUGCUAGUUAGUGAUGGAGCAAACUGAGCUGGUCUUCAUCCCAUUUCCUAUCAUCGGCCACCUUACGUCUGCACUGGAGAUUGCAAAGCUGAUUACUUAGCGAGACCCCCGAUUCUCAAUCACGAUCAUCAUCAUGAAGUUUCCGUUUGAGUCCAUUGAUGGUAUGGACACGGACUCUGAUUCCAUACGUUUCGUUACACUUCCUCCUGUAGAGGUCGGCUCCAGUACGACGCCGUCUGGUUUCUUCCUCUCUGAAUUUCUCAAAGCUCACAUACCAAUAGUCAGAGACGCCAUCCACGAGCUCACUCGCUCCAACUCGGUUCGUCUCGCUGGGUUCGUUAUUGAUAUGUUCUGCACCCACAUGAUUGAUGUGGCCGAUGUGUUUGGGGUGCCUUCCUAUCUCUUCUUCGCUUCCAGCGCUGCUUUUCUUGGCUUCCUGUUGCAUCUUCAGUUCCUCCAUGAUUAUGAGGGCUUGGAUUUCAAUGAGUUCAAGGACUCGGAUGCUGAGUUGGAGGUUCCGAGUUUUGCUAACUCAGUUCCGGGUAAGGCCUUCCCUUCUUUGAUGAUUGACAAGGAAAGCGGAGGGGCUGAGAUGCUUCUUUAUCACACGAGGAGAUUCAGACAAGUCAAGGGUAUUCUGGUAAAUACAUUUAUUGAGCUUGAAUCACAUGCUAUUCAAUCACUUUCCGGCAGUACAGUACCCGUGGUGUAUCCGGUUGGACCCAUACUCAACACCCAAAUGGGAUCUGGUGGGGGUCAACAAGAUGCUAGUGUCAUCAUGAGCUGGCUUGACGAUCAGCCUCCAUCGUCAGUUGUUUUCCUGUGCUUCGGGAGCAGGGGAACCUUUGGUGCGGAUCAGAUCAAGGAGAUAGCGUAUGGGCUAGAGCACAGUGGGCAUCGCUUCUUGUGGUCCCUUCGCCAACCUCCCCCAAAGGGUAAAAUGGAUUUUCCAAGCGACUAUGAAAGUAUUGAGGAAGUUCUACCAGAAGGAUUUUUACAUCGGACAGCUAGAAUUGGAAAGGUGAUUGGAUGGGCUCCACAAGCAGCGGUUUUAUCCCACUCAGCUGUUGGAGGAUUUGUAUCUCAUUGUGGAUGGAAUUCUUUGCUAGAAAGCGUAUGGUAUGGCGUUCCAGUAGCCACUUGGCCAAUAUAUGCAGAACAACAAAUCAACGCAUUUCAAAUGGUGAAAGAUUUGGGGUUGGCGAUAGAAAUUAAAAUAGAUUACAAUAAGGAUAGUGAUUAUGUUGUAAGUGCUCAUGAGAUUGAAAAUGGAUUAAGGAACCUAAUGAAUAUUGAUAGUGAAGUGAGGCAGAAGAGGAAAGAAAUGCAAAAAAUAAGUAGAAGAGUCAUGAUAGAUGGUGGGUCCUCGCACUUUUCUUUAGGCCAUUUUAUUGAAGACAUGGUGGCUAACAUUCCAUGCAAGCAACAAAGACGUGAUACCUAAUGUAUGAAUUAGUUUAUACUAAUAUGAAAUAAAAAGGUGCAUUGUAGGCUCUAAUAAAUUAAUUUAUCAUCUCCUUUAUUUGAAUGCUCAAAUAUUUCUUUGAUGAUGUCAAGAAAUUUGACCUUUCAAACUAGGAAAUGUGUUCUUUCUUUAUUAUUUAGUGAAACAAGUUUACAAGGGCAUGAAUUUAGUUAUAUGUGGAUCUCAUUGAUCAAUGAAUACACAAUUGAGCAUUUUCCUGUAGGAAGCUGGACUAGUGAUAAAAUCAACUAUAUAACUAAAAAUCCACAAACCCUAUUGAAUUUGGUUUGAUGGGGAUGAAUAGAUAUAAGAAUUUUUAUAAGAAUUUGUUCAAUUGGAUCACUAUUAAUUUGAUGCUUGCCUUCAGAUUAGAGACAACUAUCCACUUGAGAAAUUUAAUUAAUUUCUGGGCAGUGUUUAUCUUCUUUUCUACAAGCAUGAUGCUCGAAGAGCAAAUUAAUGUUCUCAAACUAUUUGGUGUGUUGGUAUGGAUUUAAGAAACUAACGUCUCAUCAAUGCAUAUCAAGGCAUCUACGCAUGUGAGAGAUCAAUAGAUUCAAAAUGAUUCUAAUUGGAGCAUUUUUGAAUUAAGAGGUAUUACCUUGAGUCUUGUGAGAAAGAAAAUAAGUAGAUGAAGAAGGUAAUUGCUAUUAUGGAGAUGAGGAUUUAGAAUUAUAAGUUCUUUAGAUUUGAUUAUGGAGAGAGUUGGCAGAAUAUAAUUUUUUUUUAAUAAGAAAAUUACUAAGAGAUGUGAAAAAAGUCUUUAAAAAAAUGAUAAUAAUAAUUUAAACACGAAAAUGAUUAUGUAUAUAGUAUUGAAUUAUCAAUUUGUCCUUUCCUUUCUUUUAAUGAAAAAUAAAUACAUAUGAAAAUUGAUAAUUGAAGUUGUUAUUCAAUCAUCUAAAGAUUAGCUUAGAUGGAAUAUAUUGUAAUGAUCUACUCCUAAUCGUGUAAAUAUUGUUUACUUUGAGUCCAACCUGUCAUAUCCCAUAAGAUUAGGGUGGUCAAACAAAUUUUCACACUGGGGGAUCAAGGAUCAACUUUGAUACUAUUUGUAAUGGCUCACUCCCAAUAGUAUAGAUAUUAUCUUCCCAAUUGUAAAUAUUGUUCAUUCUAAACCCAAAAAUCUUUCAUAGCUUUAAAACGUGUGUAUAAAAUUAAAAAGAGCUUAUACAUAUAUGAUGUUAGGAUUUUUUUUCCUCAUUUGAUGAAAGAUACCACAUGUAUUCCCUCAAAAUACUGAUUCCAAUUAGAUGUGAAGAGGAACCAUUUAGUAUUAGAAAGAAAAGAAAUACAUAGAUGGUAAUAUGUAUUAUUUCUAUUCCUUAGUCUUGUUGCAAGGACACUCAUUGCUAUAUAAUAUAUAUAUAUAUUUUUAAAGAACUUUGAAAAUUAAUUUUUUUAUAUACAAAAUUAACUUAUAAUUAAAAUAAAAUCAUUUAUAAUACAAAUAUUGGAUUGAUAAAUAAUUAUAUAAGUAAUUAUCUUAAUUUAGCUCAAUUUUAAGUCUUAAAAUUUCACUUAAAUCUUACAUGGAUAAAUAGAAAUAAUAACUUCUAUACAAAAAAUAAAAAAUUUUAUAGAAAAAAUUGAAAGCUUAUCUUAUUUUCUUUCUAUAACUAAAAUUCGAGUGAACAAAAAAUUGUUAACUUCAAAUUUUUAAGCUAUUUUAAGAUAAAUCUCUAUUAUUUACCUAAGAACUCAUACUAUCUUUAAUUUUCAAAAAUAAAAAUAUAUCCAAAUGUGCACUUAAAUUUUGUAGAAAAUGAACCUUGAGCAAACUCUCCUAAUCACAUUAUUUUAUCAUUUACCCAAAGAUUUAUGCUUAUCAAAAAUCAAUCAACCACAUUGAGAAUUGAUAAUUUUAGGUAACUAGUAACAUGUGCAAUCAGAAGAAAGUCAAUGAAGAGUACAUAUAUUCACAUCUCUUCUUUUUUGAAUUCCUCAAAAGACAUCAUCCAUGAGCUCAUUAAUCACACCCAUAAAACAAUGAACAAGAAGAGACCAAGAAAAGAUCAUAUUGUAGGCACAUCGCCAAAAGGUUUGUUGAAAUAACUUAUACCUUCACCCUCUGAGCUCUAGAAUAGUGUCGAAAAGAACAACCUAAUCUUUCUUUCCUUUGUCUGAACUACUUUUUACCAAGAUCCCAAAGCCUUAGAUGCUAUUUAUAUUUGGACUUAGAGAAUACUUAAAAAUAAAUAGCCCAACUAUGGGCUUAGAGAACUUUUCAAGGGUUGGAUAAACAUAGCUCAACAAAAUUAGCUUAAAAUAACCUUUAAAAUUACCCAUUCAAGAUCUAUCAAAUCAAAAGAAAAAUAAAAUAAAACUUUUGGAAACCUUUUCUAUGCAAAAAUUUCAAAAAAAAAAUUUAUAUAAAAAAUUGAAAACUUAUCUUAUAUGCUUUCUAUAACUGAAAUUUUGAGUGAACAAAAAACUAUAAAAUUCAAAAUUUUCAUCUAUUUUUCAUAACAUUUAUUUUUAAGAUAAAUCUCUAUUAUUUAUAUAACAACUUAUACUAUCUUUUAUUUUCAAAAAUAAAAAAUUUAUUCAAAGUCCACUUAAAUUUUGUUGAUAAUGAACCUUGAGCAAACUCUCAUGGUCACAUUAUUUAAUCAUUUACCUAAAGAUUUAUGCUUAAAGAAAAUCAAUCAACCACAUUCAGAAUUGAUAAUUCUAAGUAGUUAGUAACACAUGGAGUCACAAUUCCAUACAACAAAUACAUAUAUAUAGAAAAAUUUGAAAUCUUAUCUUAUAUGCUCUUUAUAACUAAAAUUUCGAGUGAACCAAAAACUUUUAAAUUCAAAAUUUUAAGCUAUUUAAAAGUUGUUUAUGUUUAAGAUAAAUCUCUAUUAUUCAUAUAAGAACUCAUACUAUCUUUUUAUUUUCAAAAAUAAAAAAUGUUUUGAAAGUCCACUUAAAUUUUGUAGAAAAUGAACCUUGAACAAACUCUCUCAAUCAAAUAAUUUUAUCAUUUACCUAAAGAUUUAUACUUAUAAAAAACCAAUUAACCGCAUCGAGAAAUGAUAAUUCUGGAUAGCUAGUAACACAUGGAAUCACAAGAAAGAUGAUGAAGAUUAUGUAUAUUAAUUCUGGUCUCUUCUUUUCUGAAUUCCUCACAAAUCACAUCAAUUGGUCUUUGAUGUUGUCUAUGAGCUCACUUGUCACACCCACAAAACAAUAAAUAGGAAGAGAUCAAGAAGAUCAUACCACAAGGGCUUCCCUAAAAGAUUGAUGAAAGAACUUAUACCUUCACCCUUUGAGCUCCAAAACAAUGCCCAAAAACCAACCUAAUCUUUUUUUUUUUUUCCCUUUUUCUGAACUAUUUCAUCAAGAUCUAAAUGCCCUAGAUGUUAUUUAUAUUUGAACAUAGAGAAUACCUAAAAUAAUCAAUCCAACGCAUGGGCGGGAUAAACUUAGCUCAAUAAAUUUGGCUUAAUAUUAACCCUUAAAGUUACCCAUUCAUGGUCUAUUAAUGAAUAUAAAUAAAAAUUUUUGAAAACCUUUUCAAUACAAAAAAUAAAAGAUUUGAUAACAAAAAUUGAAAACUCACCUUAUAUGCUUUCUAUAACUGAAAUUUCGAGUGAACAAAAAACUAUUAACUUCAACUUUUUCAGCUAUUUUUAAAAUUAUUUAUUUUUAAUAUAAAUCUCUAUUAUUUAUAUAAACACUCGUACUAUCUUUUAUUUUCAAAAAUAAAAAAUAUACUCAAAGUCCAAUUAAAUUUUGUAGAAAAUGAAUCUUGAGCAAACUCUCUCGACCACGUUAUUUUAUUAUUUACCUAAACAAUGCUUAUCGAAAAUCAAUCAACCAUGUUGAGAAUUGAUAAUUUUGGGUAACUAGUAACACAUGGAAUCACAAGAAAGUUGAUGAAGUUGUUUUCCUCUCUAAAUUCCUAAAAGCUCACAUGCCACUCAUCCUUGAUGUUGUCAGCUCACUCAUCACACCCAUAAAACAAUAAACAAGAAGAGAUAAGGAAGAUCAUACCGCAACGACUUUCACAAAAGGUUGAUGAAAUAACUUAUACCUUCACCCUUUGAGCUCUAGAAUAGUGUCAAAAAAACAACCUAAUCUUUCUUUCCUUUUUCUAAACUACAUUUUACCAAGAUCCAAAAGCCCUAAAUUUUAUUUAUAUUUGGACAAAGAGAAUACCUAAAAUAAAUAGCCUAAUGCAUGGGCUUAGAAAUAAACUAAGCUCAACAAAUUUAGCAUAUAAUAUUAACCUUAAAAUUACCCAUUCAAGGUUUAUUAAAUCAAAAUCAAAAUAAUUUUUCAAAAACCUUUUCUAUACAAAAAAUGAAAAAUUUGAUAGAAAAUUUUCAAAGCCUAUGUUAUAUGCUUUCUAUAACUAAAGUUUCAUGUGAACAAAAAAUUGCUAACUUCAAAAUUUUAAGCUAUUUUAAAAAUUAUUUAAUUUUAAAAUAAAUCACUAUUAUUUCUAUAAGAACACAUAUUAUCUUUUAUUUUCAAAAAUGAAAAAUGUAAAGUCCACUUAAAUUUUGUAGAAAAUGAACCUUGAGCAAACUUUCCUGGUGACAUUAUUUUAUCAUUUACUUACAAAUUUAUGUUUACCAAAAAUCAAUCAACGAACUGAGAAUUGAUAAUUCUAGGUAGCUAGCAAAAUAUAGAAUCACAAGACAACUGAUGAAGAGUAUGUAUAUUCUGGUCUCUACCUCUCUGAAUUCCUCAAAGCACACAUAUCACUUAUCAAAGAUGUAAUCCAUGAACACGCUCGUCACACCCAUAAAACAAUCAAUAAGAAGAGAUCAUACUAUAAGGGUUUCCCCAAAAGAUUGGUGAAAGAACUUAUACCUUAACCCAUGUAGCUCUAAAGCAAUGCCUAGAAAACAACCUAAUUUUUCUUUCUUUUUUUUGCACCCAUUUUCACCAAGAUCCCAAAGGCCUAGGUGUUAUUUAUAUUUAGACUUACAGAAUUCCUAAAACAAAUUAAUAGGCAAAUGCAUGGGAGGAGAAAACUUUUCAUGGGCAGGAUAAACUUAGCUCAACAAAUUAAGCUUAAUAUUAAACCUUAAAAUUACCAUUCAACAUGUAUUACAUAAAAAUAAAAUAAAAUUUUUCGAAAACCAUUUGUAUACAAAAAAUAAGAAAAUUUAGAGAAAAGAUUGAAAACUUAUAUUAUAUGCUCUUUAUAACUAAAAUUUCAAGUGAACUAAAAAAUGUCAACUUCAAAUUUUUAAGCUAUUUUUAAAAUUAGUUAUUUUUAAGGCAAAUCUCUAUUAUUUAUAUAAGGACUAAUACUAUCUUUUAUUUUUAAAAAUAAAAUAUGUAUUUAGAGUUCAUUAAAAUUUUGUAGAAAAUGAAUCUUCAGGGAAACUCUCCUGGUCACAUUAUUUUAUCAUUUUCCUAAAGAUUUAAGCUUAUUGAAAAUCAAUUAACCACACUGAGAAUUAAUAAUUCUGGGUAGCUAGUAACACAUGGAAUCACAAGAAAGCUAAUGGAGACUAUGUAUAUUCUGGUAUCUUACUUUUUGAAUUCCUCAAAUCUCGCACACUAAUCAUCAAAGAUGGCGUCCAUGAGUUCACUCGUCAGGCCCCAUGAAACAAUGAACAAGAAGAGAUUAGGUAGAUCAUACCGUAGGGGCUUCCCCUAAAUGUUGAUGAAAGAACUCAUACCUUCACCCUUUGUGCUCUGGAACAAUGCCCAGAAAACAAUGUAAUUUUUCUUUUCUUUUCCUGAAACACUUUUAACAAAGAUCCAAAAGCCCUAGAUGCUAUUUAUAUUUGGACAUAGAGAAUAACUAAAAGAAAUAGUCCAAUGCAUAGGCUUAGAAAACUUAAAUAGUUAUCAAAGAGUUGUUAACACAUUAUCUAUAAUACAAAUGUCAACCACAACACUUAAAUAGUUACUCAAAAUAUAACAUGUCAAUAUUUGAGUAUUCAUGAAGAGUUUUUCAUACUAAUAAAUAUAAAAUUCAUGUCUUUAUUCAUUUUGAAAAUUGGGAUAUGGUGAUUCAAAUUGAGCAUUUGAAAAACCAAAGUUCUCCAAAUCAACCACUUCUAGAGUCAUGUCACCACCAUCCUCGUCAUCUACAAAAAUAUUAAAUAUAUAUUAACAAGAGAUCAUUUUUAAAGAAAAAAAUAGUAAUUGUUGAACUUUUAUAAGUUUACAUAUUCUACUAAUCAAUGAGAGCUUGCAGCUGAACUUGAACCUUCUACUUCAUUUAUUGGAAUUAAUCAUUCUUCAUAUAGAAGAUUUUCUAAUUCUUCCACAUCUAGCUCUCUUGGCUCAUCCUCAUCAACUAAACAAAAAUCAGUUUCAUCAAUACAUAAUCAAUGGGAUCAUAGGUCAUUUUCUUGUUGUACAACCUAAAAAAGAAAAACAUAUAAUUAUUCAUAAUUGUCAAUGAAAAAUUUUAAAUUCAAAACAACUAAGAAAGUAUUUACAUUGAAUUUGUAGCCACAAAUUGUAAUGAACGUAUACAAGAUCAUUAAGUCUUUCAUUUUUCAAUCUAUUCCUUUUUUUGGUAUAUGUGUAUAUGUUCAAACACACUCCAAGUCCUCUCACAUCCAAAAGAAGAUGAAGUUUGACUCAAUAUUUGAAUGACCAACUUUUGAAAAUAUGGUGCAUUAUAUCCAUGUAGCCUCUAUUAUUCAUCUAGUUACUAUUUUCACAUUAAAAUAAGGGAAAAAAAAAAACAACUUCAAUUCAUUCAUCGUUUCAUGCUUUCCUUUCAUAACUUUUUGAUUAAUAACAUCUAUGACAUCUCCAAUAACUUCUUGCUUAUUACAAUUUUUUUUUUUUUAUCAUAUUGGAAACAUGGAUUCAACCAAUAAGCUACUGAAUGAAUGCUUUUCUUUGGUUGUUCAUCCUAACGUUCCUUUAUGAUCUGUGUAUAAGGCUUGUAUAGUCUUUUAUUGUGUUUAAAUAAUUUCUUGAUACCCAAACGAGCAUUAUAAAUGCCUUUAUACACAUAUCCCAUCGAAGGCCUCUCAUCACAAUCAACAAUAUGUAAUAAGAGCACACGUGGAGCAAUGAGAUUCAUAACUAUCAAACAAUCAUUUCAAAAUCUAUUAUCCAAGAUGAUAGAAACUACAACUCUGCUUUUAUUAUCCAUUAAAUAUUUAGAGUCCACAAAAAACUUGCUAGUCACCAAAGCUUGCAAGUCAUGUUUAUGAUCAUGAAGACUCUUUACUGCAAUGAAUGCAGUAGCAAAGUGAGUUGCACUAGGUUGAAGAAUCUCUAUCCAUCCUUCUCUUUUUCUCAACCAACUUAACAAAGCAACAUGAUUACACACAAAAAUUGUCACCUUUGAUGCAUGUCUUACAAGUUCAGCAACAUAGUCCAUCUUACUAAUAUCCUUAAAGAUCAAAUUAAGACAAUAAGUUGUACAAGGUGACCAAUUGAUUUGUUUAUACUUCUAAGAAAUCAAUCUCCUUAAGACCACAUAAUUUGUUGCAUUAUCAGUCACUACAUGAACUACAUUGAGUGAACCAACCCAUUCAAUCCCUCAUCAAAUAGCAUAAACAAAGUAGUUGCAUCAUUCACAAUAUUCGAAGCAUCAACAGAUUUCACAAACGAUAUUCCUUGAGGACAGUAAACAAUGUUCAUUGUUUGUUAUCUGUCCAACAUCACCCAUUAUUAUACACCCAAUUUUUACCCAAAUUUUACAAUAAGAAUUCACAAGUAACUGAACUUCCUUCUUGGCAUCCUUUAAAUUAUUAAACCAUAGUUGAAGGUAAGUUGAACCCUUAUAUCCAAGACAAAUUACGAAUAUAGCAUCCAACAUUGGCGUGAAGUAGAAGGAAUUCACAACAUUAAUAAGAACGCAUGCAUCAUAAAAGAAUCUCUCAACAACCAUAUCUACUCUCCAAAUAGCUUAUUUCCUAGCUAAUACACUCCUAAUGGAAGGUUGAGCUCCUUAAGUAGUUCUUGGUGCAAAAUACUUAUCCAUUGUUGAUUUUUUUCUUUUUCCACUAUAGUUGCCAUAGGAUUUUACAUAUCUUGAACCUCUUCUCCACAUUUUGGCAUAUCCCCUUCAAAUUGUGACACCUUAAGACCAUAAUUCAUAUGUUUCUUGGAUUUCACAAACUCCUACAAAGAAUUUUCCAUUUGAAAUCUACAUUAGGAGGAAUUGAUUUACAUGGACCAAUAUAUUGUUUCACUCCAACAAGGUGUUGUUUCCGUUUUAUGAAUUCCCCUACCUUUUGCAACUUUUUUACAAUAUAAACAAACAAGAACUUUCCUUCCAUUUGUAUUUUUUUCUUUAGAAACAUGCUCCUAUGUAGGGUUGGUGUUGUCUCUACUUGUUUGUGAAUUUGUAUUUGAAUCUUGACCAGAGGAUGGGGUCAAGUUUGAUUCCAUUUUGAUUUUUCUAUAAAAUUGUAAACAAAAACAACAAUUUUAAUCACCAUUCAAUGCAUUCAUCAAUAAAAAAAUAUGACUUCAAUCAAGUCAUCCACAAUUUAAAAAAAAAUAAAAGAAUUAAAGAAUUUAUUAUAGAAAAUUCUUUCAAAAUCAGAAAUUUACUUUCAAAUAAAAAAUUUAUUUAAAAUAUAAAAAUAAUAUUUUUAUUUAAAAAUUAGAAAAUUUAAAUUUAUUUAAAAUUAUCUAAAAAACGCAACAUAAUGUUUGAUUCAUUGAUUAUUUCCAAAAAAAUUAUUUUAAUUUCUAAUGUUUUUAAUUAUUUUAAUAAUUUAUUUAAACUCAAAUAAGAUAUUUUAAAAAUCAAUAUAAAAUUUAAAAAAAUAAAAUGAAAAUAAAGUAAAGAAAUAAAUAAAUCUAAACAAAUGAUUCAAUUAUUCAAAUGAAAUUUCAAUGAAUAUUGAUAUUGUAAUUUAAUAAAUCAAUAUGCAAUAAAAUUAUAAAAUAUUAAAUAUUAAAUAAAUUAAAUAAAUUGCAAGAUUCCAAAGUUUAAACUCAUAAUGGGAGAUUUGGAAUCCAGUGCGGUCGUCGGCAUGUGGAGGCGAUGGCUUCUCCAAUGUGGUGCAACUAUUGGAGACGUGCGUGCUAGUAAGGAGGGAAGGUAAAAAAAUGGCUUAUAUACAGAGCAAAACGACGUUGUUUCGAUGCCAAAUGCAUCAAAACAACGCUAUUUUGAUGGCAAAAAAAUAAAAAAGGUAUGAACCAUUUAGUUUGGGGGAAACCAGCUGAUUCACCAAUAAGAUCGCUAAUUUCGACGGUUGGAGGCUAGUCCAACCCUUCGACGGUUUAAAUCACCAAAGCAAACCGAAAAAUUGACUGAUCGAAAGUCAAACCAAUUGGAUCGACCGGUCUGAUCCGAUUUCUAAAAUCAUGUUCAUACCUUUAAAAUUUGUUUAGAAAAUUAAGAGAAACUCAUACAUAUAUAGUGUUUGAAACAUUUUUUCCAAUUUGAUGUGGAAUAAAUAUCACAUAUAUUCCCUCAAAAUGUUGAUUCCAAGUAGAUGGGCAAAUGAACAAUUUAGUAUUAAAAAGAAAAAAAAAUACAUGGAUGGUAAUGUGUAUUAAUUCAUUUUUGACUCUUGUUAUAACACCCCACAUUUAUUGUUAGGGCAAAACUGUAAAUUAGAAUAAAAUAUAAAUAAAUAAAUUUAAUAAGGGUAUAAAGACCUUUUUUGCAUUAAAAGUCCUAGUUAUAAAUUAGAUUUUCUUUGUCUUUUUCAUUCAGAAAACCCUAUUAUACAUGGAUGGAAAUUCAAAAAUCAACAAAUCUCAACUUUUAAACCAACAUAUCAACAAUAGAAUUUUUUUGUCCAAGCAAUUUCAAACUUAAAACAAUAGCUAACAGUAAUCAAAUUCUAACAUUUAACAAAGUACCAAAAAGAGAGUUUAAACAAAUGUCUUAAUAAGGCCAAAUUUAUCAUCCUAACUGUCACUCCUCGCCUGAAUUGAGAGUACUUGAAAUAUUAUCAACAAAGGGGAAUGAGCUCAAAACCCAAUAAAGAACAUUAAUGUACAAUUUCAUGGAUCAAAUAGUUUCAAUCAUGCUUACAAAUAGGAGAUAUUAAGUUCAAAUAUUCUAAUACAUUUUCAUCUGUUCAACCAAACAUUUUCAUAUAUAUCAAAACCAUUUCACAUCAAAUCCAAAUCAAACACAUUUAAAAUAUUUUCACUCUUAUUAUCAUAUAACAAAUGGUGCAUAAUUGGGUGAGAUUUUACAAAUGAGUUACUAGUUUCAAAUUAGUUCUAUUUAAGGUGAACAAAACCAAAUGUCAACAAUUACAACCCAUUGCCUAGGGUCGUAUAAUAUCAAUUAUUAUAACCCAUUGACUAGGGUUGAAAAUGUCAACAAUUAUAACUCGUUGACUAGAGUUAUUAAAACUAGAGUCAAACACUUCAUUUCAUUAAUUCAAACUUACAAAACAAAAUCUCAUAUUUCUACAAUUUUUAUCUUUCAUAAACAAAGAAAAUGCUCAAACAUAUUUUUCAUACAAAACAUAUAUUUGAUCCAUGUAUAAAAAUAAAAAUAAAAAUUUUCAUAAAUCAAAAUAAAAUUUAAAAAAAAAUACUUUCUUUUACAAAAUCUAUAUUAAUUUCCCUUACCUCAUAGAAGCACUAAAAAACCUUGAAGUAUUUAAUCCUAAAGAGUUUUGCCCCAAAAAACCUAUUUCAAACUUAACAAAAAAAGACAUAACUAUUACUAUUAACUAUUUAUCUAAAUUUAAGGGCUUGAGAAUCCUAAUAAUUUUAUAUGUUAUGUCAUCUAUAUUAUUUUUAACUUCUUAAUCAAUAACAAUUUAAUACAUAAGUUUCUAAAUUCUUAUAGAAGUUUGAUUCUUUCCAAAAUUUAUUCCUAAGAUUCUAUUAAUUUAUUAUUAUUUUUUUAAAAUUAAAUUUCUCAAAAAUAUAUUUUUUCUAUUUAUUACAUUAAACUAUUAUUAUUAUUAUUACUAAUAUUUCAUUUAUUAGCUUAAAAUUAAAUAUUAUUAGUUUUAUUAAUUUUCAGAUUCAUUACAUAACCAACGCAUUACCCUCUAUAUUCAGUGCAUACACAAAACCCAAAAUAAAAACAAGUUUUCUUCCUACUGUCAUCAUUAUCAUUUAUUAUUAUAAUACUUUUUAUUUUCAACAUCUAACUUCCUUUCCGGUGCACACGCUUUUUCUUUCUCUUUUGUUUUUUUUCUUCUCAAGCCUACACUACACUGCCACUCCACGUCCCCUCAUGUCUUCUAUUUAUUUAUUUAUUAUUAUUAUUAUAAUCCAUUUGUUUUCCUUUUCAAAAACAAUCUCGUGGUCAAUGAUUCAUUUUUCUUUCUUAUAUUUUUUUUUUUCCUCAAUCUAAAGCCGACAUAACUGAACUAUUUUAUUUAUUUAGUUAUUUAUUUCGUUUAAACCUAUAAUUUAUUUUCUUCUAUUUGUAUUUAUUUAUUUUAUCUAUGCAGUUGAAUAUUCAAAAUUUUCUUAUCUUCAUUAAUAAAUUAAUCUAUAUUGAUAAAUUUUUAAUAUUUUAAUCUAAAAAAAAUUAAAUAAACAAAUUAUAAUUUAGAUUGAAAUCUUUUAAAGAAUUUUUAAACGAAUCAAAACUAAUUAAUGAAUUUAAAAUAAUAAUCUAAAUAUUAAAAUUUUAUUUAAAAAAUUUGGAACUUUUAAAUCUUUAUCUCUAGGUUUUUCAAUUCUUAAGAUAAAAGAGUUUUACUCAAGAGAAAAAAUAAAGAAAAUCUAAUUUAUAGGUAAAAUUUUUAAUAAGGAAAAGAUUUUUUUAUCAUUAUUAAAUUAAUUAUUUUUUAAUUAUGAUUUUAGCCUUGGAUUUGGUGCAUUACAGAAAAUUUUUAAAAGGGUAAGAAAUUUUUAUUCAUUAAAUUUUUUUUAAAAAAACUUCAAACCUUGACUUUACAAAUUUUGGCCCAUAAAUCGAAGAACUUUAUGUGGAAGGUGUAGCUAUCCGAACCCUUCCUCGAGGGAACGUGAAUCAUGUCCUGCACCCACAUGAUUGAUGUGACCGAUGAGUUUGGGGUGCCUUCCUAUCUCUUCUUCCCUCCCAGUGCUGCUUUUCUUGGCUUCCUGUUGCAUCUGGCAGUUCCUCCAUGAUUAUGAGGGCUUGGAUAUUAAUGAGUUCAAGGACUCGGAUGCUGAGUUGGAGGUUCCAAGUUUUGCUAACUCAGUUCCGGGUAAGGCCUUUCCUUCUUUGAUGAUUGACAAGGAAAGUGGAGGGGCCGAGAUGCUUCUUCAUCACACGAGGAGAUUCAGACACGUCAAGGGUAUUCUGGUAAAUACAUUUAUUGAGCUUGAAUCACAUGCUAUUCAAUCACUUUCUGGCAGUACAGUACCCGUAGUGUAUCCGGUUGGACCCAUACUCAACACCCGAAGGGGAUCUGAUGGGGGUCAACAAGAUGCUAGUGCCAUCAUGAGCUGGCUUGAUGAUCAGCCUCCAUCAUCCGUGGUUUUCCUGUGCUUCGGGAGCAUGGGAAGCUUUGGUGCGGAUCAAAUCAAGGAGAUAUCACAUGCGUUAGAGCACAGUCGGCAUCGCUUCUUGUGGUCCCUUCGCCAACCUCCCCCAAAGGGUAAAGUGAUUACAAGCGACUAUGAAAAUAUUGAGCAAGUUCUACCAGAAGGAUUUUUACAUCGGACGGCUAGAAUUGGAAAGGUGAUUGGAUGGGCUCCACAAAUAGCGGUUUUAGCCCACUCAGCUGUUGAAGGAUUUGUAUCUCAUUGUGGAUGGAAUUCUUUACUAGAAAGCAUAUGGUAUCGUGUUCCAGUAGCCACAUGGCCAAUAUAUGCAGAAUAACAAAUCAACGCAUUUCAAAUGGUGAAAGAUUUGGGGUUGACGGUAAAAAUUAAAAUUGAUUACAAUAAGGAUCAUGAUCAUAUUGUAAGUGCUCAUUGUAGGGACCCCUCCCCUUGGGAAACACGUGGCACGCGGCUCAUGGUGACGCGUGGCACGUACUAUCGGCCGGACCAUCAUCAUCCGGAUUCCCCUACAGAUAUGUAUGGUGCGGCUAUCCUAUCCGGAACCCCAAAGGAAAGACAAACAACGUUUCAGCUUCUCCUAUCCAAGGAAGAGCAAACGACGCUGGCAGAGCGUAGACACCCGGAUAGUCUCCACAAACACAUCCGGAUAUUCAGCAUGAUCCAUCCGGAUAUAAAUCGUCUGGAUGAUCAAUUAAAGUAAAGCGAGUCUUACACGCAAUCACAACAAGCAGCCAUGGCCCACAUCCCAUCACCUGCAGAAUGAGAAGACAAGAGGAAGUGACAGCAAGUCACUUCCCACGAUCAUUCUACAUAAUCGCUUCCCACGAUCUCUGACAGCCGCAUCAUCUACCAUGGUCUCUGACAGCCAUUCGUAGGAUGAUAGUGCUCCUACUAACACCUAUUGUCAUCAUCACAACAGAAAAUAUCUCCCCACCAUUAAUGAGAGGAACAGUACCCCUGAAGCUGUAUAUAUAUGACUUCACACGAAGAAGAAAGGGAUGAUCUCCUAGUAACCUCUUGAUACCUAGUAAAAGGCCAACUGCCUCAUAUAUCUUAUUCUCUUACUAUGGCUAACAACAUCAUCGGAGGGUGCAUCCGGACACCCUGUCCGGAUGCCUUUUUGCAGGUACAACCACUGAAUCAAGAACCCCUUGUGUGUUGAGAAUCGCGUGUCCAUCCAUCUAGCAGCAACGCGGCCCACCUGAUACGCGAGGUGACAACACUCAUGAGAUUGAAAAUGGAUUAAGGAACCUAAUGAAUACCAACAGUGAAGUGAGGCUGAGGCAAAAGAAGAAAGAAAUGCAAAAAAUAAGUAGAAGAGUCAUGAUAGAUGGUGGGUCCUCGCACUUUUCUUUAGGCCAUUUUAUUGAAGACAUGGUGGCCAACAUUUCAUACAAGCAACAAAGUCGUGAUACCUAUUGUAUGAAUUAUUUUGUACUAGUAUGAAAGGAAAAGGUGCAUUGUAGGCUCUAAUAAAUUAAUUUAUCAUAUGCUUUAUUUUAAUGCUCAAAUAAUUUCUUUGAUAAAGUCAAGAAAUUUGACCUUUCAAACUAGGAAAUGUGUUAUCUCUUUAUUAUUUAGUAAAACAAGUUUACAAGUGAAUGAAUUUAGUAAUAUGUCGAUCUCAUUGAUCAAUGAAUACACAAUUGAACAUUUUCCGGUACUAGUAAUAAAAUUAACUAUAUAAUUACAAAUCAACAAACCCUAUUGGUUUGAGACAAUCUUCAUAAGUGUUUUUUCUAAAUAUUUUUUAUAUUCUUAUGUGAUUGAAUAUAUUUUGGAUUAUGACUUAUAUAAUUUCUCACAUUCUAAUCAAAAGCAAUAAUUAAAUCUCAAUAAUCAACCUAUAUGAUAACGGAAUCAGUUUAAAUAGGUUUAAAAGUUACUAAUUUAAUAUAUCCUAUUUAUGUACAAAAAAAUUGUGAGUAUUGUCCCGAAAUAUGUUUCUAAUAUCAACAUAACAUUUCUUCCUCAUUUUGUUUGGCUAAUGAAAAGCCAUUAGAAAAAAAAUAUAUAGAUAUUUGAUUAAAAUGAUUAAAAUAGUCUCUAAUUCGAACAAUGCUCUUUUUUUUAAAAAAAAAUAUCGAAAAUGAUAAUAUUUUUUUAAUAAAAAUAUCAUUCAUUUAUGUUAAAGCAAUUUGAAAAAAAGAUAUUUUUAUUCACUUAUAUUUUUUAUUAAUAAAAAUAUCAUUCAUUUAUGUCAAAGCAUUUUAUUUAUUUAUAAGUAUUAAGAUAUUUUUAUUCAUUUAUAAUUUUUAUUUAGAACUUUAAACCAAUAGAAGAUGGCUUUACAAAUUUUGGCCCAAAGAUCCCCAAGAACUUUAUUUGAAAGGUGUAGCAUAUUCGAACCCUUCGUCCAGGGAACAUGAAUCAUAAUUUCGUUGCUGGUUUUAUAUUAAAAUACAUGGGAUACAUCGAGAACCACCCACUUUUGCCUCAAUCUUCAACCAAGACCAACCACAAUCAUACAAAAACGAUAAGGAAAAUAAAUUGAACCAGCAAAGCCCUGACAUCACUUCCUUUGUCCUCCAAUACUAUCCAGCCACAAGUAUAAGAGUGUCACACCACUGCAAAGCCCUCAAAACAUCCCAUUUUUCCUCUCUUUGCAGUAACUGCUAGUUAGUGAUGGAGCAAACUGAGCUGGUCUUCAUCCCAUUUCCUAUCAUCGGCCACCUUACGUCUGCACUGGAGAUUGCAAAGCUGAUUACUCAGCGAGACCCCCGAUUCUCAAUCACGAUCAUCAUCAUGAAGUUUCCGUUUGAGUCCAUUGAUGGUAUGGACACGGACUCUGAUUCCAUACGUUUCGUUACACUUCCUCCUGUAGAGGUCUGCUCCAGUACGACGCCGUCUGGUUUCUUCCUCUCUGAAUUCCUCAAAGCUCACAUCCCAGUCGUCAGAGACGCCAUCCACGAGCUCACUCGCUCCAACUCGGUUCGUCUCGCAGGGUUCGUUAUUGAUAUGUUCUGCACCCACAUGAUCGAUGUGGCCGAUGAGUUUGGGGUGCCUUCCUAUCUCUUCUUCACUUCCAGCGCUGCUUUUCUUGGCUUCCUGUUGCAUCUUCAGUUCCUCCAUGAUUAUGAGGGCUUGGAUUUCAAUAAGUUCAAGGACUCGGAUGCUGAGUUGGAUGUUCCGAGUUUCGCGAACUCAGUUCCGGGUAAGGUCUUCCCUUCUCGGAUGUUUGACAAGGAAGGCGGAGGGGCUGAGACGCUUCUUUAUCACACGAGGAGAUUCAGAGAAGUCAAAGGUAUUCUGGUAAAUACAUUUAUUGAGCUUGAAUUACAUGCUGUUCGAUCACUUUCUGACAGUACAGUACCCGAGGUGUAUCCCGUUGGACCCAUACUCAACACCCGAAUGGGAUCUGGUGGGUGUCAACAAGAUGCUAGUGCCAUCAUGAGCUGGCUUGAUGAUCAGCCUCCAUCGUCAGUUGUUUUCCUGUGCUUCGGGAGCAGGGGAACCUUUGGUGCGGAACAGAUCAAGGAGAUAGCGUAUGGGCUAGAGCACAGUGGGCAUCGCUUCUUGUGGUCCCUUCGCCAACCUCCCCCAAAGGGUAAAAUGGAUUUUCCAAGCGACUAUGAAAGUAUUGAGGAAGUUCUACCAGAAGGAUUUUUACAUCGGACAGCUAGAAUUGGAAAGGUGAUUGGAUGGGCUCCACAAGCAGCGGUUUUAUCCCACUCAGCUGUUGGAGGAUUUGUAUCUCAUUGUGGAUGGAAUUCUUUGCUAGAAAGCGUAUGGUAUGGUGUUCCUGUGGCCACUUGGCCAAUCUAUGCAGAGCAACAAAUCAACGCAUUUCAAAUGGUGAAAGAUUUGGGGUUGGCCACAGAAAUUAAAAUAGAUUACAAUAAGGAUAAUGAUUAUGUUGUAAGUGCUCAUGAGAUUGAAAAUGGAUUGAGGAACCUAAUGAAUAUUGAUAGUGAAGUGAGGCAAAAGAGGAAAGAAAUGCAAAAAAUAAGUAGAAGAGUCAUGAUAGAUGGUGGGUCCUCG
Molecule: long non-coding RNA, 102645 nt
Filed under: Vitis vinifera (wine grape)
Lineage: Eukaryota; Viridiplantae; Streptophyta; Magnoliopsida; Vitales; Vitaceae
Description: long non-coding RNA (VVIN_LNC003818)
Source: RNAcentral